This 98580-nucleotide long non-coding RNA is filed under the name Gossypium barbadense (sea-island cotton). RNAcentral's name for it is "long non-coding RNA (GBAR_LNC002402)". The record is from RNAcentral. Lineage: Eukaryota; Viridiplantae; Streptophyta; Magnoliopsida; Malvales; Malvaceae.
UGAGAAGUGUAUCAUCUAUAGCGAUCACAAGAGUUUCAAGUACCUCCUUACCUAGAAGGAGUUAAACCUUAGGCAACGUAGAUGGAUUGAACUACUUAAGGAUUACGACUGCACUAUGGAGUGUCAUCCUGGUAAAGCCAAUGUGGUCGUCAAUCUCUUAGUUGUAGGACAAUAACUGAUAGUUGGGGGAUGAUUCUCUAGUUCUGCAAUUCUGUCAGGUGGAGGAUGGUAGCACGUUUGAUUUUGAGCUAAAUAGUGAUGGGGUUUUGUGUUUCCGAGAAUGGGUUUGUGUACCUAAUGAUUCUGAUUUGAGAUAGUCCAUUUUGCAGGUAGUGUAUAGUAGCCUUUAUGUUAUGCAUACCUGUGGUAAUAAGAUGUAUCGAGAUUUCUGCGAACUGUACUGGUGGCCUGGUUUGAAAUGUGAGGUAACAAAUUUUGUUUCUCGUUGUUUGACAUGUCAACAAGUUAAGGCUGAGCACCAAUUUGCUUUGUGUUUACUUUAACCUGUUAAAAUUCCCUUAUGGAAAUAGGAACGCAUGACUAUGAACUUUGCUAGUGGAUUGCCUUUAACACCUAUUAAGAAGGAUUCUGUGUGGGUCAUCGUAGAUUGUUUGACUAAGUCUGCUCACUUUAUUCCUAUUAGGAUAGAUUUCUCCCUUCAGAAGUUGGCUAAGUUAUAUGUUUCAAAGAUAGUGAGACCUCAUAGGGUUCCAGUCUCGAUUAUUUCUGAUGAAGAUCCUCACUUCACUUCUCAAUUUUGAAGGAAACUCCAUGAGUCUCUGGGUUCGAGGUUAGACUUUAGUACUACAUUCCAUCCUCAAACAGAUGGUCAAUUUGAGAUGAUGAUUCAGAUACUGAAUGAUAUGCUUUAGAGUUGUGUGAUCGAUUUUCGAGGUAGUUGAGAGAAUUUUCUGCAGUUGGCUAAGUUCACCUACAAUAAUAGUUUCCAGUCUAGUAUUCAGAUGGCACCUUUCGAGGCUUUAUAUGACCAUAAGUGUCGUAUUCUGUUGUGUUAGACUAAGUUGGGUAAGCAACAAGUUUUGGGUUCUAAGUUGGUUUCUGAUACUUAGGAUAAAGUUAGACUGAUUUGGGAUUUUCUUAAGGUGGUGUAGUCAACCAAUUUUGCCCGGGCCCAUUUAAUUUAUUUGCAAAUAAAUAAACCCAAAUAAAUGAAUAAGGUCCAAGACUAAAAAAGUCCAUUUACAAUUUUCAAAAUACAAAAAUUACCAAAAUAACCCAUGACCCAAAACCCAAUUCUAAUAAACCCGUAUCUUAAAUUUAGCCCAAAUAAAAAUAAUAGCCUAAACAAGUACCCAAAGUUCCUUAGCCCAACAACAUUUUUGACCCAAUUGAGCAGACACCCAAACUAUACACGAAUGGCCCAAAAGGCCCAACUGCUUGAAAAUGCCAGAAACCUAAGGGUUUCUAGAACACACCAGUGCUGCAAUCGAACUCACGCACGGCUUUCAUGAGUGGCUUUCUCCGUACGACCGUUGCUCCAUACCUACAAAAGAAUAUACGAGAAGAAGCAACAACGGCAUGUACAGCCAAAUGACAGAGGGAAAAUGUAUUUUUAUUUUUCCAUUUAUUCUAUAAAUUUGGCUAUAAAAAGCCAUUAUUUGUACCUUGAUUUUUUACGCAUAUAAUAUCUGUACACACGCAUAGAGAAUAGAAAAAAGCGAUUUAAGAUUAAAAGAGGUGAUUUCAUAUUUUUCUUUUUCUCUUCUGAUUUUUUUUGUUUUUUUCCUUUUCCCUUUAUUUUCUUAUUAGUUUGCUCAUUUUUUUUAUUAUGCGACUUAAGGCCGAUGAAAGCCCUAAAUCUGCCAUGCGAAUAUAAGGGCGAGAGGUCACAUAACAGUGAAAAUUUAUUUACUCUACAAAUCUGUUUUCAUUUUUUUUCCUUUAAAAAAUAACAUGAGAUUUGAAAGCUCCAUUCAAAUAAAGAAGAAAGGAGGGACAAUACUUACCGAAUCCUUUUAGAUCUGGUCGAGCUCCUUUAACAGCAAGAUUGGGCACAUCUCGCUUACUGGUAAUCACCCAAAAUCAUGGUAGUUUGGCAGUGAAGUGAAAGAAACCCUAAAGAAUUGAUUUUAAAGGCUGAAAUUUCUUUUGAUCUAAGUGGAGGCUGCGUUUGAGGAAUGAAAUAGAAGUGGAUAGGUCUUAAAUGACCAAUUAACAAUGCGGCGCUGUUUAAUGGUGUAAAGACCCGCGCGUCAACCCGUUUUGGCAGGCCGGGUAUGCGCAUGGUUGGUGUGAAUGGGGAAAUUUGUCGACAAAUCCCUCCCCUUGCACACAGCCUUCAAUUUUCGCCUGAUUUGCCUACUUUAUGUUUUAAAAUUGACCUGUUAGUUUGUGUAUGGUUUCAAUUGGAUCCGCGGUUCAUUGCUGCAUUAUGAGCAUGGGAUAUUUUCAAUAAUAGUCCUCACAUGUUUGUGCACAUGGCACAUUGACCCAAUUUUGCAAUUGUUUUAUUUGUAAAUGGUUUCUCUGGUUUUAAUUUUGUCACAACUAAGUCUUAUCAUCAUUAUUUUAUUUACUGCAUAUACAUCUUAGUUUUACAUGAUUAAUCAUUGGUUGUGAUAUUUUGUAUUAUUUUGAUAGCCGAAUUUUGUAAUCUUUUCUGUUUUUAUUCUAUUAUUUUAAUAAUUGUACUAUUUGUAAUAUAAUUUAUUUUAGUCUGUGUAUGCUAUUAGUUUCAUGAUAUUUUGUAAUUUCUCUUGGAUUCAUCCACAUAUUUAAAUGUUUAUUAAGUAUAUUUGGUAUUUAUGUUUAAUCUAGUAUAUAUAGCUUUCUAAUAAAUUUGUAUUUAAUUGUUUUUUAGUUUUAGUAAACGUAUAAUAUACAAUAAAAAUUAAGUUAAUUUUAAAAUUCAUAUUUUUUUAUGUUACUUCAACAUUCAACUAUUUCUAAAAUUUCUUUGUAUGUGUAUCUCACGGUAAAAUUAAGUUAAUUUUAUAAUCCAAAUUUUAAUUCCAUGUUAUUUAAAUAUACAAUUAUUUCUAAAGUGUCUUCACAUGUAUAACACAUAUUAAAUUAUUUUUACUAUGAUACAUAUUAUUAUUCUCAUAUAACUUCAUAUAAAUAUUUUUUUAUGUAUAGAUCCUAUUUUAAAGAUAUUUAUGUGUACAAUAUAUUUCUUUUGGGAACCAUGUUUUAAAUCAUACCACUUAUUUAUUGUAUACACUCCCAUUUAUCCUUAUGUAUUAUUAUAUAUAUAUAUAUAUUGUUACCUAUAUACUUAUAUAUUUACUUUGUUUCUUUCAUACAUUAUUAAUCUCAUUUUUUUACAAACAAUUAUACCCAAUUUUACUUGUAUAUACAUGUUUCAUAAAUUUAUUAUGUAUGUUAUUUUAUAUCAUGUAUUGUUAUUCCUUCAUAUUUAAUACAUUAUUUAAGUUAUCUUGUGAAUUAUCAAUUUUUGAAUAAAUUUGUGUUUUAAAUAUGUUGUAUAUAAUUUGAUUUGAACUUUGAAUUUUAUAAUAACUAUUUCAAUAAACAUAUAUCUCAAGUUUUAUGCAAAUGUGUCAACCUAUAUAUAUAUAUUAUAUGAUCAUUAAUUCUUUAUUUUGUUUCAUACAUAUUUUUGUGCAUCAUUUUAUUUUGUGUUAUGAUCGUGCAUAUUAUUUUUAUAGUAAUUAUUCAUUAUCCAUGCUUAAAGAAUUUUUUUUUGUUACAUUGUACUUGGAAUAAUUGUUAGAUGUAUUAAGUGAGGUUGUACUUUGUGUAUAUUAUUUCAUAUUCAUUAACUUUUUUUUCCUUUUCUUUUUCUUUUUUUUUUUUGCAAUACAUUAAGUAUUUCAUCCAUUUUAAAAUAAAUAAACAUGUUUUUAAACAAAUUUCUAAAUUUCUGUUAUUCAAAAAUUCUGAAAUAAGGCAAUAUCUAAUAUUUGAGAAAUUCAGAAAAUCGUGCUCAAUCGUACUGGGUAUGACUUUUCCGGAAAACCCAAAUAUUUGGAUAACCUUUUAUAAUUUUAAUAUAUGGUUUUCUUUCAAAAGUCGAAAAUCGAUCACAUCUUAAAGGUAUAAGGGAUCAUAUCCAAUUGUACUGGGUAUGAAACCGCAUAUCUUUGAAAUGAAAGAUUUUUGACCACUAAUUUGAGCUAUUCAAACAUUUUUUUUCAUACUUCAAAAAAUCUUUUCUUUUAAAACUUUUGAUAUAAGGAUAGCAUCGAAUCAAUUUGGUACCAAUUUUUGGGCGUAGUGAAGGUGCUAACCCUUCCUCAUACGUAACCGACUCCCGAACUCGCUUUUGAAUUUGUGUAGACCAAAAUUGAUUUAAAAUGUCUUAUUAGGUGAUCCAAUCACACCUAAAUAAAAAGAUUGGUGGCGACUCCACAUUUUGGUUUUAAAAGUCGAUCCCUAUUGUUUUCAAAAUAAAAAAGGGUUUUGACAGGUGGGUUCUGAUAGACAGAAAUCAUAUGUAGAUCUGAAAAUGAGGGACAUCGAGUAUUCUACAGGUGAUUAUGUUUUCUUUAAGAUAUCCUCAUGGAAGAAAGUUUUACAGUUUAGAUAUAAGGGCAAGUUGAGCACUAGGUUCAUUGGGUCUUAUCGGAUUUUGAAAUGUGUGGGUCCGAUCGCCUAUCAAUUAGAGCUACCUCCAGAGGUGAACCGUAUUCAUGAUAUGUUCCAUGUCUCCAUGUUGAGGCGGUAUCGGUCUGACCCGCCUUAUAUUGUUUCUAUUGAGGAGAUUGAGGUAAUGCCGGAUUUGACAUUUGAGAGGGAGCCAGUUCAAAUUUUGAAUCGAGACAUUAAAGUCUUUAGGAGAAAAUAUGUUCCAUUACUUAAGGUUCUGUAGCGGAAACAUAGCCUAGAGAAAGCCACAUGGGAGCCGGAGGUCUCGAUUUGUCAGCAAUAUCUGCAUUUGUUUGAAUCAUGUAAAUUAUGGGGUUCAAAUUUCUUUUAAGGGGAAGAUUUGUAACGCCCAAAAAAAUGAAUUUUUUAUUUGUUUUAUUCUGUCAUUAAUAAGUGUCUAAUUCAGUGGAUAAGUGAUUUGUGUGUAAAUUUGAAGUCUUGGGUUCAAGUCUCACUUUUAAAAAUUUUGCUGAUUUAGUUCCUAGCUUUAUCCUUAAUUGUUUGGCUUAUAUUAUAUUUUCUGUCAACUCAUGUUAGAAUGAACUUGCUGGUUCAUGUGGUAAGGUGUUAGCUUACCCUAAUAUAUUGUGUUCAAAUCCCCGUGUGAGCGAAUAACAAUAAUUUUUAUUUUUGUAUGUGUGUGCCAGUUGUGUAGUAAAAGUUUGGUGGAAUUGAAAUUCUGUGAUGGUUGGAUGAGGAUUAGUGUGUCGAAUUUUGUGGGAUUUGGUUGUUAGUGAGGGUAGUGGGGAGUUUAAAUCAUUUUUUUUAAUUUUUUUUUGUUUUCUAAAAAUCCCCUAUUUUUCCCACGUUCUUUUUCUUUUUCUCUGCAAUUCCCUUCUGAUGUUUUUCUUCUGGUUACUCCCUAUUUUUGCUUCUCUCUUUGAUUUUGUCUACAAAUUGUUCGUUUGAAUUGUUGCGAUUUGGAUUUUCCCUUAUUUCUUCGUUCGGCUUGGUAAGUAGGGCUUCGUACUUCUUUAAUUUAUUGAUUUUGUAAGUUUGUUUGAUUUAGGGGUUUUGGAGUGGCAAAGUUGUAGUGUGGUUUGGGAAUAUGAUUUCUGUGGAUGUCUUGUUUAGGAGAAGAUCGAGAAUCAUUGGGUUUUCCUCCGACGAUUUAAUUCGUGUGUAUGGCUGCUAUUCAUUCUGUGGUAAUGAGUUAUUAUGUUUUUGAAUUUAUCUAAGUGGUUCGUUUGGUUUUGUUCUAGGAAGUAUUUGAGGGUGUAUUUUUUUAAUUCACUUGUGUUCGUCGUUAAUUUGGAUUUUAAUGGAUGCAUAUAGGUUCGGAAGCCUUGUGGGUGUUUACUCAUUAGAAUUAGUCAAGAUGUGUAACUAAAAACCCGAAAAUAGUGAACGGCGAAAGCCAAAAUUGGACACUAUCUACGUUACACUGCUGUGUGCCAGGCUGUGUGGUAGGCCAUUGCAAAACACGGCCGUGUGACAGACCGUGUGCAACACACGGUCUGGGCUAUUUUGGGCCAUGUGGACCACAUAGACUAGACUAUUUUGGUCGUGUGAGCUACAUGGGCAUGUGGGCCUAAAAUUCAUGAUUUUUCCUUAAGGCUAUACACGUCAUCCUGAAUGACCAUGGGCCUUUCAUAGGGUUGGUAUGAAACUAAAUCUACUAUAAGACAUGAAAUCUGAACUUCUGCUGAUACAAAUUCUGCUAUCUGCAAGAAUAAUGGAAACAUCAAAUGAGUAAUAUAUCUGAAUACGUAUAAUAAGUAUGCGGUUCGUAUUUGUUAUGUUAUGCAUGUAAAGGUCUGCCACAUUUAAUUAUGCUUUGAAUAUGUGUGAUAUUUUCUGUACUCUGUAUCUGCAUCUGGGUUGGGUUGUAAAUAACAUGUGGAAGAAGUGGUUCUAUCAAAGACAAUAAAUCAUCUAUUGAUCUGGCAGCUCAGCUGCAACUAUUCUGUAAAGUGCCCUGUGGACAUUAAGCUAUGUGUAGGGACGGAUGAGUGUUUUUAUACCCAUAUAAUGUGUUGGGAUAGACGGAGUUGGUGUGUAGCGGCUGGGGGUAGGAUUAUGUGUUGUAUCUGCUCUACUCUGCUAUAAAUCUGUUUCUAAUAAAUCUGUCUGAUAUGUAUUUUACUGUGUUAAGUUUAUUUUUAUAGACUGAGUUUCAAAACUCACUCUCAGUUUCACUGACAUUUUAAAGUAAUCCUCAAACUUAGGAAAUUCGGUACGACGGGAGCUUGGUUUUACUAGUAUUUCGACUCUUUAACUAUUUUAAAUUGGAUUAAGUGUUUUGUAAAAUUUGGACUAUUUGGACAUUUUGGGACUGUCUCGGUUUUGGAUUUUAUUCUGGAUAUUUGCAUGACAUUUGAUAAAACGAUUUACCGAAAAUGAUUAUUUUCCUACAACCAACUAUUUUCGAGAAAACAAACUUGGUUUUUUUAAAGUAUAAUGGUCUAAGAAUUUCCACUGCAAAGUAUUCAGUUUAUUUAGGAAAUGUAAAUAAACAAUGUUUUUAAUUAAAUAAUUAUGUCAAACAUGUUUUCUAAUAAAACAGGCCUUUAAGUAACAAAAGCUCACGAUUUUUUUUUCAAAUAGACAAAAGCUGGACUUACAAUUGUUUGACAUAGCAUCUGCAGAUCUAGCUAUAACGUCCAUGCCGAAUUUGAGGUGUUACAUUUUUCAUUUCAUUAAAUACGUGAUGAAAUUUGAAUAAUUUAGAGGACUAACUUUUCAAUUUAAAAAAAAGUAGAAUGAUGAAUUUUAGAAUUAGACGGUUAUUUAUGUGAUGAUUCCCUUCCCAUUUUUCUUGUAUUUUUCUAACAUAUUUUUAUUGUAUGCUAAAGUAGAAUGAAUAUGUUAGAGUUGUGUGACCCAAAUUCUAAGAGAUUGCUUGCCAGUCAAGUUAAACAAAAAUAUAUUUUCUUUCUAGAAGAUUUAGUAUUUAUUAGUAUAAUAUAUUUAGCAUUUAUUAGCAUAGUUUAUUUGACUUGCUAAUUUAGCUUAUAAAUAGGCUCUUUUACAAUCUUAGAAAAUACACCUAUUAGAUAUUAGAACUCAUAACACAUUUAGAGAAUUUUGUGUUUACGUUUUGAGGGUUCUUUGUUUUUGGGUUUUCGGGGUUUAGCUUUAUCUCCAUCUUUUGUACUCUUCAUUCUUUUGCCAUUAUAGUAAAAUUAUCUUUGCCCGUGGUUUUUUAUUCUCUUUGGAGGGGUUUUUCCACAUUAAAAAUUUGUGUGUUCAAUUUCUCAAUUUAUUUCGCUAUUUUAUUUCUUAUUGCUUAAUCUAGUUCAAUUUAGAUCAACCCAUUUAGAUAUGGUAGCAACAAUAUUUGAAAUUGAGAAGUUCGAUGGUGAGACAAAUUUCAAUCUGUGGCAAGUUCGGAUGAUGGCAAUUCUAGUUCAAACAGGCUUGAAGAAGGUUGUUACUGGGAAAAAGCCUGAGAAUCUAAAUCAAACAGAAUGGGAAGAGCUUGAUGAAAAGGCCUUGUCUUCAAUCCAGUUGUGCGUCGCAAAUACGGUAUUGCAGCAGGUAUUGAUGGAGAAGACCUCAUCCGCAUUGUGGAAAAGGUUAGAAACUCUUUAUGCGACUAAGUCUCUAGCUAACCGUUUAGUGUUGAAACAACGUCUAUUUACAUUUCGCAUGAACGAAUGUGAGCUUCUUAGAGAUCAUAUCAGUCAAUUCAUUACUCUUUUAAAUUAUUUAAAUAACGUUGAGGUUCAUAUUGACGAUGAAGAUCAGGCUAUGCUAUUAUUGUACUCUUUACCCUCUUCAUACAAGUUUUUCAGGGAAACACUGAUUUAUGGUAGAAACAAACUCUUGUUCGAAGAUUAGAAGGGUCAUUUGUUGAGUAGAGACAAACUCAAAAAUGAGUUUGGUUUGGAUAGCAAGGUAGAUAGGCAACCUUAUGUUUUGGUAGAAUCAAAGAAAUGAGACAAAAGGUGUCGCUAUUGUAAAAAAUUAGGUCACGUCAAAGCAGAUUGUUAUAAACUGUGAAACAAAAGAGCUGCUGAGUGUAAUGAGGAAGAUGUAGCUGGUGCUAAUUUGGCCGAUGAAGGUGGUGAUGAUUUCUUGUUAGUGUCAACGAGUGAUAACUCCAAGCUCACGUCUGAGUGGAUCCUAGAUUUAGGAUGUUCUUUCCACAUGUAUCCCAAUAGAGAAUGGUUCUCCACAUAUAGUUCGGUUGAAAGUGGAGUUGUGCACAUGGAAAACGAUUCAUCCAGUAAGGUAAUUGGUAUUGGUACUGUUAAAAGUAGGAUACACAAUGGGAUGAUUAGGACACCCUCAGAUGUCAGGUAUGUACCUGAUUUACGAAAGAAUCUCAUCUCCUUGAGUAUUUUAGACUUGAAAGGAUGCAGAAUCAACAUCGAGUCGAGCGGUAUUAAAGUAUCUCGUGGAGCUCUCAUUUUGUUAAAAAGGUAAAAGAACCGACAGCCUUUAUAUUCUGGAAGGAUCUACAGUGACUGGUGAAAUCGGACGUCCCUCGUCCAUUACGGAGUCGAAGUCAACUCAUUUGGAGCCGAGAAACUUGGUCAUGGGAGGGAAAAAUGUAUGAUUGUUUCGUUGAAGAGAGGUUCUCUUUUGGAUGCAGGUUUUUCAAAGUUAGGGCACUGUGUUCGUGAAAAUCAGACUUGGGUUAGUUUUGAUUUGGCAGUGCACAAGUCGAAGGCUAGAAGUCUUCUAGCUUUUAAGCAUAAAUUCGACUCAGUUAAUUCCCUGCAUAGUUCAAGAUAGGCCCGUGGCGGGCUUUGGCAGAGAUGGCGUUGAAAGAAUUCGUGUCAAGGUGGAGAUUGUUAGAGUUGUGUGACCCAAAUUCUAAGAGAUUGUUUGCAAAUUAAGUUAAACAAAAAUAUAAGUCAAGUUAAAAAAAAUAUCUAUUUUCUUUCUAGAAGAUUUAGUAUUUAUUAGUAUAAUAUAUUUAGCAUUUAUUAGCAUAGUUUAUUUGACUUGCUAAUUUAACCUAUAAAUAGGCUCUUUUAGAACUUUAGAAAAUACACCCAUUAGAGAUUAGAACUCAUAACACAUUUAGAGAAUUUUGUGUUUACGUUUUGAGGUUCUUUGUUUUCGGGUUUUCGGGGUUUAGUUUUAUCUCCAUCUUUUGUACUCUUCAUUCUUUUUCCAUUAUAGUAAAAUUAUCUUUACCCGUGGUUUUUUAUCCUCUUUGGAGGAGUUUUUCCACGUUAAAUUUGUGUGUUCAAUUUCUCAAUUUAUUCCGCUAUUUUUUUUCACUUGUUGCUUAAUCAGGUCGAUCGUAACAGAAUAUUAAAUGUAAUGACAAGACACAUUAUACUUUUAAAGAGAGAAUAUAAUUUUAAAUUUUAAAAAUAAUAUUAUUGAAAAUAACAAUAAUAAAUUAGGAGACACAAAAGAUAAAAAAGAAAAAACAUAGUAAACCAGAUAAAGUAUAACCUAGAGAAAAAAGAAAACAACAGCAAACAGGAAAAGGGAAUUUAUUCCUUAAUUUAGAAAAUUGGGUUUGGGUUACAGAAGAAAAGUAGCUAUGCCGGAAACAACUUUAAUUAUACAAGAAUCUUGUCAACAAUUUUGCUAUCACUUCGCAUUGCUUUCACUCAAAGGAUAAUUCUCCCAUGAUUAAGCUUCGGGUUUGAGUUAAAAAUUAUGAACAAUCAAUUUUUUUUUUUAGAUAUACCAAAAUCCAAUUUAUUUGGUUCAAAGAUUCUUAAUUCCACUGUUAUUUCUUUGAAGACCAUGUGUGUCGCUUUUGGAUGGAGUUGGAGAUUCACGAGAUUUGAUUAAUAACAAAGAAGCAAGAGUUUGGUGCAAUAAGCGAGACAAUAAUGCUAUGUUACGUAAUAAAUUGUGUUUAGGAUAUCAUUUUUUUAAAGGAAUUAAUUUUUAUAUAAUUAUUUUUUCAUUCAAAACAUCAACAAUUAUAUAAAAAAACAAAUAUUUUCGGUAAUAUAUUGCUUCAAUCUUUUUUUUAAGCAAAUAAAUAAAAAGAUUAUUAUUUGAUGUAUUAAUGGUGAAGUUUUUUUUAAUUUUACAAGUGAGUUUAAGAAAUCGUCAUCUGUUUUAUUUAUUUAAUUUUUAUUUUUUUAAAUAUCAAUUAAGAACACUUAGUAAUUUCGUAAACCCACUAUAUAAAAUAAUAACCUUAAAUAAAAUUAUAUUAAAGAUAAACUAUCAAAAUAGUCACUUUUGUUUGCCCCAGGUUACAUUUUAGUCACUUAUGUUUGAAAUAUUACGUUUUAGUCACUUACGUUAUCAUGUUGUAACAUUUUAGUCACUGAGUGUUAAUUAUCGUUAUCAGUAUAACAGUAAGCUAACGUGACACGUUAAAUCAUCAUUUCAAAUGAAAAUUUUAGGUUAAAUUAUACAAUUGGUCCCUAUAUUUUUUUUUGUUUUAAGCAAUUUAAUUUUUUUCUUUUAUGUUCUUUGAACUUUCAUUUUUUCUUUAUUUUCCAUUCUCUUCUCCUUCUCUCUCUGUUUUCCUCCCUUCUCCAUUUCUUUUAACGUAGUUUUUCUAUGUUUUCCAUUUGUUAAAAUUAGUCCCUAUACUUUUAUUUUUUUGAUCAAUUUAAUUUUUUUAUUUCCUUAUUUUCCUUUUCUUCUUCCCCUUUAUUUUUCUCACUUCUCAUAUUCUUCAAUAAAGAAACAUAAUCUUUGCCCACCAAAUAAACCAAGUCUUUUCACAUUAUUCCUAAAUUGAAUUUCACUUAAAACCAAAAAUCAAUUAUUCUUAAUCAAAUCUAAAUUUGAAUAUAACCUAAUUUUGAAACUAAAAUUGGAUCUAACUAAUCAAUAUAAAAAGCCAUAUCCUUAAUCAAAUCUAAACAUAAAUUGAAUUUUUUAUAUUCAAAAUAAUUUUUUUCCGUUUCCAAACUUUUACAGAAUCGUGUAGAUUAUUCCUUUCCUUUUAUUUUAUUUUCUGACGAAUAAAAUUAAGCAAACGAUAAAAUUGAUUUAAACCUUCUUGGAUAUUCCUAAGCAAGCUUGAUUGGAAGCCAAGCAUGGAUGAACCGAAGAGAGAAAGGGAGCAAGGAACCAAACUAGUUUGGGAAAAGCUAAGGGUAAGUUUCGUAUGGUGGUUGUUUUAGUCAUUGAGAGUGUAGAGCUUGUUUGAAGAAUCUGUGAAAUAACGUAGUUUCAAGAGGGCGAGAAUGUUGUAGGUAAGAUAGAUAAACUGGUCAUAAGGGUUAGUUAGAAGGUUAAGGGAAUAGGCUUGAGAAAAUUUGUCUUCGAGUGAAGCAAGCUUGUGGACUAGGUCAUUGAAAGAUCCAAAUUGGUUCGUUAAAGUGAUGAUGGACAAUGAGGGUUUGUAAUUGUGAGGUGAAAAUAUGCGAAGCAAGUUUUAUUUUGGUUUCAGCUUUUGGCUUUUCUUUUUCAUAAACAUAAAAAAUCUUAACAAAUGAAAAAUAUAGAAUAACUAUGUUAAAAGAGAUGGAGAAGGGAGGAAAACAGAGGGAGAAACAAAAGAGAAUGAAAAAUAAAGGGAAAAAAAUUUAAAAGAAUAUAAAAGAAAAAAAUUAAAUUGCUCGAAACGAAAAAAAAUAUGGGGACCAAUUGUAUAAUUUAACCUAAAAUUUUUGUUUGAAAUGAUGUUUAACGUGCCACGUUAGCUUACCAUUACACUAUUAACGACAAUUAACGACACAGUGACUAAAAUGUUACAACAUGUUAAUGUAAGUGAUUAAAACGUAACACUUCAAACAUAAGUGACUAAAAUAUAACCUGAAGUAAACAAAAGUGAUUAUUUUGAUAGUUUACCUUUAUAACUAGGAUUUAAUCAUUAUAAUAAAUAAACGGAUAUGAUUAACAUCAGAAUGACUUUAGACAAGACUCGCAUAUAAUGAGAUCUAAGUUAAAAUAAAUUUAAAUAAAUCCCUCACAUGAUUUAGGUUUAGAUAGGGUGAGAUUUGAAUAUGAGAAUUUGAGGUCACAAAAUGCUAAUUCUCUAUCCACUUGGACUCUUUCUCUUUGCAUUGUCCAUUGCAAGCCGAAUAACAUGGCUGGUGGAGUUGCCAUUGCUCAGGAUUACAAAGGCUCAAAAAUUUUGUCCAUUCGAAGCUUCAAUUUUGUCAACAAAAUCUAGGCCAGGCUUCUCACUCUUCGUUCUAUCCUUCUUACUCUCAAAAAUCAUAAUAUUUCGUGUAGAUUUCUUGGAAGUGACAAAAAAAUGUGUAAACAUCAUACAUGGACGCACCAUGGUAGGAUGGAAACUCCAACCAGUGCUCAAUGACAUCUAGCAUCUCCUCCCUUCUGUCCAUAUACAAGACGGCCCAAUGAACAACAGUUGUCUGCAUUGGUAAACUAAAUGGUGGGCUACAUGUGCUUCUAAGGUGGAUAUAAGUUUUUCGUGGCCUUAACCACUCUUGCCUUGCACUAGAAAAAUUAUUAUUUUUAUAUAAUCUAAAAUAUAUAUAUAAAAGUACGAGUUUAGAAAAUUUUUUAAAUGAAUAAAAAUACAUUUUAUUUUUUACUAUAUUACUAAAUUCACAAUUUAAAAUAAAAAAUUAAAAUAAAAUAGAAGUUGAGAUAAUUAUUACACAUUUAAAAUAUUAUAAUUUAAUUUACAAUUAUUUUUUAAAAAUUAUUGUGCUAAUUUUAAAAACAGAGUUAUUACUUGCAUAGAACGCUAAGCAACAAGUCCUCAUAAUUAUUAGUUUAAAAAGUUGAUGUAAAAAAAGUUGUACUAAUUUUAUUGAUGUAAAAUAAAGUUAUUACUUUAAUAGAAUUUUAAGCAUCUUAAAUAGCACUUAAAUAAUAUAUUACAGUUAAUACUAUUGUUUUCAAUAAUGUUACUUUGCAUUAAUUAAAUAAAGUAAAAUUAUAUUAUGUGUUAAAAAUGCUUUAAUUAUGAUUUGAAAAAUUUCUAUUAUAAUAUUUGAAUUGAUAAAUUAAUAUAUUUUAAUUGUAUUCAAUAAUUCAAAUAAGAAAUAUUAUUUUGGUAACUACAACAAUUAAAAAUACAAUAUUUUAAAAAAUAUUAAACAUAAACACAUAAAAUCAUAUGAAAUGCGAGUGACAUUAAAAGCUAGUACAUCUAAAACACGCUAUAAAGUUAAUAAAUAUAUUAGUUUAUUUAUAACAUUAUUAUGUUAAAUGCAAUAAUUUAUAUUUUUUCGAGUACUAAUAGAAAAUUUAAUAUAUAUAUAUUUUGGAGUGUUUAAGACAUGCGAGACUUAAAAGGGUGAACUAAAUUAUAUAGAAAAAAGAGGUUGUGGAAACUUAUUUGAAGGAUUAAUUAAAACUUUCAUACAUGGUGUUUCCCCUCUUCUUAUAAUGAUAUUGUAAUGAUAGAAAAUAGAGAUACAACCAAGAGUGUUUGUUGAUGUGUCUUUGUAGAAAAGGUUACGCAAUGUUGUUUGAUGGCAAACAUGAAAGGCAGCUCAAUAUGGGGAAAACACCACACUAGCUUGGGAUAAGUCAUCCAAAAUUUUAGCGUAUGGUUUUCAACAUGCAAUAAUUGUGCGGCCCCCCUUGCCUUGCCUAUUGUCCAAUUGGUUGCGUAACUUGGGAUAAGUCACCGAGGCUAUGCUACUGCCCAGCAUAGGCAUAAUUCUAUGAUGGUAACUCUUCACAUAUUUAUAAUUAAACUGAUAAAUCUAUUUUAAAAUUUGAAUUUGUAUUACAUCUAAAUAUUACAAUUUAAAUUAAAUAUUUUAUUCUUUAAAGAUUAAAAUCAAUAUUCUAUUGAGACAUUUUUUGAGUAGUGCUUACUGAUGCUUAGCAUUGUUCAGCUCGGAAACUUGCCAUGUUUGAGUUAGUAAAUUUUGACAAUAAAAAUUUUUGGACUUUGAUUCUAGCUAAUAAUUUGGACGAUUUCAAGCCCACCUUUAAUAUCCAAACUACAUAUAGCGACAUAUCUUAGAGAUCGUUUGGAUUUGGAUCAAGGCAACCAACUUGGUGGGAUCAGAUCGAAUUGAAUCGGGUGAAACUUGAAAGUCUAUCUUAAACAUUCAAGACUUAUCUGAGUGCAUUGAAGAUAUUCUUUAUGCUUGUUAUCCUACUAGUUUUAUGGGAAGAUUGAUAUCGUGUGUUAGCAAGUCUCGGCUUCUUAUAAAUUGAGGAGACUUGUAUAGGUGAUGUACUAAAUUGGCAUCACUUAUUCUUGUUCAUUGAGGAACAUUUCUUUUUAGUGCAUUGAGUAAAAACUUAAGUGAGUUACUUGGUUAAUGUCCUAAGUUUUUAGGGGGGAAACUUGGAGGAGAGUUAUCUAAAUCUUAGGUGCAAAAAUGAGUCUAAUAUGAUGAGUGCUAAAGGUUGAAAUCAACUGGUUGUAUGUGUUGCUAGGAUAGUGGAUUAUCUCUCUAGAUAAGGCUCCGCAGACGCAGGGAAACUGAACUAUGUAAAUAUAUUGUGUCUUCUUUGUUUUUUUGCUUUGUUCAUACUUAGUGCCUAAAGUAGUUGGCCUUGGUCUUCGUCACUACUUUUGGCACUGCUUGUGUUUUGUUUGUAAAUACCGUUUUAGAACUUUCAUAUUCAAAAUUUAUAAGUUAAAAAGAUUAAAAAAAUUUAAAAAUGAAAUAAAUAAUAUAUUCAAAUAUCCUAAUAUGAUAUUCUAAAAAAUGAAGCCAAUUCAAAUAUUUCAAUAUCCAAAAUUAAUAUUUGUGUGUGUAUAUAUAUAUGGGGAAUAGUAAUUAAAAUAUCUAAAUUCAUAAUAUUUGAAUCAACAAAAGUAAAUCAAAUAUUCAAAAAUAUCCACAUUAUCUAUUGUCAUCCCUAAACAUGGCUAGCUUGUUUUGGUUGAUUGGUUUAAAGGUCAAGCCGACCAUUUUUUAUUUCUUCAUAUAUAGUUAAUAACAACUUUAUUUGCCUGCCAAUAUUUUGCCUGUUAUAGAGAGCUGUCUGUAACAUACCUAUAACAACAUGUUGUUAUAGAAAGAUAAUUGUUCAAAACCUAGAAUAGAAUUCAAAUAGUGAAUUUCUAUCAAAUAAAGAAAGUGAGGUUUAUAUGGAAAAAAGAAAGUGGAAAUCAAAUCAACAACAUUAAAAGAUGUAUAGUAGGUAUAUGUUGUUGGAUCUAAUGCUCUAAGUUUAGUAUACACUUGUAUUUUUCAAACAAAUUGGUUUAAUAAUAAUAUCCAUUAAUUACAUUAGUACCCUUUAUAUAUUAUCCUCAAUUGUUUUUGCAUGCAAAGCAAAAUGGAAGCAAAUAUUGACUCACUGAUUUUCUAAUGUUUAAAUAAUAUUAAGUAGUAUUAUGUGUUCGGAUCGUAAUACAAAAAGACAAUUUAUAUUAGUAGAUGAACCUAUACAUAUUCCUAGUCUAAUAAAAAAUGAGCAAAUCGAUUGAAAGACUAAUAUGUUAUUUAUCAAGUCCAAUUGGGGAAAUGUUUUUCUUGAGCAUCAGAGUGGAUGACUGCUAAAAGAUAGAGACAUAUAUGUGAUUGAUUGGACUGACAGUACAUUAGACAGGACCCAAGUAGAAUAGAUCCUAAAUCCUUUUAUGGAUUUAUUUACUUGUGACAUUCAAAGUGUGACAUACCUUGUAACACCCUAAAAUAAUUGUUUAUGUUUCUGUAAUUGUUUGACACAAAUCUGCAUAGUGUUCUAAGUGUGUGUGUGAGGUCCCAAGUUCAAGUCUUACCUUUAGCAAUUUUGGUUAUUUUUGGAAUUAAGUCUUACCCUUGUUCAGUGGGCUUAUAUUUAAUUAUUUUUAAUUUUAUAUCAAAAUGAGCCUAUUGGUUCUAGUGGUAAGGGAAUUAGUGUGUUGGGGGUCUCGUGUUUGAGCCCCUGCAUUAGAAAGGGUGUUACAUUUUUGUUCUGUUAUUUAUUAGAGUUCCGGCUGAGUUGAAAUUCUGAGGGAGUUAUCAGUAGUGGGGUACUGGAGAGAAUUAAGGGAUUGUAGGGAAUAUCCUGGUUUUUUUUUUUGCUAAAUUCUUCUCUUCUCUCUCUUCCAAAAAUCACCAAAUCUCUUUGACGUUUUAUUUUCUUUCUUCUCUUCUAUACUGUUUCACAUUAAAAUUUUCGUUUUCCUUCUUCUGUUGCUGUCGUUUUGCUGACCAAUUCCUACUCUUGCUUUUUGGGUUCUUCAAUCAGGUUGGUAAGUUAAGGCUUAGUUUGUUAAUGUUAGAUUUUGAGUAUUGGGCAAUAUUAGAAUAACCGAUAUUAGUGAGUAAUCGAUGAUUUUGUGAAAGGCUGUGUAGGUGAAGGCGGUGAAUCGAUGGUUUUCGCAUCAGCUGCUUAACUCUUUUAUAGUCGUAUUGUAGUGGUAAGUGUGGAACAUUUCUCGGUUUAGUGGUUAGUUUUGGUAAAUCGUUUGCUAAUAGGACUUUCGGGAUUCUAUUUUUAGGUGCUGGUAGUCUCGAGAGCAUUUUUACAUCGAAACAGUAACAAAUGUGUACCCAAAACGAAGAAAAAGGGGAUUCGGUGAAAGUUAAAACUACAAUCUGCCGACACCACAUGACCGUGUAGUAGGCCGUAUGGUAGGCCGUGUGCGACGACACGGUUGAGCGAUCAAUGAAGACUAGGUCGUAUGCAAGACACAGUCGUGUGAUAGUCAGAAUGUGGUCAUGUGAGACACACGGGCUAGGCCAAGUUGGGCGUAUGGGCCCACACGGGCAUGUCACACUGGCGUGUGGAUUCUAGGCCAGGCGAUGUGUGCCACAAGGGCGUGUGGGCCCAUUUAUCUGAAUUUUUCCUUAGGGUUGCACGGGUCGUCCCAAACGACUGUGGGCCUACUGUAGGGUCGGUAAGGGCUAAAUAAACCCUAAACCUGAUCUGAUUAGGAUACUAAUACACGUCUACUUGCAUUACUAUCUGCAUAUUUGUUAUCUAUGUACGUUUUUAUGUAAGCAUGUGAGCAUGUUAGACUGUUUAUCUGUAUUUGUAUAUUUUUGUAUCUGAUAUGGGGGAUGGGAUGAUGUAUUUUGGAGGAAGUGUUCUGAAAGGCAUUUCAUGCCUAUUAUCUAGCAGCAUGGCUGCACUAUAUCUGUUAUGUGCCGCAUUAGUACAACAUAGUGUGUAGGGCUGGGUGGGUGUUUUAAACCCCACAUGGUGUGUAGGGAUGGUUAAUAUGGUGUAUAGAAUAUGGGGGUAGGAUAUCUAAUUUCUGAUUCUAAUUUGCAUAUCUAUAUCUGUAAUGGGCUUAAGCCCGAAUCCAUAUCUGACUGAUUCUGAUUUUCUAGUUGUGUGCAUGCUUAAUUCUGCGGGGUUACACACUGAAUUUACGUAAACUCACUCUUUUCUGUUUAUUCUGUAUACGUAUUCACAGUCUUAGACAGAUCGGUGCUGCGGAGCCCCUUGGUGACCACCUAUUCAAACUGAUUAUAGUUGCGAUAUAAUUUUUAUAUUCUGGUUUAUUCUAGUUUUUAUGUAACACGGACUGUUUUCUUUUAAUUUGGGUUAGACUGCGACUUUUAUAAUUUUAUAACUGCUCAAUGCGUUAUAACUCAGAUUUUACCAAAAGCAAGGGUUUUUCUAAAACCUUAAACGAUUUUUUAAACUCAAUAUUUUUUAAAGUUUCUGAUACAAAUACGUCUUAUCUUUAAGCGAUUAAAUGAAUGAGAGCUUUGAAAUUGAUAAUAGCGAUAAGGGCGAAGGAACUAUUAUGGUUUUUAACUUAACAAUAACAGUUUUCAACCCCAUUUCAUGUGACAUUUUUGAAUUUGGCCAAAACUUCUAGGUCGGGUUUGGGGUGUUACAUUUAGUGGUAUCAGAGUCAGAUUGCAAAACUCAGCUAUGAAUUUUGGGUUCCAAAAUUUGGUUUUAAAGAAUUGGUUUUCAAAAUAUUUUAAACACUCUAAUUAAGUACGUGGUACACCGAGUCUCUAGUGCCGAUCCUGUAAGUAUUCUCUGAAACACUAUAGUUUGCACUCUUUGAAAACUGUAGUGAAACGAAUAAAGAUUGAAACUUUUGGAAACAUUAUUGAACUUAUGCCAUUUAUUACAUAAAACACCUGUUAAUAAAUAUUGAACUGAUGCAUGAAACCCUUAAUGUAAAUAAAACUUCGAAAUUACAAUGAGUGUACGGGGUAUCCGUGGACGUGGUAGUCGAGGCUAAGGUAGAGGUCGUAGGGGGCUCGAGCUGAGUCCUCAUCUCUAGGUAGCAUAUCAAAUUUGGAUACUAGUAAGACACCUAUGUCACCUGCAACUGAGACUGGGUCUCAGAGUCGUUUGGCUGGGGACGACGCAUUGUCCCAAGCCAUAUUGAGGAUAUUAGAGAGGGUCGCUAGACCCAAUUCUGGAUCUAGGGAUUGAGGGUUGGUAACUGAGCGAAUCUGGUCUAAUGGAGCUAAGUUGUUUAGGGGUGUCACGGGAGUCGCCCCUAAUGUGGCUGAGUAUUGGUUGGAGGCCACGGAGAGGAUUAUGGAUGAUUUGGACUGUACCCCCAAGUAAAAAUUAAAGGGUGUAGUUUCCUUGUUUCGCGAUGAGGCUUACUAGUGGUGGUUGAUGGUUAAGGAGGUUACUCAGCCAGAUCGUUUGACUUGGGAAUUCUUUAAGACUACAUUUCAGAAUAACUAUGUAGGAGCUAGCUACGUCGAUGCUCGCAUGCAUGAUUUUCUGAAUCUCAUUCAAGGUGACCAAUCUGUGGCCGAGUAUGAGGCUAAAUUUCUGAGGUUGAGCCGUUAUGCUUGAGACAUUAUGGCGUUUGAGUAUGAGAGGUGUGUUAGGUUUGAGGACGACGUAAAGGAUAAUCUAAGGGUUUUGAUUGCUCCACAGAAAGAGUGUGAUUUUUCCAUUCUGGUAGAGAAGGUGAAAAUUACCAAGGAUUUUAAGCGCGCGGAGCGCCAGAAUAGAGAUAGGGAGAGAGAUAAGAACAAGAGGGAUUUGGAGCCCUCGAGUUCUGUGUAAAUGCCUAAGAAAAGGGCCAGAUUUGAUUGGCCAGUUAGAGUGGAGGCCCUAUUACUUCUACUGGGAUGCUGCCUUGUGGAGAUUAUGGGAGACGCCAUCCGGGCUAGUGUUGGAGGAGGAUUGGGGCUUGUUUGAGAUGUGAGUCUCUUGAGCACCGUAUUAGAGAGUGUUUACAGCGGGCAGAUCAGAUGCAAACUUCAGCUCCGAGUACUGUACAGCCUUAGAGAGCAGUUCAGCAGCCACCUAAGGGUUGUGGACAGGCUAGGGGUGGUAACAGUGUUAGUCGUGGACAGAGAGCACUAGACAAAGGUGCUGGUCAGACUGAGGUGAAGCAACUUGCUUUGGUUUAUGCUGCAUGUCGCCAAGAGGAUAGGGAUGCUCCUGACGUCAACACUAGUAUAUUCUUUGUAUUUGAUGUACCUUACGUGACUUUGAUAGACAUAGGGUCUACUCACUAUUACAUAGCUAGUUCAAUAUUUGAAACUGUAGGGAUUUCUGUGAAGAGCACUACUAGUGAGGUUACUGUACUGAGUCCAUUGGGGCAGUCUGUUCAGGUUAGUAAACUCUAUAGGGAUGUUCCGUUAGAGCUGCAAGGGACUGUUUUUCUGGAGAAUUUGAUGGAGCUUCCGUUUGGGGAGUUUGAUCUAAUUCUUGGUAUGGACUAGUUGGUGGAGCAUCGAGUCAGUUUGGAUUGCGCAUCUAAGAGGGUCGUUUUGAGGACCAAGGAUGAUGUGGAGGUGGUUAUGAUUGGUGAGCAUCGAGACUAUCUGUCACAUAUGAUCUCCACACUAGUAGCUGAGAAACUGGUCCGAAAAGGGUGUGAGACGUACUUAGCCUAGGUAAGUGUUUCAAAUUCUGGGGACUCUUCUGUUGGGAAUAUCAGAAUAGUAAAGAAUUUUCCAGGCGUCUUUCUUGAGGAGUUACCAGGAUUACUUCCUAAUAGGGAAGUGGAGUUUGGGAUUGAGCUUCUUUUGGGUACGGCUCCAGUGUCCAUUGCCCUCUACCGUAUGGCAUCGAAAGAGCUUAUUGAGCUUAAAGCUCGAUUUCAGGAGCUUCUGGACUGUGGUUUCAUCUGUCUUAGUGUGUCUUCAUGGGGAGCACGAGUUCUGUUUGUUAAGAAGAAUGAUGAGACCAUGAGGAUGUGUAUCGAUUAUCAGUAGUUGAACAAGUUGAUUGUGAAGAAUAAGUAUUCAUUUCCGAGGAUUGACAACUUGUUUGAUUAGUUCAAAGGGGCUUCCGUGUUUUCGAAGAUUGAUUUUCGUUCUGGGUAUCAUCAAUUGAGGGUUAAGGAGGCUGAUGUACAUAAGACUGUAUUUAGGACUCGUUAUGGGCAUUACGAGUUCCUUGUUAGCAUUUUGGUCUAACGAAUACUCUGACGACAUUCAUGGAUCUGAUGAACCGAGUGUUUCAACCUUACCUGGAUCAGUUCAUCGUGGUCUUCAUUACGACAUUCUGGUAUACUCUAAGACAGAGGAUAAGCAUUUUAGAGUUGUGCUUCAGAUUUUGUGUGAGAAACAGCUUUAUGUCAAGUUAAGCAAGUGCGAGUUCUGGUUGCGUAAAGUAACAUUUAUGGGGCACGUGGUUUCUGCUGAGGGGAUUCAUGUUGAUCCUCGAAAGAUUGAGGCUGUGUUGGAUUGGAAACAGCUUAAGAAUGUAUCUGAGAUCCGUAGCUUUCUAGGUUUGUGUAACAUCUCGAAAUAGGGCUUAGUCGGAAUAGUGGUUCCGAAACCAUGAAUCUGAGGUUGAAAAAUUAUUUUGAUAUUAUUUUGGGUGCUAUAGCAUGAUUAUAUAAGUGCAUGAAAAUUUUGGUGAAUUAAUUUUAGCGAUUGUGAGCUUAAUUACGAAAAAGGACUAAAUCAUAUAGAGGGAAAAAAGUUUUGUUUAAAUAUCCAAAUGUGUUAAAUAGCUAGAGAACCAUAAUUAGGGGUCUUUAAAGAGCAAUUAGACCCUUAAAAAAGGGAUGGCCGGCCAUAAGGGACAAAGAAAUUGAAAAGUCAAAAUUGGUGGGUAUUAGGUGACUUAUUUGGUAUUAAAAUAAAACAAAAAAAAGAGAGAAAAUUUUGUAAUCUUUUCAUCUUUCUUAUUCAUCCACUGAAAAUGGCAACAAGGAGGGGGCUUUGAAAGCUCAAAAAUAUUAGCCACUUAUAUUCCUCGCAAGUAAGUGAUUUAGAUAGCCUUUCUUGAUGAUUUUUGCAUUUUUAAGACCCUUAUAGCAUGAGCUAACUAAUGAGGGGACUAUUUUGCAAAAUGGUUGAAUGUCUAAGGUUUUUCUAUGUGAAUAUUUAUGUUGUUUUCUUAAUUUUCAUGGAAGAAAAUGAGUCAUGGUUGUGUAAUAAAUAACUUUUGUGAAAGAAGUUUGCAUGAAAACACCUAAAAAGGGCUAUUUUGUAAAGUUGUAAAAUAAGUUGUAAAUAAUUGAAAUUGUGAGUUGAUUAGUUAUAAAAAUAGGCUUGGUAAAGGAGGAAAUUCGAUAAAAAUCGAUUUACAAGUCUAAGGGAAAAAUCAUAAUUUUUGUAAAGUUUAAGGGCAAAACGGUCAUUUUGCCAAAUUGUGAAUUAUAGAAUGUUUUAAUUAAUGUAAUGAUUAAAUGAGUGAAUUUCAUCAUGUUAGAUCAAGAAAAUUGAGAUUUGGGCUUAAAUCAGAAAGUACAAGGUUAUGGACUAAAAUGGCGUAAUUAGCCGAAAUUGCAUUCGAGGUAAGUCCAUGUGACUAAAUAAGCAUGUUAUCCAUGUUAUUGUUAAUAUACUUGAAGUCUAUCUUGCUUUGGUUAUAUUGAAUUAUAUGUUGAUGAUAUUGAGUAUUGUGAAAGUGAUGCCAAAAGUUAAUAACAUUCAUGUGAUUGUAGAAUACAUUAGAAAUUUGAUGGAAUAUGAUUUCCUAUAGAAAUGAGUAAGUUGUACGUAAAUAAUGCAACUUAGUCGUAUUGAUGCAUUGAAUAUUUGAUUAUGUAUAUAAUGCUUGAAUGUAUCGAUGAGUAAUAUAUGGUGAGAUUUAAUGCGGUAAAAACUCCUGGUUGAACCUUAAGAAUAGAUCGGAUAUCCUUGCCAUGACAUUUGGGUGAUAUGGAUGUGUGCUAGUGUAAGACAUGUUUGAGACAUGCAUCGGCCAUAUUAUGAGAGCCAGUGUAAGACCAUGUCUGGGACAUGGCAUCGACAUUAAGACGAUAGCUAGUGUAAGACAUGUCUGGGACAUGCAUCGGCCUCGAGAUAUGCAAGCUAGUGUAAGACCUGUCUAGGACAUGGCAUCGGCUUGACAUGUGUCAGUGUAAGACCUGUUUGGGACAUGGCAUCGACACUGAUACAUGAGAGCCAGAGUAAAACCUGUCUGGGACAUGGCAUCGGCUCGAUAUAUGGAAGUCAGUGUAAGACUUGUUAGGGACAUGACAUCGACUUAGAUGUGUGAGCUAGUGUAAGACCAUGUUUGGAACAUAGCAUCGGCAUCGUACCCUAUGUUUGAGGCUUAGUGAUUAUCUUGUGGUAUUCAAAAUGGUUCAACGGGAAAUUUAAGGUUUAAGUCGCAAUGAUAGAGGUUAUGACUAUGUUGUGAGUGGUAUAGGUACUUACAUGAAAUUGAUGAGAUGUGAACUCAAUUCAUGUUGUAUGAUCAGUAAGGAAUGAAUAUGAGCAUGUUGAGUAACACAAGUAUGUAUGCCAAGCUCAUGAGAAAUGAUUUCGGUUUAUGAUGCACAUUUGGUGGAGAUGUAAAUAGGUAACUCAUGCCUAUGAGAAUGAUUUUGUGAUGGCCUUAUGAUUAUGUGAUGACCUUGUGAUUAUAGGUCUAUACUUAUGAUGUAUAAGUAUGUAUCUUUACCAAUGUGGUGAAAAUGAAUUAAUAAAGUGUGAUAAACUUAGUAUCAUUAAUUUACACUAAAAUAGUUUUGGAUAGUAGUAGCAGUCUGAAUUUAAAAAUCCACCAAAAAUUAUGGAAAUAGAAUUAAAGGCUGAAUAAAAAAUUAAUUUAAAGCUUAUUGAGUCUAGUUUCAUAUAGGAGAAACGAAGUAAGCAAAAGAAGUUCAUAUUAUGAGAUAUUUAAAUUGUUGUGAGACAGAGUCAGAAUGAUUUCGAAAUCCCCUAUCCUGAUUUUGGAAAAUCAUUAAAAAUUUUAAAAAAAUAAUUAUUGGUUAAAAUUUAUAUGAUUAGAAUCUUUAAUGAGAAUACUUUCAAAAUAAACAAACGAGAACAUCAUUCGUAUCCCGUGUGAGGAGAUAAUUAAUUUUUAGUAAAGAAAGGUUGAAGCUAUCAAAUAGCAGGAUAGGGGUGAUUUUGAAGAAUAAACUGUACUAAUAGGCUAAACCAAAAAUUUUGAAAAUUUUAUGGUAAGAAUAUAUGUGAGUCUAGUUUCUUGGAAAAUUAGCGGAUCUUAAGUUGGAGUUUUGUAACUCCUGAUAUAAAUAAUUUAGUGACUGUGACUCAAGAAAAUAGCUUGACCUGAACAUAGGUAAAAAGACAAUUAUGAUAGUAUUACCUUGAGAUCAUGUUGUAAGAAUUGGUGGAAGCAUAUUGAUAAAUUGCUUAUUAUUUUCAUAUGGACUUACUAAGCGUAAAGCUUACUCCCUCUUUUCCAUUUCUUUUAGCUUGUCAGGUUAGCUCGGGGUUGGAGAUCAUCGGAGGCAGCAUCACACUAUCAAGUUACUACCUAAGGAAUAAUGAGGCAUAUAUUAGAAAUUACAAGUGAGUGGCAUGUAUAGGGAUCUAGUUUUAUGACAUGUGUUAUUAUGCUUUGGCCAAAUGUAUUGGCUUAUAUUGAGUUAUAUGUAUAUGGACAUGAGAUGUGGCUCAUAUUAGUUAUGGCUUGUAAACCUAGCUAUUUAUGUCAUGUCUAAUGUUUAUGAUGUGAUUAUGUUUGUUUGCCAUGCAUGGUUGGAAAUAUGACAUGCGUGUUGGAUAUAUUCUUUAUGACCAUUUGAGGUGAUCAUAGACAUGUAGUAAUUGUAUGUUAUAAAAACAACAUGACGAUGGUUGAAUAUGAGUGCUCGAGGGAUAAGUUGGUAACUUAGCAUAAUGUAAAAGUGGUAAUCAAAAUGACCGGUCUUAUGAACGUGAAUUAAUAAAUCUAGACUUGGUAUUUUAUGAGUAGGUGCAUUACAUGUAAGAUGACAUAUUAAUGUUAUGAAUGUGUCUUAAUAAAGGGUGUUUAAUUACUACAAUGAUGCCAUGAUUUGUGAUUUUGAUGUGCAUAAGGCUGUAAGGGAUUAUGGGAAACAUGAAGGCAUGGAAAAUAGCCUAAGUGUUCGCCACUCGGGUUGAGACAUGGCCGUGUGUCUCAACCGUGUGAAUAACACGUCCUGAAGACACGGGAAUGUGACCUUUCUGUAUGGUUUGAUUUGCAUGUUGAAGUCAUAAAUAGAGAGUUACACGGCCUGAGGAUACGGGUGUGUCCCCAUGUCCACACGGGUGUGUGACCCUGUUUCAUGGGAAAAAUUUCUAAGUUUUCCCAAAACUUUCAAAGGUUCUCGAUUUAGUCCCUAACUACUUUCAAUGCAUGUUUAGGUCUUCGCAGGCACGUGUAUUGGACAUUAUGCAUGUGUAUGAAAAGUUUUGAUUUGAACAAAAUUUUGUAACCCAGUUUUUACAUGCUUGUGAACGAUUAAGUCCAGUAAUGCCUCGUACCCUGUUUCUGUGUCGGACACGAGUAAGGUGGGAUAUUGUCGGCGGUUUAUCGAUGGGUUGCCUUUGAUUGCAACUCUUCUUACUAAGCUUCUGCAUAAGGGUGUCCCUUUUUUCUAGAUUGGUGUACAGCAAGAGAUCUUUGAGAAGCUCAAGUCUGUUCUUAGUUAGGCUCCCGUUCUGAUGCAGCCUGAAUCUAGAAAGGAGUUUGUAGUGUACAGUGACGCGUCGCAUGUUGGUUUGGGUUGUGUUUUGAUGCAGGAUGGUAGGGUUGUGGCUUAUGCGUCCCGUCAGCUUAAGACACACGAAGGAAACUAUCCAACGCAUGAUUUCGAGUUGGCUGCAGUGAUCUUUGCGUUGAAGAUCUGGAGACAUUAUCUGUAUGGUGAGAAUGUAUCGUUUACACCGAUCACAAGAGUCUCAAGUAUCUCCUUACUCAGAAGGAGUUAAAUCUUAGGUAGCAUCGUUGGAUUGAGUUGCUUAAGGACUAUGACUACAUGAUAGAGUAUCAUCUUGGUAAAGCUAAUAUGGUAGCCGAUGCUCUAAGUCGUAGAGCGAUAUCUGAUCUGAGGGCGAUGUUUGCUCGCCUUAGUUUGUUUGAUGAUGAGAUUUUGUUAGCCUAGUUACAUGUUAAAUCGACUUGGAUUAAUCAGAUUCGAGAUAAAUAGUUAGUGGAUGAGACUCUAGGUGUGUAGUUCCGUCAGGUUGAGAGUGGCAGCACUUCAGAUUUUGGAUUGAAUAAUGAUGGGGUAUUAUGUUUUCGAGGUCAGAUUUGUGUGCCAAUUGACUCUAAUUUGAGGCAGUCGAUUCUGAAUGAGGCACAUAGUAGCCCUUAUGCUAUGCAUCCCGAUAGUAAUAAGAUGUAUCAUGAUAUCUGUAAGUUGUAUUGGUAAUCGGGGUUGAAGCGUGAGGUUACAGAUUUCGUUGCUCGUUGUCUAACAUGUCAGUAGGUUAAGGCUGAGCAUCAGUUGCCUUUGGGUUUGCUACAGUCGGUUAAGAUUCCCCUUUUGAAAUGGGAGCGAGUGACGAUGAACUUCGGUAGUGGGUUGCCCUUAACACCAACUAAGAAGGAUUCUGUAUGGGUCAUCAUAGAUCAAUUGACCAAGUCUGCUUACUUCAUUCCUGUUCGAACUAAUUAUUCUCUGCAGAAGCUAGUGAAGUUGUACAUUUCUGGGAUAGUAAGACUGCAUGGGGUUCCUAUAUCAAUUAUUUCUGAUAGAUAUCCUCGUUUUACUCUCAGUUUUGGAAGAAAUUACAUGAGGCUCUGGGUUUAAGGUUGGACUUUAGUAUUGCGCUCUAUCCUCAGACCGAUGGUGAAUCUGAAAGGGUGAUUCAGAUACUGGAGGAUAUGCUUCGUAGUUGCGUGAUUGAUUUCUGACAUAGUUGGGAGGAUUAUCUACCUCUAGUUGAGUUCGCCUACAAUGAUAGUUUCCAAGCUAGUAUUCAGAUGGCACCUUACGAGGCUUUGUAUGGUUGUAAGUGUCGUACUCCUCUAUGUUGGACUAAGUUCGGCGAAUGUCGGGUUUUGGGUCCUAAGUUGGUUUCUGAGACUGAGGAUAAUGUACGACUAAUUCAGAAUCAUCUGAAAGCGGCUUCUGAUAGAUAGAAAUCUUAUGCGGUUUGAAGAGGCGAGACAUAGAGUACCCGAUGGGAGACUUUAUCUUUUUUAAGGUUUCUCCGUGGAAAAAGGUUCUAAGAUUCGGUGGUAAGGGCAAACUGAACCCUAGGUUUAUUGGGUUGUAUAGGAUUCUGAAACGUGUAGGACUAGUUGCUUAUCAAAUGGAGCUACCUCCUGAACUGGACCUUAUUCAUGACAUAUUACACGUCUCGAUGUUGAGGUGGUAUCAUUCUAAUCCAUCCCAUGUUGUCACAGUUGAGGAGAUAGAGGUUAGGCCAGACUUGACUUUUGAGGAGGAGUCGAUUUAGAUUCUGGACCGCGAUGUUAAGGUUCUAAGAAAGAAGUCCAUUCCAUUAGUGAAGGUGCUGUGGCGGAAUCAUAGCAUUGAAGAAGCCACUUGGGAACCUGAGUACUCGAUGCGUCAGCAAUAUCCUCAUCUAUUUUGAUUAGGUAAAUUUCGAGGUUGAAAUUUCUUUUAGGGGGUAUAGUUAUAACGCCAUAAAAUAAUUGUUUAUGUUUCUGUAAUUGUUUAACACAAAUCUGUAUCUCCUUCAGUGGUUAAGUGUUCUGGGUGUGUGUGUGAGGUCCCAAGUUCAAGUAUUACCUUUAUCAAUUUUGGUUAUUUUUGGAAUUAAAUCUUAUCCUUGUUCAAUGGGCUUAUAUUUAAUUAUCUGUGUGUAAGAGAUGAACGUGUGAUGGUCGGAGUGUGGCUAUGUGAGAUACACGAGUUAGGCCAAGUUAGGUGUGAGGGCGCACACGGGCAUGUCACAUAGGUGUGUGGAUUCUGGGCCAGGCCUUGUAGGCCACACGAGUAAGGGCAAUCUGGGCGUGUGGUCCACACGUCCCUGAAUGUUUCCCUAGGGUUGCAUGGGUCGUCCUAAAUGACUGUGGGCCUACUGUAGGGUCAGUUAGGGCUAAAUAAACCCUAAACCUAAUGAUCUGAUUGUUUGAUAUACUGAUCUAAUUAGGAUACUGAUGAUGAUCUGAUUGCUUGAUAUACUGAUCUAAUUAGAAUACUGGUAUACGUUUACUUGCACUACUAUCUGCAUAUAUGUUAUCUAUGUAUGUUUAUAUGUAAGCAUGUGAGCAUGUUAGACUGUUAUUUAUAUCUAUAUAUUUUUGUAUCUUAUAUUGGGGAUGGGAUUAUGUAUUUUGGAGGAAGAAUUAUGAAAUGCAUUUUAUGUCUAUUAUCUGGCUACAUGGUUGCAUUAUAUCCGUUAUAUGCUGCAUCGGUACAACAUGGUGUGUAGGGCUAGGUGGGUGUUUUGGUGUGUAGGGAUGGUCGGAGAUGGUGUGUAGAGGAUGGGGGUAGGAUAUCUGAUUUCUGAUUCUGAUUUGCAUAUCUGUAUCUGUAAUAGGCUUAAGCCCGAAUCUGUAUCUGACUGAUUUUGAUUUUCUGGUUGUGUGCAUGCUUAAUUCUGUGGGGUUACACACUGAGUUUACGUAAACUCACUCUUUUCUGUUUAUUCUGUACAGGUAAUCCAUAGUCUUAGGCGAAUCGGUGCUGCGGAGCUCCUUGGUGACCAUCUGUUCGAACUGAUUAUGGUUGCGAUAUAAUUUUUAUAUUCUAGUUUAUUCUAGUUUUUAUGUAACACAGACUGUUUUCUUUUAAUUUGGGUUAGACUGCGAAUUUUAUGAUUUUAUAACUACUAAACGCGUUAUAACUCAGAUUUUGCCAAAAGCAAGGGCUUUUCUAAAAUCUUAAACGGUUUUCUAAACUCAACAUUUUUUAAAUCUUCCGCUACAAAUACAUCUAAUCUCUAAGCAAUUAAAUGAAUAAGAGCUUUGAAAUUGAUAAUUGUAAGGGCGAAUGAACUAGUAUGGUUUUUAACUUAACGACAACGAUUUUCAACCCCAUUUCAUGUGACACUUCCGUAUUCGGCCAUAACGUCUAGGCCGGGUUUGGGGUGUUACAUACCUUAAAUCCUGAGUAAAUGGCAAACUAUGUAUGCGUAGCUCAUAUACUUUGAUAUAAGUAAAAGACUUAGUUCAAACUAAGGAACCGAAAGUUAGUGCAUUGGGUAUACAUAAUGCAUUGGGUAUACGAGUUCUCCAGUAUGUAGCAUCAUUCACAAGAGUGUAAUUCAUAACCCAAUGUAUGCGUAAAUGUGUCCUCUCAUUGACAUUACAUGGUUGAUGAAAAAUUAACGUGGCCACGGGUCAUUUGCCUUUGUGAUGAAUUACUUGAUUACUAUUUGAUAGUAAUUGACUUUUCAUGAAGAAAAAUGUAAUGGUUACCAUGAGAUAAAAUAUAUCAUAUUGGUGUUGGAUUUGGUGCCCUGAGUGUAGUAUAUUUGUUUGUAAACUUGUAAUUUUUUCGAAUAGAUUGGUUAAUAAAAGAAUUCAUAGAUUACAUUAAUAUAUUUUGUAUAAUUGUCCUCAAGUGGUUUUUGCAUGCAAAGAAAAAUAGAAGCAAAUAUUGACUCACUGGUUUUCUUAUGUCUAAACUAAUACUAAGAGAUAUUACAUGGUUGGACCGUAAUAUGGGUAUAUAAACUUAAACAUGUCCUUAUUCUAAUCCAAAAUGAGAAAACUGAUUGAAAUACUAAUAUGACGUCUUUCAAGUUCAAUUGGGGAGAUGUCUUGUCUUAGGCAUCGGGGUGAAUAACUCCCAAAAGAUAGAGACAGUGAUAUGACUGACUAGACUAAUAGUACAUUGGACUAGACCAAUAGUACAUUGGACUAGACCCAAUAAGAAUAGAUCUUGAAUCCAUUUAGGGAUUUAUUCACUUGUGACGUUCAAAGUAUGUCAUACCUUAAUCCUGAGUGGAUGACAGACUAUGCAUGCAUGACUAAUAUACUUUGAUGUAAGUAAAAGCCUGAUUUCAAAUAAAUAAAUAGCUGAAAACAGGUGCGUUGGGUAUACAACAGUAUGUAGCAUCAUUCACAAUAGUGGAAUUCGUAGCUCGAGAUUUGGGCAAAUGAUAUUCUCUCAUUUCCUUUACAUGGUUGAUGAAAAGUAAAUAAUGUCACAAGUUGUUCGUCUUUAUGAUGGAUGACUUGAUUACUAUUUGAUAGUAAUUGACUUUUUAUGAAGGAAUAUAUAAUGGUUAUCAUGAGAUAAAAUAGAAUCAUAUUGGGGGAACAAAUUUAUCCCAAAGAGAUUAAGGAUAUACUAUGAGGGUAACACACUUAUGACAAGGUCAUUUGAAAAGCACUAAUUAAGUUGUUUUCAUAAUGUAUGUCAUUAGGGAGAGCUCAAUCACGAUAAUACAGUGGAAUACUUUCGUGAUUAAAUGAGAUUAAAAUUAAUAGACGAAAAGCUAAAAAUUAAUUAUAAAUCAUUUGAACCCUAAACACAUAUGUUUAGUUGGUCCCUCCACUAGCUCGUUGAAGCCAGAAAUGAAUUGUAAGUUAAAUCAAAUGGACAUAAAUGGAUAGAAAUUAUAAAGUUAGAGAAAUGGGAAACAUUUGGAAAUUAAUGAAGUUUUCUCUAAAUGGAAAUGACCUGGAAAAUGAAUUUAUGAUUUUUCAAAUUAUUAUUUAAUUCAUCAGUUAAAUAAUUGAAAUUUGAAAAUGAAAAUAAAGUAAUUGGUCGUAGUGAAUCCAUUGAAUGUAGAAAUAUUAAAUAUAUUUUCUCAUAGAUUCUUUUACGAUAAAGUCAUCAUCAUUGUAAUGGAAUUGGAAUUGAGUUGAGAAAAUUAUUUAAUUGAAAAAUUAAUUUAAGAUGUUUAUUUGGGGAAAUAGAAAAAAAGUCAGGUUGUAUUGAAUUAUAAAGUACUAGAUUAAGAGUCCCAAAAGCCUAUCAUGUUUAAUGCUAAGGACAACAAACCAUAGUUUGUUUAUCUAGGGAAAUAAUAGUUUGUUUAACUAGGGUUUACCACCCCAUCUAAUCCUAGUUCGAAUAGGAUUUAAUUUUUCUAUUGAAAUAAUCUUCUACAAUUUAAUAAGGGUUUCACUUUUUUUCCUAUAAAUAGAUGACACAGUUAAGGCUAAACAUACAAUAAAAAUUUUAGAUAUUUUACUAUGCCUGAAAAUAGUGAGAAUUAAUUUUCUAUGUAUAAAUUAUAUUUUUUGUAAUAACCAUUCUAUCGGUUUCUAUAAGAGAAAAUGUAACAGCCCGUUUUCAGUGAAAUCAAAAUAGUGAUUUUGGGACCACGAAUUUGACAUUUAAAUAAUUAUUUUAUUAAUAUUUUAAGGUCUACAGCAUGUUAUUAGUGUCGUAUAAAAAUUUUGUUAAGAAAUUUUAUCAUUUGCAUGCUUAAUUUGAUAAAAAGAACUAAAUUGCAAAAGGUGUAAAACUUGAGUUCUAUAAGUAAAAAAUUCCAAAUUGCUAUGAAUUUUGAAUGUGGGUGGCCUUAAAUGGUAACUAGACCAUUAACAUUACUAGUGGACAAAGAUGGACAUCUUUUAACUGAUUUUUGAAGGUUUAAUUAAAGGUUAUCUAUGUAAUUUAAUAAAUAAAUCAAAAUAAGUAAAAAUAAAACCAUUUUUAGUCCAUCUUCUUUUUUUUUCUUAUUUUUCUAAGGAGAAAAAUCACCAUUUUAUGGUUUGAGCAUUCGACAAGUUCAUCCUUGUGCAUGUAAGUGGUUUUUGUCCCACUUUUAAUGAUUUCAAUGUUUUUGGAGUUGUUGUAGCUUAAUCUAGCUAGCCCAGUGACUAAUUUGCAAAACUGUUGAAUGUCUAGGGUUUUACCAUGAACGCAUUUUAGUUGUUUGUGAUGUCUAAUGGAAGAAAAUGAAUCCUUAUUGUUAGAUAAAUAACUUUUGUUAAGUGUUUUUUUGAUAAAUUUGUCAAUUAGGGGUUAAAUUAAAAAAUGUGAAAUAUUCAUGGUGUAAUUUGUGAAUUAAUGAACUGUGAGGGCUGCUAUAAGCUUGUCUGAUAUUUGCUAGGCUUGGGUAGGGAUGAAAUUGCAUGAAUUUCAUUUUAUGAGCCUAAGGAUUAAUUUGUAAAGAAAUCAAAAGUAUAAGGGAAAAAUUAUAAUUUUACUAAAAUGUGAAUUUGAGUUAAAUUGAAAAGAAUGAUUAUUGAAUUGAGCUGAACUUAUUCAUUUAGAUCAAGAUAAACCAUGUACAUCAUUAGAUCGAGGCAAAGAAAAAGCUUCGGAUUAGUCGACUUCAUUUUUCUACGUUUAUUGUCAAGGCAAGUUCAUACGUUUAAGUUUCGUUUUUAUUUAUGAAUUGAAAGCUAUUAUUGUAUAAUAUUAAAUUGAGUGUUGACGGAAGAAUCCAACGGCAUAACAUCGAUCAUUGACAAAUAAAAAGGGAUAGCUUUUGCUAUCGAAUACGAAAAGGGAUAGCUUCGACUAUCGAUUAUGAAAAGGGAUGGUGACGAACAUCAACAAUGAAAAGGAAUGUUGAUGACCAUCGAACUAUGAAAAGGGAUGGCUUCAACUAUCGAACUAUGAAAAGGGAUAGCUUCAGCUAUCAAAUUAUGAAAAGGGAUGGUGAUGACCAUCGAACAAUGAAAAGGGAUGGUGACGACCAUAAAAUUAUGAAAAGGGAUAGCUUAGGCUGUCGAACUAUGAAAAGGGAUAACUUCGGUUAUCGAAUAAUGAAAAGGGAUAGGUCAACCAUCAUAUUAUUACCUCGUGUGAACUUCGGUAAGAGCUUUCAAUGUAAAUUACAUUAGUUUGAUGAAAGGUAAGUAAUGUGUACCUUGUGAAAGUUAAGAGUAUGAAUGUACAUAUAUAUAUAAGUUUUUGAAUUAGUUAUUCUCAUGUUGGAUUGGGUUUACAUGCUUUGUGGUUGUAUAUUGUGUUGGCAAGGUUAGACUGUACGUGUUACGAACUUACUAAGCAUGACAUGCUUAUUUUGUAUUAAUUUUUCUAUGUUUGGUAGUUUUCGGAAGCUCGUUCAGGUUGGAAAGUCAUCGGAUAUCUAUCACACUAUCUAUCGGCUCUUUUGGUACUUCCAUAUGUUUAAUUUUGGUUAUAAUGGCAUGUAUAGGUAUUUUGGCUAAUGUUGGCCAUGUGUUUUGGUUGUUGGAAUAACCAUUUGGUUUGGCUUGUGACGUAGCAUUUUGUUAUUGAUAUGAGCUUAGUUUAUGGCCGAUGUUUGGCUUAAUAUGUUUGAGUUGUGAUAAAUAUAUAUGCAUAUUGUAUAAGCCUUAUAACUUGUUGUGGUUUGGUAUCUUAUUAUGAAAGGUAUAUAAAUGGCUGUUGAUGUUAGUUAAUGAAUGGAAUAUUUUGUAUCAUUUGAUAAGAUUUGGUAAGUUAAUUCAAUGGUUUGAAUUGAUACAAGUUUAGUUGAAAGUUAGUUAGUCAUUUUGGCCAAUUUGAACACAUGGUUAAACAUGUUUAUACAUUGUCAUUUAAGGUGCCUAAGGGCAUAUUGGUUGUAUGAUGUUAUACCAUAUGUAUAUGAUUUGUUUAUGCUUGAUUUUGGUGCCUUAUUAAGGCUUGUGCAUAUGUGCAUUUUGGUUAUAGGUACAUGCUAGUUUGGGUGAGAAAAAUGGCUUGUAAAAUGGCCUAUUUUCGUCCACAUAGGUAGAGACACGGGCGUGUGGCUUGGCCAUGUGACACAAGUUAGUGAGUUACAUGGGUACGGACACGGGCUAGGACACAGCCGUAUAUCCCUACUUCGAAUGCCCACACAACUUGAGACACAGGCUUGUCUCUUGGUUGUGUGAGUCAAACGGCCAUGUGACCUCUGCAGUGUUGAAAAUUUUUAUGAUUUUCUAAAAAAUUCUCUUAGUUUCCGAUUUAGUCUUGACAUGUUUCUAAUGUGUAAUUAGGGCAUCGAUAGCUCGUUUAAGGGACAAUAUGUAUGUUUUGAAUUGGUUUUAAUGUGUUUAUUGAUAUGGUUUGGAAAGUUUAAAAUUUAUGUCUGUUUGUUUUGAAAACUCCGGUAAUGCUCUGUAACCCUAUUUCGGCGACAGAUACGGGUUAAGGGUGUUACAGAGAAUUUUCCUUUCCCACGAAAGUAAAGAAAAUAUAUUCAGUUUUGUGUUUGAUUCAAAUUUGUUUGAGCCCAUAAUGAAAGCAGUUCAUGGUACGAGAAUAAAAAAGAAAGUCAUUCAGUUGAAUGCCAGGAACGACAAUAAUUCGUCUAGCCGAAAACAUAUGUACGAUUUCAAUAAAAAUUUGAGAUAUUUUAUUAUGCCCGAAAAUAGUGAGAAUUAAUUUUCUAUGUAUAAAUUAUUUUUUUGAAUAAUAAUUCUAUCGGUUUCUAUAAAAGAGAAUUUUGCUUUCCAAUUGAAAGUAAAAAAAAUAUUUUCAAUUCUGUAUUUGAUUCAAAUUUGUUUGAGCCCAUACUCGAAGCAGUUCGUGGUACUAUAAUAGAAAAGAAGGUCGUGAACGAUAAGUAUUUGUCUAGUCGAAAAUACAUGUGCAAUCUCAAUAAAGGGUUUAUUACAUAAAUAUCACAAAAAUUGGUAUCAGAGCUAGGUUGUGAUAUGUUUAUAGUAUAAAUUGAAACCAAAAGUUUUCUUUCUUCUUCUUAUUUGAUUAAUUUUUAUAAGAUAUGAUAUUCUUGUAAUUAUCAACAUGUUUAGGGAUAUAUAUUUGAAUGAAUGUAUGCUAUUAUUUUAUUAUAUAUGAUAAAGUAAAUUUACCAAAGUUGUGAUUCCUAGAAAAUUGAAAUUAUUCUUAAUAUUCGGGUAUGUAUAAUUAGAUCAUCGAUUAUAAUCUCCACGAAUGAUUUAUUUUAUUAUUUUAGAAUAAGUUAUGUGAAUUGGGAACAGACAUAGAAGCUAUAUAACCUAUAUUUUCGACGGAACUUGGAGAACUAAAACACAUCUAGGUUGAUUGAGAUGAUGGAAAGUCGAUCCAACCAAACUAGCAAUUGACCUGUCGUCAAAUGUUGUGACCUAUUAAGCCGACACAGGCCUUAGGUAGUUCUAAUAUGCUAAAUUGAGUGUGUAGGAUGAAGAUUUAUAGGCCUAAUUGACGUAGAAGCAAGAGACGACAUUGCACAAGUUUCCCAAGCUGCCAAAGUAUGAAACGAACCAAGCAAGGCAUAAUUUGCUCAUCAUGUCGCGCCAUGCAAGGGCUAUGACGCGAUAUAGGUUGAUGUGGUGCCCAAGAAUAUCAAGGUUUUUUUUCCCACACAAUCAACUUUAUACGAAGACCUAGGAUGUGACAGCCCUAAUUUGACCCUAGUCGGAAAGUGGUUUCGGGACCACAAAACCGAGCUAUAAAAAAUAAUUAUAAGUUAUAUUUCAUGUUUAUGAAGUGAGUAAAUACAAGUGUGAAAGUUUUAAGCUUUGAUUUGGUCAUUUGCAUGUGAAUUUAUUCAAUAGGACUUAUAUGUGAUACUUUUGAAAUGUGAUUAGUUAAUUUUUAAUGGUUUAAUAAUGCAUGUGUUUAAAGGAAUGGUUUUGCAUGUUAAUUUACCCAUUUCUAGUUAGUGGCCGGCCAUGUUACUAUUAUAUUAUAAAAUAUGAUAAUUUUUAUAAGCUUUAUUUAGUUAAAUGCCAUAUUAUCAUGAAUGAAUGUAAUAAAAUAAAGAAAUAAAAUAGUAGGUGGGUGAAAACAACAAAGUAUUCACCUUGUUUCUUUCCAAAAACCGAAAGAGAAGAAGAGUUGGGGAGAAAGGAGCCAUUCGAUCAUUUAGGUCUUCAUUGAGGUAUGAAAUUCAUGUAAAUUUUUGAAAUGUUAGAUAAAUUUGAACUAAUCACCAAGUUCUUUAGGUAACCCAUGUUAGAAAUUUCGGUAUUGAGAUGUCUAGAACUUUCGGCCAUAGUCGCUAUGGAGAAAUAAGGUUUUUGUUUCUUGUUAAAUUGGAUGAAUCUUGUUGUAUGAGUGCUUGAACAAACUAUGAUCAAAUAGAUGCAUAGAUUCAAAGUGGGAAGAAUUGGCUAUUAUGUUUGAUGCUAAUGCCGAAUAUGAAAAUGUUGUACUUGAGUAAUGUAUGUGGUUUGAGUUAAUAAAAUGAAAAGAAUGCUUAAAUGUGUUAUAAUCGAUUAGGGGUUAAAUUAAAAAAUUGCUAAAAAUUUCCAUGGUUCUAGCCAAAUAUGCGUUUGAUUAAGAAGAAAUUGUUGAAAAAUGUAGGUGAACAUGACAAGUGUAUUCGGCUUAGGGCAUAAAGGAUAUGAAAAUUUUGGUAUUUAUUUUUGAUUGUGUGUGUGUAUGACCAUGGAUAGUUGGCCGCAUAAAUAUUAUAAAUACAUGAUGUAUAUUAUAAUUAUUAAGCUACAAAACAUUGUACAUGUUCGGCCAAGGUAAAUUAUUUGAGUAAAGUAUAUCUUGAUGGUACAUUUCGGCUAGUAUAAAAUGUAUUAAAGCUAUAUGUAUAAUUGUUUAAUGUGACUUACCAAAUAUACAAAUUUGAAAAUGAAAUGACGAGAGACUUAAGUGGGCAAUUAAUUCAAGUGAAUUGGUUCUAAAAUGUAUAUGGAUGCCGUAUGACUGUGUUUGAUUUGGGAAGUAAAUUUUUUGAUUUAGCUCAAGAGCUUAGAGGAUCAAAGUUGGAUAGGGGAAAGGAAAAAGUGAUCGAAUAGCCGUUGAAAUCGUUCGACAACAUCCGAGGUAAGUCUUUGAGUAAUGGAACUUAAUUUAUGAUUUGAUUAAAUCACGACAUAUAAACAUAACAAAUAAACGGUGAUAUAAUGAUUCUACUUGAAUUAUGUAUCGAGGUAAUUAGUUUAUACUUAUGACUGGUAGCCGAAUGUGUAUAGAGAUCAUGUUAUAAAGCAAAUCGAAAUCAUGCUCUUUGUAUGUGGCUAUUGAGCCGAAAAUGAGAAUGGUUGAUAAGUGUCUUGUGCUUGAGUUCUAGUAAUGAAAAUGAAAUACAGAUGUGUUAUGAUAUAUUGAUAUAUGUGUAUGAUUAUUCGGAUAAUAUCCGGACUAAGAUCCGAAGGCAUUUGUGCUAGUUACUAUAUCCAGACUAAGAUCUGAAGGCAUUCGUUCGGGUUAUUAUAACCGGGUUAAGUCCCGAAGGUAUUCGUGCGGGUUAUUAUAACCGGGUUAAGUCCCGAAGGCAUUCGUGCUGGUUAUUACAUCCGAGCCAAAUUCCGAAAGUAAUUAUGUUUGGAAAGGCGCGGUUCUGUCGUAAUAAUUCCGAUUAAUGUGCUCAUAAUCCCUAAUAUGACCAGGUAUGGAUCGUAUAUGUAACGCCCCGUACCCGAGACUGUUGCCGGAGUCGAACACGAGAUGUUAACGGACUUAAUUCAUUUACUUACGCAGUUCAUUUUAAAAUUUCCAGACAAGCUGGCUAAUUGCAUCACAGUCACUUUAAAAAUCAUAUCUCGAGUUCCAAAACUCAAAAACCGAUUCCGUAAAUUUUUCCUGAAACUAGACUCAUAUAUCCAUCUACAAAUUUUUUUCUAGAAUUUUUGGUUGAUCCAAUUAGUACAGUUUAUUAGUUAAAUUCUCCCCUGUUUUAGGGUUUGACUACUCUGACCUUCAUGCAUGACGACUUAGAUAUCUCCCUGUACAGGGCUUCAAUACUUAUGCCAUUUGUUUCUAGUGAAACUAGACUCAAAAAGGAAUCUAUACAUGUAAAGCAUGACUUCUAAUUAUCUCUGGUUAAUUUAUGGUAAAUUUUCAAAGUCAGAAUAGGGGAUCCAGAAAAUGCUCUGGCCCUGUUUCACGAAAACUUAAACAUCUCAUAAACUAUGGCUCAUAUGGUCGUUUUGUUUCUUUCAUAUGAAAAUAGACUCAUCAAUAUUCGAUUACAUAAUUUAUUCACUAUUUAAUUCCAUUCCUACUAUUUUUAGUAAUUUUUCCAACUUACGUCACUGCUGCUGUCAGCAUCUAUUUUAGGGUAAAUUUUACCUAUUUCAUAAUUUUCCAUGAAUCAAAUAGUAAAUUGACAUACAUUAUUAUCAAGGGUAAUCCCGAUUAGCCAUGACGUACGUAGCACCAAUAGGACCAUGAUUGGCCAUUCCAAUGGCUGGUCAUUACCAAACAUUUCCACACCACUUAAUAACCAUAUCACAAGACCAUAAUGUUAUACUUCGAAAUAUACGAGCCAUUUUCGCAUGGCUAUACGAAUACACAUUACCAAAGGGUACUUAAUUAACAACAAGGGUCAGCCAUAUACAUGCCAUGUUCAAAAUUGAACUAAAAGAGUACCAAAAGUGGCUUAGAUAGUGUGGAUGACUUCGACUUUGACACUCCCGAGUCCGAUAGCUGACGAACAAAAUCUAUAAAACAGAGAAUCAAAGUAACAGAGUAAGCAUUUUAAUGCUUAGUAAGUUCAAGUAAUGAAAUUAUUCACGACUAAGGUAUAAAGUUCAUAUGACUACAUGAAUAAUUGCAUAUAUGCAUGUUCUCAAAUCAUACUUACUUCAUGCUUCAACCAUUAUAUUCAUACACAGGGAAUCAAACCUAACUAGAGGUCGGAAGUUCGUUAAUCAAUUGAGCGAAUACUAUUUAAAAGGAAUCAACCUUUCCGAUGCAUAUACGAAACAUACCUUAUUGUUUGGAUUUUAUGAGCGUAUUAAUUGAAAUUAUUACAGCAAGAUCGCUCACUUCCAAACCCAAGUACCUUCGGGAUUUAGCCGGAUAUAGCAACUCGUACAAAUGCCUUCGGUACUUAGCCCGGAUAUAGUCAAUAGCACAAAUGCCUUCGGGACUUAGCUCGGAUAUAGUCAAUAGCACAAAUGCCUUCGGGACUUAGCCCGGAUAUAGUCAACAGUACAAAUUCCUUCGGGGCUUAGCCCGGAUAUAGUCACUAGCACAAUGCCUUCGGGACUUAGCCCGGAUAUAGUCACUAGCACAAAUGCCUUCGGGACUUAGCCCGGAUGUCAUCCGAAUAAUCAUGCACAUAUAUCAAUAAAUCAUGACACAUCCAUAUUUCAUUUUCAUUACUAAAGCUCAAACACAAGACACUUAUCAAACCUUACCAAUUUCGGCUCGAUAGCCACAUACAAGGAACAUGAUUUUGAUUGGCUUUAUAACAUGAUCUCUAUACACAUUCGGCUACCCGUCAUAGGUAUAAACUAAUCACCUCAAUAUAUCAUUCAAGUAAAGUCAUUAUAUCUCCGUUCAUUCGUUAUGCUUAUAUGUCAUGACUUAAUCAAAUCAUAAACUAAGUUUCAUUACUCGAAGACUUACCUCAGAUGUUGUCGAACGACUUCAACGGCUAUUCAAUUACUUUUUCCUUCCCUUUAUCGGAUUUAGUCCCCCUUUGCUCUUGAGCUUAAGUUCAACAAAUUUUAAACUAGUCAUUAAUCGACAAUUCAAGUAUUACUUUCAGAAUAUAAUACAUAUAGAUUCGACUUUCACACAUAUAGAUUAUAGUAAGCUUUAUAAAAAUCAAUAAAUAAUUCAUUAGCAAAUUUUCAUUAAUGUUUACAAUAUAAUUACAAUUUCCCUAUAAGCUGACUUCCUGAGCAACAGUCACUAAAGUUUUUAUAACUGGAGCUACGAAACUCCAAAUCAAUUGCCGUAAAUUUUUCUUGACAGAAGACUCAUUUAUCUAUUAUCCAUAAAAUUUUCAAAAUUUUUAGUUUAGCCCAACAAUACCAGAUUUUUCUUAAAGUUCACCUUGUUUCACUGUUUGACUAAACUGACUACUCUUCACUACGAAUCAAAUUUCUCAUUGUACAGAAUUCAAAAUAUGUUCUCGUUUAUUACAUUUGAAACUAGACUCAUUAAGGAGUCUAAGCACAUAAAUUUUAUCUUAGGGCCAUUUUUUUACAAUUUAUACUGAUUUUAUAAAAACAGAACAGAGAAUCUAGUAGUCAUUUUGACUUAGCCCCACAAUAUUUCAAAUAUCUCAAGAUCGGUAACUCUUUUGUUUUUAUAGUUUCUUUUGUAAGAAACUAGACUCUUCAAGCUUUAAUUACAUAAUUUAUUCAGCUUCUAACUCAACUCCUGCAAAUUAUGGCGAUUUUCCAAAAUCACCUUACUGCUGCUGUCCCCAAGCAGAUUAUUACCAAAUCAAAUACUAACAUUUGCAUUUCACCUCAAUAGCUAGCUUAGCAAACCUUAAUUUAACAUAUAAUUGCUCAUAACACAAUUAAAGCAUCCUCUCCAUUCCAUCAAUUCAAAACACAUACAUUGCCCAAUAAUACCCAAAAUCAUAUUCGGCCUUAAUACACAACUUGUUAGCUGAUUUUUCUCCAUUUAGCAACUAAUGCACAUAUGUGCUCCUUUGUUAGACUCUACUUCACCUAACUACCAUUUUCUUUUUCAUCCAAAUAACAUGAACAACAACCAUUUCCUGAACAUUUUCUCUUCAACAAUUCUUCAUAAAACAUAAAGACUAUAACCCAAUCUUAUCCUAUAAUAACUAAAACCGAAUACUCAAGACACCACACCAUUUCAAAUUUUGGUCAUGGGUUAAGCAAAGAACUUAAGAACUAACUCAAAAUAUACUAAAAUUUCAAGAAUUAGCAUGAACUACUCACCUUAUUUUGAGUUCAAGAUCACCGAAUGCUCUUGUUCUUUUCUUUCUUUAGAAUCGGCUAGGAAGAAACAUGGAUGAAGACUUUGUUUCUUUCACCCAUUUUCUUCCUUUAAUUAUCAUUUCUUUAUUUUAUUACAUCCUCCAUACUAAUAUGGCAUCUAGCUAUUUAAAGUUAAUAGAAAAUUCACAUUUUAUUAUAUAAUUUGUAGCAUGGCCGGCCACUACCUAUAGUUUGGCUAAUUUGACAUGCAAGUACAAGCACUUUCCCACAUACAUUAAUAGGCCACUUUAGCAUUUGCCUAGCACAUUUCUAAAUUGUCUCACAUAAGUCCCUACUAAUAAAUUUCACGUAUACUGACCAAAUUAAAGUAUGAAACUUCCACACAUUCAUAUUCACAUAUAAUAAGCAUCAAAUAUGACGGUUAAUUAUUUUUAUGACUCGGUUUUGUGGUCCCGAAACCACUUUCCGACUAGGGUCACAUUAGGGCUGUCACAGUAUAUACAUUGGAAAAAUGUGGUACAGUAUAAGUUGUGAUUAUGUAAUUGAAUAAUGCUCUCCCGGCCAUUCCUUAGGGUUAUAUGAAGUCUAUAGCUCACUCGAGUUACAUGAAAUUGAUUCAAAUGUAAUUUAGUUAAGUUUGACUUCGAAUGUGUAAACAUAUUGAUAGAAGUGUAAAUUAAAAUGAAUAUGUGAUCUUGUGCAUAGACAAUUAUUUAUCCUUAUGAAUGCUAUUUCUUUUAUGUUUUUGUUUCAAAUGAUUUCCUUACUUAUAAGCUUACUAAGCAUCGAAACGCUUACUCUGUUGCUUAAAUUCACCGUAUUAUAGAUUUUGUUCGUCAGCUAUCGGACUCGGAAGUGUCAAAGUCGAAGUCAUCCACACUAUCUAAGCCCCUUUUUGGUACUCUUUUAGUUGAACUUUGAUAAUGGCAUGUAUAGGACCGACCUUUGUUGUUAAUUAAGUAUCUUUUGGUAAUGUAUAUAUAUUCGUAUAGCCAUGCGAAAAUGGCAUAUAUAUUUUGAGUAUAGCAUUAUAAUCAUUUUGUAUAUAUGGUCUUAUGAUAUGGUUAUUGAGAGGUAUGGAAAUGCUUGGUAAUGAUUAGCCAUUGGAAUGGCUAAUCAUGAUCAUAUUUGGUGCUAUGUAUGUCAAAUUGCUAGCUAAUCCAUGGAAACCAUGAAAUAGGUAAAAUUUAUCACAAAAUAGAUUCAGACAGCAGUAGUGACACGAAUUUGAAAAAUCACUAAAAAUAGUAGAAAUGGAAUUAAAUAAUGAAUAAGUUAUGGAAUCAGAUCUUGAUGAAUCUAUUUUCAUAUGGAAGAAACAAAAUAGGUAUAUGAGCUAUAUUUUAUGAGAUGUUUAAAUUUUUGUGAAACAAGGCCAGAACGAUUUCUGGAUCCCCUGUUAUGACUUUGGAAAUUCACCAUAAAUUUUACAAAGAUAAUUAAAAGUCAUGAUUUAUAUGUACAGAUUCAUUGUUGAGUCUAGUUUUAUUAGAAACAAACGUCAUAGUCAUUGAAGCUUUAUACAGGGAGAUAUCUGAUUCGUAAUACACAGAGGUCAGAGUAGUAGAACCCUGAAAUGGGGGAGACUUUAACUAAUAAACUGUACUAAUUGGCCUGACCAAAAAUUUUAGAAAACAAUUAGUAGAUAGAUGUAUGAGUCUAGUUUCAGGAAAAAUUUACGGAAUUGGAUUUCGAGUUUUGGAACUCGAGAUAUGAUUUUUAAAGCGACUGUGAUGCAGUUAGCCAGCUUGUCUGGAAAAUUUUUAAAUGAAUUGUAUGUGCUGUUUAAGUAAUGAAUUAAGUCCGUUAACACCUCGUGUUCGAUUCCGGCAACGGUCUCGGGUACGGGGUGUUACAUAGGACAUGUCAAAGAUGUAAUUUGGGUUGUCAACACUCUUAUAAAUAAGUCCUUAGGGGCCUGAUGUAACUAAGUCAUCCUAGAAGUAAUAAAAAACCCGAGUAGUUUAGGAGUAGGAUUAGAUUAGCUUUCUUUUAGCUUUUCAUAAACUAUUUGUUUUCGCUCUUGGAAUCAAUUUAGAUCCAAGUGUUAUUUUAUUUUAUUAAAGUAUUUCAGUUUAUUUCCAAGAGUUAUUUUAUCUUAUUAAAGUAUUUCACUUUAUUUCUUAUUUGUAUUUGACAUAUUUCAUUAUUCCGAUCAAUUGAUUUGCUACUCCAUUCUUCAUUUGAUAUCAAAUCCAUGUUUAUUCUAAUCUCGUUUCUCUUCCCAUUCAAUCGAAUUGUUUACAUGAUUUAUUCAAUUGAGUUAAAGAUUAUGAAUUUCUCUUCCCAUUCAAUCGAAUUGUUUACAUGAUUUAUUCAAUUGAGUUAAAGAUUAUGAAUAACAGGAGUGGCUAAAUCCCUUAGGGGAGAUUAAAGAGUGGAUGUGGACGUCAUUAACAAAGGAUUUAAGGUUUUUAGAGAGGAUUAUUUGGUAUAGAAUAUGCUUUCUUAAACCCUAGGCUUGAUAACCCUAGGAAGUUAUCAUAGGUUAGACAAGAUUAGGAGAUAGUCGAAUCGAGUAAAUUAUAAUUUAUCAUAGUUGAGAAAGUUAGGUUGAGAGAUAAGCGAGUAUUAACCAAUCGAUUAAUUAGUUAAAGGUCGAGCGAUAAUAAGUGGUUAAUCGGUAGCUAAUCCACCCUAAAACCCUAAUUCAAAGGUAAUUAUAAACCCUGAAGCGAGUUAAUAUUCCUGAUUGGGUUGUUGAUUUUAGUCGUUUGUUAUUUUUCUUGUUUAAUUUUUUAGUUAUUUAAUUUCUAUCAUUAAUCUAUUUUAUGAUUUGUCAUAAUAUAGGAUUUAAUUAAUACUAUUUAGACUUAUUAUUGUAAAAAGGUUUUUAUAAAUUUAUUCUAUUCUCCCUUGGGUUCAAUCCUUAGAAUGCUUCCAAGUGUUUCAUUGUAAACCAUAUUACAUUACAAUUUGACUCAUGCACUUGCAGACACCCUUGAGUUAAUUUUUAUAUAUUUGGUGUUAUUUUUACUAUAAACGAUAAUUCAUUUAUUUGUGGUCACAUUGUUAGCACCAUUGCCAGGGAAGUUUCGGUAAUAAAUCUUGAAAAUAUUUUUUACUAUCAAUAAGACAAUUAGGAAAGUUAAAACCUAGAUAUACGUUGAGAAAGUAAUUAAUUACAAUAGGCGCAAUCGUCAACUCAUGAACACUGAUCCAUACACGGUAAUUAAUUUGCCUCAGGAAAUUACACUAUUCAAAAAUCCAAGAGAUCAACAAGUUAAUAACAGAGAAGAAGUCCCCAUGGACCAGCAGAUGUUACCUACAUUAGACACGAUGUGAGGAAGCAUAGAAUGGUCGACAAUCAAUGCCAAUAAGUUUGAGAUAAAAGCGACCACUAUUCAGAUGAUCCAAAACACACUGCAAUUUAAGGAAAACAUGGUGGAAGACCCAAACCAAUACUUGAAGCAAUUCUUACAACUCUACGAUACCUUCAAAUACAAUGGGGUAUCCAAUGAUCUUGUGCGUCUUCAGUUAUUCCCGUUCUCAUUGUGCAACAAUGCGAAUGAUUGGAUAGAUUCAUUAAAACUGAGUUCCAUUACCAUGUGGAACGAUUUAACGAAAAAAUUUCUCUAUAAAUUUUUUUCUAUUAGUUGAACCAUUCAACUUAGGUGAGAAAUGACCAACUUUAAAUAAUUUGAAGGGGAAUCCUCGUAUGAGACCUGAGAACACUUCAAAACAAUUGUAGCAAUCCAUUUUCAGUGAAAUCGGAACAGUGAUUUUGGGACCACAAAUCUGAUUACAAAAUAAUUAUUUUAUUAAUAUUUUAAUGUCUAUAGUGUGUUAGUAGUGUCGUAUAAAAAUUUCAUGAAUAAAUUUUAUCGAUUAAAUGCUUAAUUUGAUAAAAAGGGCUGAAUUGCAUAAGGUGCAAAAUUUGAGUUCUAUAAGUAAAAGGUGUCAAUUACUAUGAAACUGGAUUAUGAGGGGCCUUAAAUGGCAAUUAGAACAUUACUAAAAGUAGUGGACAAAUAUUUACAUCAUUAAUGUGAUUAAUAAAGGUUAUAUAGGUAAUUUAAUAAAUAAAACCAAAAUAAGUAAAAAAAAACCAAAUUUUCGUCUAUGUUCUUCACCUAGCUGAUUUUCUAAGGGAAAAUACCACCCUUUUUUAGCUUCAACAUUUGACCAUCUUUCUUCUUGUGCAUGUAAGUGCAUUUUUGUCCUAUUUUUAAUAAUUUUUAUGUUUUUGGAGUCGUUGUAGCUUAAUCUAGCUAGCAUGGGACUAAUUUACAAAGCUGUUAAAAGUCUAAGAGUUUACCAUGAAUGUUUAUGUGUUUUUUGUGAUGUUUGAUCGAAUAAAAUGAAUGAUUAUUUUUAGUUACACAACUUUUGUUAAGUAAUUUUUGGUGAAUUUGUCAAUUAGGGGUGAAAUUGUAAAAUAUGUAAUAUUCAUGGUAAAUUGUGAAAUUAAUGAAAAAUAUCGGCUAUUAAGGACUUAAGUGAAAUUCGCUAGCUUGGGUUAGCAUUAAAAUUGCAUGAAUUUCAUUUUAUAAUCUUAGGAACUAAAUUGUAAUGAAAUCAAAAUUUAGGGGCAAAAGCAUAAUUUUGCCAAAAUAUGAUUUUUUGAUUGAAUUGAAUAGAAUGAAGUUUGAAUGAAUUAAAUUUGAUUAUUUAGAUCAAGAAAAGCAUCAUAUGGAUUUAGAUCGGGGAAAGGAAAAAAUGUUGGAUUAGCUUAUUGUAUUUCUUCAUUUGUGAUCAAGGUGAGUUUGUACAUUUAAUUAAAUUCUUAAUAUGCUUGAAUUAAAUGCUAUUAUGUUGUAUUAUGAUAUUAUGACUCUACGAAAAUAUCCAACAAAAUUUCAAAAACUUUCGGAUCUCGUUUGAACCUUAAGAAUAUAUAGGAUACAAAUGACAUGCCAUUAGGGGUUACCGUGUUUCGAGUAUUGGUCCAGAACGUCCUACCGGUGACUGAGUUUCUAGCAUGUGUUGCGAUUACUUGAUAGCUUGUGUGAGUAGCACCAUGUAGCUACGUUUCGACCGACAGCUUGUGUGAGCAAACCCUCUUAUGGCUCGAGAGUGAGCAUUUAUAUGAGAAAAGAGAAAGAAAUGGUUUUGACCAUAUGUUAGCACAUAGUGUGUGAGAUUUCCGCCUACCCGAUAUUAUUCUAGUGGUUCAACGGGUAUACAAAAGGAAGGAACAAUAAAUAUUUCGAUAAGUAAUGCUAUGAAAGCAUGAGAAAGAUAUGAGUUGGUGAUGAUUAAAAAUGCCUAGCCAUGUUCAUGAAAAUAUGAAUGCUUAUAUGUUAUGUUUAUAAAAGCUAUUAUAUUAUGCAAUGAAUUUGCUAAGUUAUGUGGUUAUCACUAACUUGAAUGGUUGUUGUUGCUUAGGCUUGUGCCAAGCUAUGUUGGAUUAAUUCAAACUUACUUUUAAGCUUAUAUAUUGAAAUGGUAAGCAUUGUUUAUGAUUUAUGAACUUACUAAGCAUAUAUGCUUACUUGGUGUUAUUUCUCUCAUGUUUUUAGAAAAUCAGAAGCUCGUUUGGUUUGAAAGCUUGUCAAAGAUCCCUCACACUAUCCAUCUGCUAUAUUAGUAGAUUUUGAUGAUUUUGAGUCAUGGUUAUAAUGACAUGUAUAGGUAUCUUUGUUUGAUGAAAUUUGCCUUUAUGUAUGGCUUGUGAAUAUGCUAUUUGGUUGAUGAAGUAAUAGAUAUGAUAUCAUGUGCAUAUGGUACUUUAAAUGGUUGUUAUUUUGGCAUCUAGGUAAUCAAAUAAUGGUAAUAAAAAGGUGAGUAUAAUGGUAUGCUAUGAAAUGUUGGUUGGUAUGGAAUGAGAUAGUACAUAAUGGUAUUUGUUGGUAACCUUGAAUAUGUUUGGCAUUUGGUAAAUUUAUUAAGGUAGAUGGUAGAUGUGGAAAUGGUCAUAAUGGUAUUUGUUGUGCAUGAGAAUGGUAUGUGAACAUUAUGGUAACGUAGUAUUUUAAGUUGUUCAAUUGGUUGAUUGAAUUAUGCAUGAAUUUAGUAGGUGCUUAAUCAAGUUUGAUUGUUGAGAUUGAGGUGCCAUUUUGACAUAUUGGUUGAAUGGUUAGUUAAUAUGAUGUUCUAGCUUGUAUAUACACAUUUAGGUGCCAUUUGAAUGCAUGAAAAUAGGUAACUUUGGUUUGUGUAAAUUGCUAGACUUUGGGUGAGAAAAAUGGCUUGUAAGUGGCCUAUUUUUCGUCCACACUGCCAGAGAUAAAGGCGUGUGUCUCAGCCAUGUGUGACACACGGCCAUGUGACACGGCAGUGUGUCCUCUAUAGCUUACAAAAGGUUACAAGUCAUGAUGUUACAUAACCUAGUACACAGGCGUGUGAGGCCACUUCAAGGGGUACACGGCCUAACACACGCGCGUGUGGCUUGGUUGUGUGACCCAAGUUAGAGAGUUACACGGGCACAGAUAUGGGAUGGGACAAGGCCAUGUAUCCCUACUUAGAAUGUCCACACGACCCGAGACAUGGGCAUGUGUCUCAGCUGUGUGAGUCACACAACCUGGCCACACGACCGUGUGACCCCUGCAGUUUUAAAAUUUGCAUCUUUUUUCGUAAAAUCAUAUAUGUUUUCGAUUUAGUCCCAACUUGUGUUGAAUAUGUUUUUAGGUCCUCGAUGGCUUGUAACUAUAUGCUCAAGUUUGAAUAGUAUUAUUAUGUUUUGUAUAUGUUUAAUAAAUGUUCGUUGUAUGAUGUUAACUUUCGGUAAUGCUCCGUAGCCUUAAUCCGACGACAGAUAUGGGCUAGGGGUGUUACAACAAUGCUAAGAAAGUGUCCACUCGAUGGACUGCAAGCAUGGCUCCAGAUCUAAAUUUUCUAUAAUGGUUUUCACGACCACAACAAAUCUAGCUUAGACGAAGCGGGCGAAGGAUCUCUUGUGUUCCAUACAUAUGAACAAGAUUAUAAAAUCAUAGACGAUACAGACAUGAAUUCGUACAUAUGGUCCACAGAGAUAUUUAUGUACAAAUCAAAGCCUCCAAUGGUGAAAACGGUGAACGAAGAUAAUGACGAUGAUCAAUUUUAACGAAUCUUAGAAAAGCUUAACUGUUUGGAGACAUCUAUCAAACCGAUGAAAGUAGAACCACAUUCUAAAAACCAACUAGAGAAGGCGAGUUACAUAAGUAAUAAGGGUGAAAAUCCCUAUUCAAAUUGCUACAAUCCCGGUUGGAAGGAUCAUUCUGAUAACUCCUAAAAAGAGUUAUAUUUCAUGCCUUUAGACAUAGCUGAUUGCUUGUUCUUGGGUACACUAAGUGGCCUUUUAGGAUAUUUUAUUAGUAUUUUUUUCAUUUGCAUUAGGAGCUUGGACUAUGCUUACAUGCUAGAUAAUUUUAAUUGCGUGUGGAAGGUGUGUGUUUGGUGGUUUGGUAGUUGCAGGAUAUGGAGAAAGAAAUAAAUGAGUGAAGAUUUGUCAGGGCAAAAGGUUGGACAGUUUGCGACCUUGUAUGCCAUGGCAAUUCAGGAAGAUGGCAGAGCCAGCAUUUAGCGCAUGCCAAGUUUUAGACCAACUCUACUUGUACCAGAAAAAUCUACCUAAAAAGAGGACAAGUUUUCGUGGAUUGUUGGAGCUAUUAUAAGAACAAAAAGCCUAUAAAAAGCCAAAGGAGGAAGCCCUAACUGUAAAAAUCCAAUGGCAACAAUAAAGGGUAGCGGUUGAGUAGAGAGAAAGAGGGGAAACUGAAGGCAGUCUCUCUUAGCCAUCAUAGGAUGCUAUGCUGUUGGAUUGAGGAUUGAUUUUGCGACAGCCAUCUUCCUAUGUUCUUUAUAAAUUGAAUUGAUAAAAAUGAUGUUGGAUGUUAUUUUGAACUUUAAUUUUAAUCACCAAUCCAUGAGCUAAAUCUCAUAGGGUUGGGAUACAUGAUGAAAACUUUUAUUUUCUUUAAUGGUUGAAGCAUAUAUUUUAUUUAAUAUGUUAUUUCAUUCAAUUGUUUUUAUUUCCUAAAUGUAUGCGUAUAUUCUCUAGACAUAGAUGAAUGUGUAGUAUGCCCAUAAAACUAAAUCUAAUUCUAAAAAGGUUUGAUUAGUUGGACCGUAAUUGAAUGAUAUGAGUAAGUACCCGACAGAUAUUUGUAGUAGACUCUAAACAUAGAGUAAUGUUCAUAUGGAAUAAAGAUAAAAAUAGUGCAAGGUAUUGUGAUAAGGCCUAUAGACACAGGCCAAGUAACUUGAGACCUUACUCUCGAAAGAAGUAGGUCACUUUAGGUCUCUUCUGAGCAGUAGAUUAAGUAUGAUUUUGCUGAGGCAUUACUGAAAGUAAUGGUAGAUUCUUAGUAAUCCCAACCUUCCAAUCAACAUCGUAGACCUUCAAUCCUUUGCUGCAGCAUCUUUGCCAGAACAUUCUUAGUUAUUUAUUUAUUCAUUUGCAUUUUAUUCAAAUAAUUAUUCUCGUGAUUGUCAUUUCAUUUUUUCUCUCGUAUUACCUUAGCACUUUUCAAAAUCAGUCGGUAUACAUUUCACACUCAUCUUUAUUAUUUUAAUUUAUCACUGCAUACUUAACUCGGCUUUGCCAUAACAUUAAUUAUUAUCAUAACUUGACCAUUUCUAUACCUAAUUCGAUCCAUUUGGAGACGAUCUCACUUAUCACUUUUUUACUUGAUUCGAUGUAUAUACUUGCACAAUUCGAUAUCAUAUUCACAUGCGACACAUCUGAACUUCAAAUGGGGUAGCAACCAAGGAGGUGAAAAUCAAGCACAAACCAACAAAACCCUCUUUACCAACCUCCAUCAUUACAACAAAGAGCUGUGGGAAAUGACCAUGCUACAUGUGGUCAAAGAUUUGAUUAACUAGAGGAGGAGAUGCAAACAAUGAAGAUGGAUAUUUGAUAAGUUCAAGCUACAUGUGGAUGACUCAAAUCCUGAAUGGAUAGCUUUCACUGACAAAUGAACCAGUUAAUAACGAUGUUUUAAACAAAUGGCCAGAGUUUCCCCAGCAAUAUAGGGAAUAAUCCUUAUAGAGAUGAGAAGGAGCACGUGCAACCACUUUGAGAUUGGGAAAAGCAUUAAAGUCGUGAAAUACACCCAUCCAUUAAGAGGAAGAGGUUCCUGUAACACCCUAUACUCGACCAAAUUUACUAAAUCCGAAUGUAGGAUGUCACAAUACUUACAUACUUAACAAUUUUUUUUUUCAGUUGGCCAAAGCCCAUACUAGAUGCACUUCUUAUUUAUUUUAGAAAAAUUGUAAAUCAAAAUAUUUGAAUAAAACAUUUAUCAUUUAUAGAAGACUUUUAAAAGCAGUAUAAAGCAUUACAACUUAAUUUUUUAUAAAAUAGACAUAUUUGUGGCAUAUAAUACUGUUCAUCAUUUGAAAACAUAUUCCCAAAGGUGCCCCUUUGUAUGCAUAACAUUGCCUUACGGUCAACCACCUUGACACAUUCUUAGUUUGGUCCCUUUUAGCCAAUUGAUUCAACUCAAGAACCUGCAUUACAAAUAAACACCCAAAAGUUCAAUGAAACUUUUGAGUCUCAACCAGUUUUACCUUUAAACGAUGAUGUUGGAUUCCUCGACUUAAGAAUUAUAGACUUCCUUUCAGAUUUUGAAGGAUACAUUUCUGAUUCUUGGAAAGUAACUAUACGCCAACAUCUACUCAACCAUCUUGUACACGUUCCACUUGAUUGGCGGAUUACAGACUUCACACCUUAUAGCGGAUCCUAUUUCACAAUCAUUUUGAAGAUAGAAAUUUAAUACAAUUCUUAGAUUAAUAUUUAUACAGAUGAUCAUAUUGGCAAAUUCUUAUACUAGCUCUGGUGAUUGCCAAUCAUACCUUAUCUUCAAAUCAGUCCAGACAAUGAACUUAUUCUAUUGAAUCCAAUGUCUUAAGUCAUUAAAUAGAAUCUCAGAUGACUUUAAUACCUAACUUGAAAAUUCCUAGAUUUGGCAAACACUUACACCACCCAUAAUUCUAGAUACAAUAAUCUUUUCUAUCUUGGCAGAUUGCAAAUGACGAGUUUAUCCGUCAGGUGUGUUGUCGAGAAUUCUUUCAAAAAAUGCCCUAAGGGCAUACCCAAGUCUCGCCACAAGGGCAAACUAACAACUCGUCACUUAGUCAUUAUAGAAUUUACUCUACAGGCUCUUUAGAUAAUACGCCAUAAACCCUUUCCAGGUAAAAUGCCACAAAGGCUCUUCAGAUAAUCUGCCACAAAGGAUCUUCAGGUAAUUCACCACAAAGGCUUGGUUUAGUUUGCCACCAAGGCAUUACAUCAACAGUCAUGUUUGAUGAUAUGGAUUUGCCUAAACUCAACAUAGCCUGAGGUUUUCCCAUCAUCGCCCCCGGGACAUAUAGAAACCCUAGUAGACAAAUGCGGUUCAUUCGCCAUUCCUAUAAUAUGCCAUAGCCAUUGUCUUUUCACAUAUCUGCCACAUUUGCCUUUUUCGUUUUUACUAUCUCAGCAGACCUCGUAUUUACAGUCCCAACAAACUGCAUGCUUGCCAUAUUGGCCUUCAUGUUUGCUAUCCCAGUAGGCAUCAUCAAAGCACCAUCGUGAGGUCAUUUAUCGUAUCACAUACUUUCCUCACACUCCAUCUGAACCCCUUUAUCGUCAACCAUACUUGGUCAUACCUUACUCAAAUAACAUAGCAGACAUAUAUACACAAAUUUCACUAAUAAUCUUAACAGAAUCAAACUUCUCUACACAUAAUUUCCCAAAUAAUCUUAACAAAAUCAAACUUCUCUACACAUAAUUUCCCAUGCUUACCACACAUCUACAUGACUAAUUUCCCAUGCUUACCACACAUUGUCAUAUUCAUGCAACGCAUCAUACACUUCAGUACAUACAUACAAAUGUUUCACGGGAAACAUGUACAACCAUUCAUAAAUACAAAAACUUCUCAAGAAAAUAUGUGCAUCUAUAUGAACAUUGAUCGUACAAGAAAUAAGCAUAAUACAUCAUGCAAAAGUUGGGUCCAAGGACUCACCAAAGACUCAUAUUUACUUUGACCUGAAGUUUCUAUUUCAAUUGUCCUUUCCAAUCUCGCAACAUCAAUUAUUUACAAUAUCAUGAAAUUUCUAAUAGAAUCCCUAUUUACAGAUAUUUUAUUAAUGUUUCAACUAUGUACGACCCCCAUGCAAGGCCUUUCACUCACACCCUACUAUCCUUACACCUUUCAUCAUCCUUACUCAUCAACAAUCAUAACAUGCAAGGCUAUAAGACUUACCGGAGGGUUGAAUUAUACAUUGAUUAAACGAGGUCUUAGCUCUAUCUUAAUGAAGAAGAAAAGAACAUUUAGGUUGGAAAGAAGAACCCAGAACAUAAAGUAGAAAGUAAAGUCAUCUAGAAUGUCUUUUCCCUUACUAGAUAUAAAUUCUAUGUCCUCCUACUACAGACUUUGAGAAGUAAAAAUGCUUACCUAACCCAAUCUCCUAGUUUUCCCAUAAAAAUCUAGCAGAAGGUAAAGAAAAUCUAGUUAAGAUCUUCGUUAUUGUUUGACCAAUCAUGGGGAGGGUCAAAUCAAUCCAAUUGACUUCCAACCAAUCUCGUCACAGGAACCAACUUGGACAAUUCUCAAGCAAACUGAGUAUACUAUACUUUUGGUGGCAAUUCACGUAUGACAUGACCUUAAAGACAAUUAAGUAUUUUGUAGCAUUAUCACACACUUGGUAGGCUUUUUGUGCCCAACCAAAACUCUGAGGUGUACUUUUCUUGUCCAUGAGACUGGGUCAAGAAAUUAAUUUAUUUACUACAAGGUUAUCAAAUUCAAUCUGAUUAGAUGUGGAGAUGUUGCAACUUAAAAACUUGGUCUAGGCUAUGAAUUAGGUGCGAACUUUUGAGACAAAAUAUCAACAAACUCAAGCUGCUUACCCCCAUAGUUGGGAAUUGACAAAAGACUAGUACUAGUAAGAAAUAUCCUCAUUUUAUUAAAAAGUUUACUCGUGUAGAAAUGACAGAGUGAUAAAGCUAAAAAGUAACAUAUUUUUAUCCCAUGCUUGGCAUAUUUAUGGAUAAUUUUUCAUAAGAUUUAGUGAAUUUGAUGCUCCUAAUCUUUUAAUUUCAUGUUUCAUAUCCAGAUGAGCAUAGGAAAGCGAAAAGUGCAAGACAAAAGGCCGAAAACGGACAAAAUAGGUUUAUUUCAGUACUACACACGGCCUAGACAAGUUGACACGGGUAAUCCACAUGCCCGUGUGAGACACACGGGUAGGCCACACGUCCGUGUGUCAUGGCAUGUUGAUUUAAAACCAUGUCAUAAUUACACACGGCCCGAGCACCAUCACACGGCCUUGUCCCUGUCGAGACCUAUUUUAAUUCUACUCGAAAAAGGCUAAUUUUGGGCUAUUUUGGGCAUUCCAAAGUCUAUUUAAACACACGAGAAGAGGACCAAAGGGCGGAUAGGCAUAUAGAAGGCAGAAAAUACUCGAAGACAAUCAUUGGAAUCAGCUCGGAAGCAUGAUUUACUUCAAGACUAAGGAUCUCCAUUCAAUUUCUACCGAAGUUUUUUGGUUUCUUUAUGUUUUGUUGUUUUCCCAAUUUUGAGAUGUUUUCCACCAUCAUUAUGAACUAAAUUCCCUAAAUACCUAGGGAAGAUGAAACCUAAGACGAAUCUUAUUAUCUUUUGAAUUAUAUGAUAAAUACUUGUUCUUAUUCUUAAUUAUGAGUUUUAAUCCUUGCUUUAAUAUUUCAGGACAUUAAUUCAGGUUUUGAUGUGCUUAUUCAGUGGAGCAAAAGUCCCUAUUUAAGAGUAGAUCUUCCAUAAUUAAGCAGAUUUGAUUGUAAUCCUAGAGAUAGGACAACAUAAAUCUACCGGAUUAGAGUCAAAUUUAGUAAGAGAAUCCAUAGAUCGAGUUAAUGCGAUAAUAGAGGUUUUAAUUAGAAAGAGAUUUCAAUUAAUCAACCUAGAGUCAGUUGUUUUUAGUCUCAAGAGAGAUAUUAACAUAAAGUAGGGAUUUCUACGGAUUAAGUCAACUGAAUAAAUCGUCUAGUUCAGAAGUAGUAAGUGAAGUCUAGGUGGAUUCUUCCUUGGGUAUUGUCUUCUCCAUCGGUCUUCCAAUAGUAUUUUCCAACUUUUAUUUCUGUCGUGUUCUUAGUUAAUUAAAUAGUUAAUUUUAGUUUAAAAACACCCCUUUAAUUCUUAGGCUAGAUAAUAAAAAGAUAGUAAUUACUAGUAUUUUUAAUCCUUGUGGAUACGAUAUUUUUGGUCUCACCAUAACUAUACUACUGUUUGAUAGGUGCGCUUGCCUUAGUCGAAAUUUUUAGUUAGUUUAGCGACCAUCAAGUUUUUGGCGCUGUAAUAACCUAAAUUCGCCCGACCCAUAAAGUAAAUAAAUAUAAAUAUAAAAACAAAAAUAAAAAAGAAAUAAAAGUCCUUUUACAAGUCCAAAUUGAUAGCCUAUAUACAUAGCCCAAACUGAGCAUUGUCUAUGGCCCAUUUACAAGAGAUACCGGUAGCCCACAUACACUCCAAAACUCUUAACCCAAGACCCAAUUAGCCUAUUACCCUGUUACACCCAUAACCCAGCUAAACACUAACCCAAAACCCAAUUAACCUAAACUACCCACUAGCCCGUUUACACCCUCAACCCAAAACACAUACGGCCCAAGUGGCCCAACUCGUUAACAGAAGAUAGAAAGGCCUAGGGUUUCAGAAACCCUAGGCGUUGCAAGCAUCUCAACAGACACGGCUCUUCGCCUCACCCCGUGACUCUGACCUCGAAUUGCGUGGUAGUCAACGCGUAAAUCAACGCCAGCGCACUCCUCGCUGUGAGAUCCUCGUUGAUACCUGCAAAAGAAGGAAAGAACUACGACAGAAAAGAGGCAAACAAGGAAAGAAAUCGAAAGAUUAUUUCCUAAAAAUGCAACCGGGGGUUAUAAAACCCCUCUUUUUUAAUUUGUAUACACGUUUUUACACAGAGAUUCAAUAAAAACAGAAUACAUUUUACACUAAAAGAAACCAACAGUCGAUUGGAGAGUACAGAUGUGAGUAUUUUAUUCUUUUUUUUCUCUAAAUACAUACUGAUAAUAAAAAAUAAAAUAAAAGAAACAUAUCGAUUUAAUCUACUUUGGAAAAGGAAACUUUCCAGUUUCCAACCGCCGUAAGUGGCGGCGUUGGUAGGGGCGCGUGAGAGCAUGCAAGCUUCAGACGUAGUCUCGAUAGAACUCCGAGGACAUCUCCUCCAACCCUCUCAGAGUGUUUCUUUCUUUUUUUAAAAACAAGGUUUCAAAAUGAUUUCAGGCUUAAUAUUUGGCUUAUAUAGCCUUACUAAAACGGUGUCGUUUUGGCUUAACUCAAUAAGCACAAAACGACGUCGUUUCGAGGCUUAGGAUCCGCGUGUUGACCCGAUUACCCGAGGAGGAUCCGUGUGUUUUCGUAAAAUGGGAUAAUUUCCCAAUUGGUCCUUCCAUGUUCUCUGUAUUUGCAAUUUCAUUUUAUUUUAUUAUAAUUUGGCCCUAAAUUUUGAUUUUAUUUCAAUUUAGUCCCAACAGCUCCUUUGAGGCCUAUUCUGGGAACGAUGUCGUUUCAGGGAUAAGGGCUAAUUUCCCAAUGAGUCCCUCAACUUUUAACGCGCGUUCCAGAAGGCCCAAAAUUCAUUUUUUUAUUUUUAAAUUAGCCCUAAAGUUUCGAUCAUUGCUAAUUUUAAUCAUUUUUUUAAAUUUGUUUAUUUUAAAUAUUAUUUUUUAUUUAUUUAUACAUAUAAAAAUUUAUUUAUUUGUAUAUUAUUUUUGUUAUUUUCAAGUAUAUUUAUAUAUUAUAUUAUUUAUUAAUAUAUUAUUUUAUAUUUUUAUAUUUUUAUAUUAUCUUAUGUUUUAAUAUACAUUAUAUAUUAUAUUAUUUUAUAUUUUAUCAUAUAUUUAUAUCUUAUUACAUAUUAUCAUGUAUAAUUUUAAAAUUUUAUAAAUUAUUAUUAAACAUUAUGUUUUUUAUAUAUAUUAUUAUUAAAUAUUUAAAAUUCAUUUAUCAUUACAUUAUUUUAUUCUUUUAUAUUUUAUAUGUUAUUUUAUUAUAUAUAUUUAUAUUAUUAGUAUAUUAUUACACUAUUAUGAAGUUUAUAAAUUAUUAUUAAGCAUUAUAUUUAUGUGUAUUAAACAUGUAGUAUGUAUGUUAUUAUAAAAUUCUAUAUAUAUUAUACAUCGUUUUUAGUAUGUAUUAAGCACUUUAAAAUUUCCCUUUAUUAUUCAUUGUGAUUAAUAUGUGAUUCUUCCUAAGUUUUUUUUUAUAUAUAUAUGUUCAUAUGUUAUUAAUAUAUUUGUGUUAAUUGUUUAAAUAUGUAAAUUCAUUACACGAGUUAUUUGUUAUCAUUGAUUUUAUAUGUUUGCAUGACAAUUAUUUAUUUAUGGAAGUCUUAUUUACGUGAAGUAUGAUUAUUUAUCUUAUCCUCAUUGUUUACUAUGUUGUAUUCUUGCAUAAAAUAUUAAUGUAUAAAGAUUUAUGAUUAUAAAAUAUUAAUGUAUGUUGUGAUGUUAGCUUUUAGGUUAUAUUUGCAUUAAAGCGUAUAUGAUUUUUAUUAUUUUUAGCGAUUUCCCGUUUGUCUAAAUGCCUAAAGUAUCCUUCUAAAUAAUUUUUCUAAAUUACGAGGUGAUUUCAGUACAAAAGUUGAGAAUAUCGUGUCCUAUCAUGAUGGAUGUGAUGUUCGUGUUCUUUUGGAACAAAGGAUUCUCGAUUUUUAAACUCAAACUGUUCUGAUUUUAAAAAGGGAUCUUAUCUUGAAUUAUUUCAAACUUUGACAGUAAGACAGAAAACAAUUCAAUUUGGUACCAAUUUUGGGCGUUGUGAGGGUGCUAACCCUUCCUUACACGUAACCUACUCCCGAAACCGUUUUCCAAUUUUACGUAGACCAAAAUGUUUUAUGAGGUGAUCCAAUUACACCUAAAAAGGUUGGUGGCGACUCCCGUUUUCAAAAUACCCUUUGCCUUUUUUAAAAAAAAAGAGGUUUCGAAAGGCGUCGUUGCCGGGGACUAAGAUAUUAGGAACACUUGAAUUUUAUUACUUUAGCCAUUUUUUCUUAUUGCAAAUUACUUUUUAUUUUAAUUUAAUUUUUACUUCUCUUCGAAUCUCCCUGUUAUUUGCAUCUGGCAGGAAUCUCUAGUUUAUGACUAGAAGGAACUCGUCAGGACCAUUGCUAUUUGACAAUGAGAUAGAAAGCACAGCUCACAGAAAUCAAAGAGAAAUAAGGUGAAGCCUGCAGUAUAUAGAGGAAGAGCAAGUGGAUGUGACCGAUAUACCCAAAGAGAUCGCAGACAAUCUAAAAAAUCAACUACCUCCGGUAGUUGUUGUAAAUCCAGUAAAUUAGAAUCCUGUUCCUCGUACUAUGUAUGAUUAUGCUAAGCCUACUUUAACAGGAACUAAAUCGAGUAUUGGUAGACCUGCUGUUUCUGUAAAUAAUUUGAAUUGAAACCUAACACGAUUCAAAUGAUACAACAGUUUGUUCUGUUUGAUGGUUUGUAGGACGAGGAUCCAAACACUCAUUUAGCAAAUUUUUUGGAAUUUUGUGACACCUUUAAGAUAAAUGGCGUUUCUGAUGAUGGCAUUCACCUUCGGUUGUUUUCUUUUUCAUUACAGAAUAAGGCUAAAUAGUGGUUGAACUCGUUACCACGAGGGUCAAUCACUACUUGGGAACGAAUGACUGAAAAAAUUUUCUUAAAUACUUUUCGUCGGCUAAAACGGCUAAAUUGAGGAAUUAUAUCUCUUCUUUUGUACAGAUGAAUUUAGAAACACUUUAUAAUGCAUGGAAGAGAUACAAGGAUUUAUUGAGAAGGUGCACUUACCAUGGAUUACCUUUAUGGUUACAGGUUCAGACCUUCUACAAUGGUGUGAACCCCUCAACAAGGCAACUGAUUGAUGCAGCCGCUGGUGAAACCUUGAACAAAAAGACACUUAAAGAGGCUUACGAAUUGAUUAAAGAGAUGUCACUAAACAACUACCAGUGGCAAGUCAUGAGAACAAAGCCGAAAAAAGCAGUUGGUGUUUUCAACCUCGGCGCAGUCACUAUGCUAUCUAACCGGUAGUACUAUUGAAUAAAAGAUUGAUGGCUUGUAUGAUUCUACUCGGGUACAUCCAAUGAUGAGGUGUGAUUCAAACAGAGGAGGGAUGCACAACACAGACUAUCCAUCCUUCAACCCCAGCAAUGAGGGAGAACAAGUCCACUAUAUGGGUAACAAUUCUAGACCUUAGAAUAACCCUUAUAGUAACACUUACAAUGCAGGUUGGAGGAACCAUUCCAAUUUUUCGUGGGGUGGUCAAGGGAAUCAAAGGCCACAACACCCUCCAGGUUUUCAACAACCAUCGUACCAACAGGAGAAAAAUUCAAAUUUUGAUGAAAUGCUUACAAAAUUUAUUUCGGUGACAAAAACUCAUUUUCAAAAUAUCGAGACAGCACUUAAAAAUCAGCAAGCGUCGACUCAAGGGCUCGAAAUUCAAAUAGGUCAGCUUGCUAAGUUGAUCUCUGAAUACCGCAAGGUGGCUUGCCCAGUAAUACAGAAACUAACCCAAGGAAGCAACUCCAUGCCAUCACUGUGCAUGACAAAAAAGGGUUAACUGAAUCUAAAUCUGAAACGAGGUAAGAAGUUGUUGUAAGCAAUGGUAAGGUUGAGGUGAUUUAUGGUACACAAAAGCCAGUAAGCAAAGAAUAUAGACCUCGUGUGCCAUACCCCAAUGCGACAAGGAAAGACCACACAGACGAACAAUUCAGUAAAUUUCUAAAACUACUUAAAAAAUUACAUAUUAACUUACCAUUUAUUGAAACUCUUUCACAGAUGUCAAACGCAGUUAAAUUCUUAAAGGAGCUUUUAGCAAACAAACGGUAGUUAGAUGAGUCAUCGCAUGUGGAGUUAAAUGCAGUUUGCUCAGCUAUUUUUCAAAACAAGCUACCCAACAAACUGAAAGAUUCAGGGAGUUUUACGAUUCCUUGUCUAAUUUGUAGUUUGAAUGUUAAUAAUGAUUUAGCUGAUUUAGGGGCAAGUAUUAAUGUCAUGCCCUACAAGAUGUUUAAGCAGCUAAGACUAGGGAAACCCAAACAAACUAGGAUGAGCAUACAACUAGCUGAUAAAACUAUUAGAUUUCCUAGGGGAAUCUUUGAAGAUGUGCUUGUUAAAAUGACAAAUUCUUAUUUCGAGUCGAUUUCGUUGUCUUAGACAUGGAUGAAGACAGUGACGCACCCUUAAUUUUAGGCAGACCCUUUUUAGCAACUACUAGAUCUAUCAUUGAUGUUGGACCAGGUGAACUCACACUUCGGGUAGGUGAUAACAUGAUUAAAAUCCAAGCUCGUGAUUCUGACAGAAAGACUAGUGAUCGAGAUGAUUACACAAGUUCUUUUAAUGUGAGAAACCUUGUUGUUCAACCCUCUUUGCAGGAAAAACCUCUGAGAAGUACAACUGAGUCACGUUCCAAUCCAUGUAAUGAUAAGACUAUCCAUGAAGAGCGAAGGCUAUAGAUCGAGGAACUAGAUGAAUGACGAACACAGGUUAAGGAGAAAUCGAGAAUAUACGAUGAAUCAAGGCAGUGCCAUGACAAACUUAAAAGUGAAUCGAAUCAACUUAAGGUUGGAAACAAAAUACUAUUAGAUGAAGCAGGCCCUCGUGUUGCCACUUCUAAACCUAAUGGAGCAGUACCUUUUGCGGUACUCAACGUUUUCCCAUAUGGUACAGUCGAGGUAACUCAUUCCAAAUUUGGCACUUUUAAGGUAAAUAGUACUCGUCUAAAACCUUAUUUUGAUAAGAUUGAUAGUAGGAAUGAGGAGUUUCAACUCCUCAAACCACCUUGACCAUGCAUAUAUGAGGUGAGUUGAGCUUAGACUUUAAAUAAGCGCUCCUUGGGAGGCAGCUCGAGCACUAACACCAGUAACCCAUUUAUUUUAUCUAUUUUUCAUUUUUUAUGCAAGUAUAGUGACCCACAUGGCCUGGACACACAGGCAUGUCCUUGGCCGUGUAGAAAUAGGGCUAAAGUUUCCCACAAAUUGACAUGCACAUGGCCUGCGAUAAAUCCACACUGCCGUGCGACAUGGCCGUGUGAAUACACGGCCUGGACACACUGGAGUGGGAAGUAUAUGGCCUGGACACACGGGCGUGUCCUAUGCUAUGUGAAAUCUAGAGCUUAAUUUUUUGAAUUUUAACAAGUUAAAGAGUUACACGGGCAAGGCCCACGGCCGUGCGUGAGACAUGGUCGAUCCACAAGGGCGUGUGGUAGGUUACACGGGUGUGGGAGAAGCGAAAAACAUAGAGCAUAGCUAGGCGACAUAACCGUGUGAUGAAAGGUCAUCCAAUUUUCGCGAUAAACACAGGCUAGACGCGAACCACAUGGGCGUGUGGGAUACAACACGAGCGUGGGAGAAGAGAACAACGUAGCACACGGCUGUGCGAUACGACUGUGUAAACCACACGGCUUGGACACACGGACGUGUCGUAGGCUGUGUGACGAGUGGGCUAUUAAUUCCUCGAUGAACAUGAGCUAGAAGUUGAGCCACACAGGCAUGUGACACCGCCGUGUGGCCCAACACGGACCGUUACAUGACCGUGGCCCUUUUAACCCCAAACCCUAAAGUUUUAUUUUAUUUUUGUCUUCUUCUUUAAUUUUGCCCCACCCAGCUGCCGAUCAUCUCUUCUCUGGCCACCGACAGCACCAACACACAUUUUCCCUCUUUGCUUUCCCUUCUCUUCCCUCUUGCCGCCUGAAUCCCCCUUUUCUCCCAUCAAAUCUCCAUAUUUUCUUCAUUUCCUUCUAUUUUCCCUUAUCCCCGUUCCUUCAUCGCCCUCAUCCUCCUUCCCUUCCAUAACCAAUAGCCUCGAUUCCCAUUCUAUCGCACGGCCCCUCCGCUUCAACCACCGUGUUCCAUCAAUUCUCCGAGCUCCAAUCACCACCAUUGGUUCCUCUUUUAUUUAUUUUAUUUAUUUUCUUUAUUCCUUUUAUUUUAUUUUACUUUAUUGUAGUUUAAUUCUUUUAUUUGAAUUCUUGAAAUUUCUUAUUGAUUACUUUUCUUACUUUAGUCUCAUGGUUCUUACUUGUAUUAUUAUUUUAUUUUAGGGACAGUAUUAGGUUAUGCUUAAUUCAUUAUUUUGUCAUGAUGCUUCUUGCUAUGUGUUCUCUUCAUUCGUAAUUUUUAUUACUCUGAUGGUCUUAUAGAUUGGUUAUUUAUUUAUCAUUUACAUCUUUCAUAUGUAUAUUAAUUUGUCCCUGUUAGUUCAGCAUACUAGUUUUUCUGCCGUCGCGGUUGAUUAGUUUAGUAAGAUGAUUACUUUGUUGUUAGUUCUUGCCUGUUGGGUAUUAGGGCAUCUAGGAAUAGAUUUUACAUCUCACCCAUGUUAAUUUUAUCAUACUAAAGUCCUUCAAGUUAAAUUCCUACCUUAUUCACAUGUUUGCUUCUACACUUCUCCAUGUGUUUGAUUGGUGAUGUUUUUGUUCCUAUUGGAAUAUUUUAUUUUUAGCUUUACCAUGACAAACACUCAUGGCAAGUCCAAGGUCGCUGUCCCUGCCUUGAAAAAGAAGAAAGGUCCUAGCGCGACCUCUUCGAACGCCUUUACCGAGGUUCAUCAUCCUUACCUCCGAUUCUCUGCGGACCCACCUGAGGACUUAUUAAAGCUCCUGUGCAUGCGACCACUAGGUUUGGGCCGAUACAUUGACUGGGCCACAUUGGAGCAGGUCGGACUAGCUGAUGACGUCUGCACUUUCAUUACUACGGCACCAUGAGACCGAAUCUUUGAUAUCUUUGAGCCCACAUAUAUGGAGCUUACUUUGGAUUUUUGCUCGACAUUCUACCUUCAGCGCGUGAUGUUAUCGCACGACGAGCACGGUACCAUUACAUUUCGACUGGGUAACUUGGUGCGACAUAUGAGCAUCCCUGAGUUUGGCGUAGCUUUGGGCAUCUACACAGAUGAGUUUAUGGGUGCCGAUAACUUUUUUCACCUCCACCAUCACAUCUAUUAUUCACUUUCAUGCUAUUGGAUCGAUCUCACAGCCAGUCAGAUCCCUUAUGAUGCGAGUUGCUCGAAGGCGACAUCUCUUUCUCUGGCUCUACGAUACAUCCACACCUUAUUAGCUCACACUUUGACUGGCAGGAAAGAGAGUACAGGAGUUGUAAGCACUAUUGACGUGUACUAUCUUUGGAGCAUGAUGACUAGCCACAUAUUCGACUUAGCCUAUUUCAUUGCUCUCGUCUUUCGCCAUCAGACAGAUCACCACAAUAAGGGUCCUAUCUGCCUUGGCCCCUACGUGACUCGCCUCGCUCGACACUUCGGUCUCUUCGACACACCAGAGAUGUCAUCGACACUCAAACUAGUAGGCCGGAUGUCUCCUCAAGGAAUUUCUAGUAUGAUCCACAUGAGGAUGAUCGAGUGACGCCAUGGAUUCGAUCCACCUUAGUAUCGGUUAGCUCGUUCUAAUGAUCAGGAUGAUCCAGAGUACAUUACUGAAAAUGUUCCUCCCCUUUAUGAGGACCCACCUCCACCACCAUCACAGAGUUACCGCCCCACUACUACCACUUUGACAGAUAUAUCCGAGCGACUCACUCACUUUGAGUACCAGUGUUUUGAGCGGUUCGACAGUAUCGAUGCCACUCUUCGACAGAUUUGCCACCACCUUCACAUCUCUUCUUCGGCACCGUUAACCCACGAUGCAUUCGAUAAUGAGGACCUUGGAGUCCAUUUAUUUAUUUAUUAUUGCUAGGUUGUUUCCCUGAAUUAAGGUAUUCUUGAAGUUUUGAAUUUACAGGAUUGACAUCAAAUACCCAUAAUUUUCGUGAGAUUUUAAGCCUUUUAGAGCAUAUAUCUUUCUUGCUCACUAUUUUAUUAGUUAUGAGUGUGUCAACAUUGAUUUGUUAUUCUAGAACUUGCUUCGAUUAUGCAUGUCAAGAUCAUACCUUUGAUUUGAUAUACUGAGAUGGUAAAGGCGCUUAGGUUUUAACCCACUUACCUCAUAAAAAGCCUACCCACAUAAUUAACCCUUAGUGAACCCCUUUGAGCCUUAACCAUUGUUUCUUGAUUUUCCCCUUAAUAUUAACCCACAACUUAACCAUUUUUUAUUCGUUAAGAAUUUCUCCCUUUUUAUUGACUCCCUUUGAUUUGAUUAGUUACCUAACUAUGUUCGUUAAUUUCAAUUGCUGAAUUAUUUCUUAUUAUGUACUUUCCAUUAUUGUAUUUGUUCUUAUUCUUUAAAAAAACGUAUAUUUAUAUUCAUAUAAUUAAGUAUUGUUAUAAAGAGCUUGGAUAAGUCAAAGUUAUUAUAUUGAGAAAAAGCUCACUUCAUUAGUUUUGGAUAGUUUUAAUUGUGGCACUUGUUUAUAAUUCAGUAAUUAGCUUUAUUUUUCUAAGUUUGGUAAUUUAUUAAAUUAAGCUUGAUUCUAACCCUCUUUUUUAGCCUUUAUCCACACCUUUAACCCAAGCCCCAUUACAACCCUGUUAAAGACCUUUUGAUUUGUGUAUCAUCUCAUUUAUAGUGGUGGAGAUUUGAUUUCCAUGCAAGUCUAUGGUAAUAAAAUUUCAUGUUUGACUAAUGAGUGCUUUAUUGUUGAACCUUAAACACUUUGAGUGAUUUGAGUGAAUCUGUAGUGAGGAUGUCAACUCUUGUCAAUUUGGAAUUAAAAGUAAUUAUUUAGAUAAAGGGAAAUACCUAUGAUUUUAUGAUUAAAAUGCUCAACUUGGACUGUUUGAGACUUUGAUUUUCUUUUUGUUGAACCCUCAAUGUAUGAUUAUUUGUGGAUUAUUUUGAAACAUUAUUUGAUAAGAAUUAUAAGUUGAGAAGAAUUAAUAUUAAUUGUAAGUUGAGGAUUUUGCUUGAGGACAAGCAAAUGCUUAAGUGUGGGGAUAUUUGAUAAACCUCAAAAGUAACAUAUUUCUAUCCCAUACUUGGCAUAUUUAUGGAUAAUUUAUCAUAAGAUUUAGUGAAUUUGAUGCUCCUAAUCUUUCAAUUUCAUGUUUCAUAUCUAGAUGAGCAUAGGAAAGCGAAAAGUACAAGAAAAAGGCAAAAAAUGGACAAAAUAGGUUUAUUUUAGUACUACACACGGCCUAGACAAGUCGCCACGGGUAAUCCACACACCCGUGUGAGACACACGGGUAGGCCACAUACCUGUGUGUCAUGGAUGUGUUAAUUUAAAACCAUGUCAGAAUUACAUAUGGCCUGAGUACCAUCACACGGGCGUGUCACACGGUCGUGUCCCUGCCGAGACCUAUUUUAAUUCUACUCGAAAAAGGCUAAUCUUGGCCUAUUUUGGGCAUUCCAAAGUCUAUUUAAACACACGAGAAGAGGAUCAAAGGGGGGACAGGCAUAUAGAAGGUAGAAAAUACUCGAAGACAGCCAUUGGAAUCAGCUCGGAAGCAGGAUUUACUUCAAGACUGAAGAUCUCCAUUCAAUUUCUACCGAAGUUUUUGGGUCUCUUUAUGUUUUGUUAUUUUCCCAAUUUUGAGAUGUUUUCCACCAUCAUUAUGGACUAAAUUCCCUAAAUACCUAAGGAAGAUGAAACCUAAGAUGAAUCUUAUUAUCUUCUGAAUUAUAUGAUAAAUACUUUUUUUUAUUCUUAAUUAUGAGUUUUAAUCCUUGCUUUAAUAUUUCAAGAUAUUAAUUCAGGUUUUGAUGUACUUAUUCAGCAGAGCAAAAGUCCCUGUUUAAGAGUAGAUCUUUCAUAAUUAAGCAGAUUUGAUUGUAAUCCUAGAGAUAGGACGACAUAAAUCUGCCGGAUUAGAGUCAAAUCUAAUAAGGGAAUCCAUAGAUCGAGUUAAUGCGACAAUAGGAGUUUUAAUUAGAAAGAGAUUUCAAUUAAUCAACCUAGAGUCAGUUAUUUUUAGUCUCGAGAGAGAUAUUAACAUAAAGUAGGGAUUUCUACGGAUUAAGUCAAGUGAAUAAAUCGUCUAGUUCAGAAGUAGUAAGUGAAGUCUAGGUGGAUUCUUCCUUGGGUAUUGUCUUCUCCAUCGGUCUUCCAAAAGUACUUUCCAACUUUUAUUUCUAUCGUGUUCUUAGUUAAUUAAAUAGUUAAUUUUAGUUUAAAAACACCCCUUUAAUUCUUAGGCUAGAUAAAAAAAAGAUAGUAAUUACUAGUACUUUUAGUCCUUGUGGAUACGAUAUUUUAGAUCUCACCAUAACUAUACUACUGUUCGAUAGGUGCGCUUGCCUUAGUUGAAAUUUUUAGUUAGUUUAGCGACCAUCACAGAGUGAUUAGACAAGGUUUUUGUUACAAUUGUGAUGAACCAUACUCAUUCAAACAACAAUGCAAAAAAACUUGUUUUGGUUGGAGAUAAAAGAUCUCGAGGAUUUUGCUAAGAUUCAGAGGAGUUUCAAUCUCAAGCUUGCAGACAAGCUCUUUUUCCAGAAGGAGAGUAGUGUUACAUGUCAAUCAAUUAUUAUAUUAGUUUAUUAUUUUCUUAGGAGAUUUUAUUUAUGAGUAUUUUAGAGAGAUAUUAAAAAUCUUUCUUAAUAUAAAAUAUUUAUUUUCGUUUCCAUAGCUUAAUGUCAUUUAUUCAAAUAAGUAAGCCUAUAUAACCUCUAUUUCAAAGGCCUGUUGGUAGCACUAAAAAAUUAAGUCAAAUUAAACCAAUUUUUACAAGAUUUGAUAUUCUCUUUAACGAGUCUUAUGGUCUGGAAUUCCCUUUGACGAGUUCCAUUUUUUUAACAUAGGUCAUUCGCAUGGAAAGGGUAAAAGGUAAGGAAAGAGCCCUAACAAGACAGACAAAUUGCCUAUGAAUCGUCUGGUGACAAGAUCUAUAAACCCCUAACCCGUAUCCAUCGCCGGAACAGAGUUCCAGAGCAUUGCCAGAACUUUCAGAACAUUUAUAGAUAAUUUACAAUAAUUACUAUUCACUUUUUGAAAUUAUUCGUUGCGCCCCUCAAAUGGACCCUCGAAGCCCAAUAUGAGCAUUGGAAUCGAGUCGAAACUUAAUCGAAAACUCUAAAAAUUUUUCAUAGAUUUUCAAAAAUUUUCUAAGUUUCAGGGCUCACACGCCUAUGUGGUCCAAGGGACACGCUCGUGUGACCCUACAACAUGCCUAUGCAGCAUGCCGUGUUCGACCCCGUGUAACUCUUUGACUUGUACCACACAGUCGACCACACACCUGUGUGAUAGGCCAUGUGGUUAAAUAAAUUCUUCGAAAUUAGGUGCAAGUUUCACACGGCCAAGACAUACGCCCGUGUCCUAGGCCGUGUAGCACACACGGCUAAGACACACGCUCAUGUCUCUGCCCGUGUGCUCAAUUCUGAGCAUUCUAUUUCUCAAAUUUAAGGUGCAGAGGACACACGGCCUAACCACACACCUAUGUACCAGGCCGUGUGUUACACACGUCUAGAAACACGCCCAUGUGUCUACCCAUGUGGACAAAAUGAAGCCAUUUCAAGCUUCAUUUCUCACCCAAAAUCACACCAAUAACUUGCACUUAAACUCACAUCCAAAUACCAACCUUUUCAAGCAUUCAAAUUAAGCAAACUCUAUCAUUCAACAUGGCAUAUCAUUACAUACAUACAUGUUUAUAAUCUUAGCUUGGUAUAUUCCAUAUGUUAGACAUAAUUUUAUCAACUACUUAACAUGCAUGUAGCUACCAUAGUAUGACAUUACAAAUAUAUAUAUCAAAAAAACCAUUACUAAUCAUUCCAAUAGCUAGAUUACAAACCACAUAUUUAAGCCAUCUCUGGCCAAGUUAGUCUAUACAUGCCAUUAUACCAAAAUGAUUUUACUAUAUAUACCCAAAAUAAGCUAGUGGAUAGUGUGACGAUGCUCCAAUGAUCUCCAACCUUUGUGAGCUUCCGAGCACUAUAAAACAGGGAAAAUAAAAUCUAGUAAGCAUUACAUGCUUAGUAAGUUCAUAUAACGGAAACUAAACUUACCAAUCCCGUUUAUUAAAUCUAAGCAUACAAUAUCAUGUUUUCCAUCAACUUGGCAAAAUUGCCUAAACACAUGCAUUCAAUCAAACAUGUUAGUCACAAAAUUUUCAUAUACAUCAAGUAAACAUGGAUGACCUCAUCAUACAAUUUUCCUUCAAGACAUUAUUCAUUUCAUUCCAUAAUUCUCUUAUCAUGCCAAUUGUUGUGUCCAUUGAAUCAUUGACAUUCCGAUGGAUACUCAAGUAGUAACUCAAGGUGUACAAUUCAAUAACUUGUCAAUUCUUAUCCAAGAGUACCCAUUAAGGCAUUUAAUCAAAGAACACACUCUCGAGCCACAUAUCGUAUUAUAGGAUUACCAGUCCAGGCUAAAUCCUUUAUGUAAUGUAUGCUCAGAAGAGCUCAAUUAGGAUUACCAAUCUAGGCUAAAUCCUAAUUGUAACAUAUGCUCGAGAGGGAUUAUAUCAGGAUUACCCGUCCGGGCUAAAUCAUUUCUAUAAUGAGAUCAAUUGGAUUACUCGUCCGAGCUAAAUCCCGUCAGCAACAAAUGCAGUACCUCAUUUUAUAAGUCAAUCACAUUUAUCCAUCGAAAUUCAAUAUUCAAACGAGAUUUUACCCUUUUUCUAACAUUUCCAAACAUGUAAUCAUUUCACACAUUUAUAAUAUUCACAUAAAUGUAAAUCACAUAAAUAUAAAUCAUAUUGCAUACAAUCAUAACAUUCAAGUUAACAUAUUUACAUGCUCGAUUAUGUUACACGAACUUACCUUGACACUUGUUCGCGUAAAUAAUCUACUAAUCCGAAGCCUUUCCUUUUUGUCGAUCUAACCUCAAAUUUGUGUUGUCCAGAUCUAUAUAAAUAAAUUUAAUCAUCAAUUUCACACAUUUCAUAUUCAUUUGGACUCUUUUUACAUCCUAGGCAAAAUUACCAUUUUGCCCCCAACUUUUCCAUAAAUUCCAAUUUCCUCCCUAGGCUCGGAAAAUGAAAUUUAUUCAAUUUACUCCCUAUUCCAAGCCUAACCAAAAUUUCAACAUAAAAUUUACAGCACAUAUUUUUUAUAAAUUUUAGAAUUUUUCAUCAAUUUUCACAACUUUACAUUUUAGUCCCUAAAUCAUAUUUUCAUCAAAAAUCACUUUGUAAAAGUUGUUUAUCUAUCAACAACCUUUUAUUUUCCACCAUAAAUUUUAAAUUUUCAGCAUAUUCAUCCAUGACCUAAUUUCCAUACCUUGAUAACUUUUCAAAUUGAUCCUCCAAAUAGAUAGAUUAAGCUAUCCCAGUUUCAAAAAUAUCAAAAUUACUAAAAACGGGACAAGAAAACUUACCAAUUAAGCCAUGAAAGUUUCUUCUCUCUCUCCUAGGGUUUUCGUAUAAUUUUGGGGAAGAUGAUGAUAUAAAAUAAGAUGAUAAUUCUUUCAUCAUCUUUUAAUUAAUUAAAUUAUUUUAAUUUUCAAUUUAGUCCUUGCCCUUUUUCUAAAUUUCCAUGGAUGAGUCACUAAAAUAUCUACAUACUUUUUUUAAUGGUCUAAUUACCAUAUAAGGACCUCAAUUUUUGAAUUCCAUAGCUAUUUAAUCCUUUUAGCUACUAAAAUUCAACUUUUGCAUUUUAUGCGAUUUAGUCCAUCUCGUAAUUAAGUACUUAAUCGAUAAAAUUUUAUUAUCAGAAUUUUCACAUGACAUUUCUAACAUAUUACCGACCAUGUAAUAAAAUAAAAAUAAAUUUUAUUUUCGGAUCAGAUAUGUGGUCCCAAAACCACUGUUCCGAUUUCACUAAAAUUGGGCUAUGACAAGAUCCAUCAAUCGGAACCGUUACAUGUUGAUUAGCUUAUUUACUUGAUAUUCUGAUAUUGUGAAUUAUCAAUUUUUUAACAUCACUGAGUUUCAUUACUUAGUGUACGGUUUUGUUUGUUACCAUGCACAAGCUUAGAUGUACCUUUGGAAGUUGAUUCAUUAGUUUCCAGCAACCAAAAACUUUAGUACUCAGUUUUAUUGUUAAAUCCAUUAUGCCUCUUUAGAUUUAGUGGAAUAAACAACAUGUACCUAAGUCAUAAGGAUUUUUCUUACAUGCUUUAUAUAUGGGUUUGAAUAAUUAGAUGUUGUGAUCAUUUGACAUAGAUGUUAGUUACAUAUUUUUUAACUUAUAGCAAUUUCAUAAACAAAAUUUGAUUUUUGGUUUGAGUGGACUUAUAUGUGCUUUAAUAUUACCAAUUACUUGUCUAUCUAUAUUUUGAUAUAGUGAAUUAGAUUCCUUGAUCUUUUGUGUUUUUAAUUUGUUUUUAUGUUAAAAAUGUGUAUAUUGGUUGGGAUCCAUAGUGAAUAGGUUUAGGCACUCGCGUCGCCCCAUUGAACAAACUUUCUAUUGGAGUAGAAAGUGUCUAUCAACGCUUGGUGGAGUGGAGCGGAAAGUUUUUUGCUAGCACUCAUUGGAGGCAAAAAAAUCUUUUGUUGGAACUGAAAACUGUUAGUACAAAAAUUUUGGUGAGGAAAAUCUCAAACACACGAACGAAACACGAACAUUAACUUGAACAGAAAACGAGGAAAUAGGACAAGGCUCUAAGGCGGGGGUAUCAAGCCACUAUCUUUAAGGUUCAAUUUACCCCCAAAUAUACUCAGUGUGCAAAUGAGUUUCAAGCAAAUGAACCUCGAAGAUACAAUGAAGCCCGAUGAUUAUUUGUGUUUUGCACUGAAGAAAAUACUCCACUAAGCAUUGAGCAAUCUACAACAAGAAAAUCAAUUUCUAUAAAGAAUUUCUACAGUAACUCUUUAUAGAACAAUCUAGUAAUAUUAGAUGGAGGAAAGAUAAAAAAAAAAUUAGAACUUGUUGGUAUGAUUUUCAAAUGAAAUCUCAUUCCUAUUUAUAAAAAUUUUCAUGUCUCUUCAUAGAGACAUCUUUCAAUAGGUGUCUUUUCUGAAUUAUAAUAUGUUUAAAAGAAGAGACAUAAGGAGUCAUCUAAUAUCUCUUGAUUAAACAUAACUAUUCAAAUAAUAUUGUUUGGAUAGUUAUAAUUCUUUGUCAAUAACCAAAAAGAUAUAACUUUUGAAUAAUUACACCAUUUCAUUUAUAGUUAUUGGAAAACUACAAAUAUUAUUGAAAAUGUUCCAACAAAAAUUUUCAUAAUGGCAUAUAUCAAGUUAUCCUUUCUCCAUGCUAUGUCAAACUUAUAUUAGAUAAAAAAAAACACUCGAAAAUGAGUCCAAUUUAGCACUAAUAAUUUAUAAUUUAUUAAAAACAUAAAUAAAAUAAAAUUCUUAAAAUCCUACUAGAAUAAAAGAGUAAUAACCCUAAGAUAUUAAAGUUAUUGAGGUCUUAUUCAUGCUUAUAACAUAUCAUUUGAUCAAUAUUCAUAUGCCACACUUGUUUAUUUUAGUUUAGGUGUUAAGCCUUUGUUCUGUUUCAGUUACUCUUACAACGGAUAUGACAUUGUGUAUCCAAAUUUAUCGAUUGAGUCGAGUGUAAGGUGUUACAAAAUACAUUAAAAAUUAUCAAAAAUUACUUUCUUUCCCUUCAAUUUUUAAAUUUUGAACAACUCUUUUUCAUAAUUCUUGUCACUUCUUUUUUUUUUACAUUCUUUGGAUUUUUAAUAUAUAUUUUUAUUUCUUUUUCAAUUUUUUAAAAAAAAUUAAAAUUUUUAGAAAAAAUUUAAAAAGUUUUAUUAUAAAUUUGAAAACAUUUAUAUUUUUAAAAUUUUAUCUAUUUUUCUUUUACUUUCUUUUGUUUUAAUUAAAAUUUUAAGAGUUUUAUUAUUUUAACAAAUUUUGGAAUUUUUAUUGAAAAUUAGGAAAAAAAAUUUAGAUACUUUUUUUGUUUGAAAAUUUGAAACUUUUUUAAAUAAAAUUUCAUUAUCAGACUUUUGUUAUUUAUAAUACUUGAUUCUAAUUUUAAUUAUUCAAAUUUGUAUUUAUAAUUGUAUUUAUAACUUUAAAAACCAUAAAAUUUCAACUUACAUUUAAUUUUCCAUAAUUAAAAGAAAAAAUAAAUUCAAUUCUUUUUAUAUCAAGUAAAUAUAAUUAUUUAAUUCUUUUUCACAUUAAAUAAAUAUAAUUAUUUUGUAUACAAUAAAUAAACAUAAAAUUAUACCGCAGUGUUAAUCAUACUAAUUAUUUGUAAAAAUUAAGUAAAAAAAAAUUAUAUAUGCAAUUAUAACCAAUAAAUUGAAGCACAAGCACAAUACAAAUUUGAUCAGAACUAGUGUAAUUUUGAAAUUUAUCAUUUUUUUAAAAUUUUACAUUUAUUUCAUCUAGAAUCUUUCCACUUAUGUUUUGUGUUCGAUUAAUUAUUUUUUAGGCUAAACUAUAAAGUAAAUAUUUUAAAGGUUAAAAUAUUUCCAAAGUACUUAUUGAUUUAAGCAUUGUAUUUUUAUUUUUAGGAAGUUAAGUUUUUCUAUUUUUCGUAUUUAAAAAUUCAAGUCCAAUUAUUAACACUAUUAAAAUUCUUCUAUUAAAUAUUUUAGUGUGAUAUUUUGAAAUUAAAAAAAAAACUCACUUGGUAACAAUGUAAAUAAAAUUGUAAUCAUUUAUGAGUUUAAUAGAAAAUUUAACGAUGUUUACAGUUCAUAGAAAUACAUUAAAUAAAGCAUCCAAAAUGUCAAAAUUUAAAAUAUAAAGAUUAAAUCUCAAAUUUGAGCAAAAUACAAUAACUGAAAAUUCAACAUUGCUGUAAUUGGCGUGUAGCGUGAGAGAAAUGUUAUAAUGUGCAACUAACAAAAGAGGUAUCAAAGCCCAAGCACAGGUCACAGAUAUUUGACAAUUUGUUUAUUCAAAUUUAUGAAAGCUAAUCAGUUUGUUUGCUUAUAGUGCAGCUAAAGAAUACAAAGACAUUCUCAAGAAAAAGAUGUCAAUAUAUAGCACCAAUGUCUACCAUGAACUCUAUCUAGAGACUAGCCACCCAACCAAUGCUGCAAUUAAAACAAAAACAAAGAAAUAGCAGCUUUAAAAAGAAUCCGUAAAAAUACAAGGAAACACAAUUGCUUCUACGCCAUUGGAAAUGUCAAAUGACAAGCCACCGCCACCAGCACCUGCGGUCCUUAAACACCACCUGUGAUAGCUUCUCAGGUUUCACAUAACAACAUCCUUGACCAUGACUCCAAACAAAUGGCUUUUCUGAAGUGAAAAUGUCUACAGAAUCAAAAGAUAUCAUUGCAUCAAUCAUCGUUGACCAAAUCCAAUAAGAGUAAACAUCAGAGAAAUUUGCUCAGAAAAGCCUUUGGUGAGUGGUGUGACAUAGUCACACAAGUGGGAGAUGUGCUGCUCAGCAUAAUCUAUUCAAACUUUUUCCUGGGCCAAGACCCAAAUAUCACACUAUUUGCCACGAUAUAUAACUUAACAAGACACUUUCAUGAUCAUUAACAUGGGCAAAAUAUGUAGAUAGUUAUAUUAGUGGUAAACCAAGUGCAGAUUCAUAGGGAAGCAAUAAUUGGUUGUUGACAUAACAGGGUAACUUGUCUCCCUAAGCUAAAGGAUGCCUAUACUUCCAUUGCCCCUGAGAGGCUCGCCAAAAUGCCAGAUCUGUAGUAGAUAUCAGACUUGCCAUCAGAUUAAAAGAACAAGACAUGUUUUAACUAUAGCAGUAAUAUUAUGAUAGUAAUCCUAGUAGUACAAGACCAAGCCACUUUAAUCUCCAAAAUAUAACAACAAAGAGGAUUGAGAUAAGAAUCCCACGAUAAUUUUUAAGUUCCCACUGGAAGCUUGGAUAGCCUCGUUCAAAAAACUCAUCACCUCUUCCUCCCACCACGUUCCCUCAAUGAAAGAGCAAGCGUUUCUCCUGCUCCAACAUUGUAAUAUGCAAGGGUCAUAUUGUCCUUCAGAAACCCAGCUUUUCCACUCAAUUUCUGCUUAUUUGCAGGAAGCUGAAUUUCCCCUGCAAUUUUCUCCUUCAAACUGCCAACUGUUUCAGAUAAGGCCUGCACAGUGAUCUCAAGAAGUUGUCCUUUGAGAUUCCCUUCAUCAAGGUUGGGAACAGACACAGUAAUGCAAGCAGGACCCUAAAAGAUAGAACCACCAAUAACAAUCAGAGCAUAAUAAAUUAAAGAUACCAUGCGACAAAUAUGUUAAAAGAAACACAAAGAAACAAAACUUGGGAAAAAGCAACAGCUCCCCAUACCGGAUGUUGAGCAAGAAACUGAUCUUCUGGAACAAGCUUGGCAUCAUCAAGUUUCUGUCUUUUUGGCUCUGGCUCAUCAGGAAGUGGUGGAGGAGCUUCUUCAGGUGGUGGUGGUGGAGGAAUUCCUUGAGGCAAAGGUGGAGGUGGCUGCAUCAUGGGCAUAGAAGGUGGUGGGACAGGAAGUGAGGCAAAGGGUCGAGGAACUGAGACAGCAGUAAAUUGAGAACCAGGUGGAGGGGGCACAGGCAUAUUAACUGGGUUCAUGGACAUUGUUGGAGACAUUUGUGGUGGUCGAUUCAUCAUCAUGGAUUGUUGGCCAGGUGCCAUCUGCAUAGGAGGUGGUGCCUGACGCAUUGACUGCAUUACUGGAACACCAAUUGGACGAGGUUGAGGUAACGACAUAGGAAGCCCCCCACUAGAUGCGGCAGAAUAUUGGGGAGCAUUUGGAGGAACACGAGGGAGGUUUAAAGCUAGUCCAGGAGGUGGGGGGAGGGGACGAACAGAUGGGACACCAGGUCGAGGAGGAGGAGCAGCAGGACCAGGAAGGUUCUGUGAAAUGCUGUUAGCAGCAUCAUUUUGAUCUUCUCCCAUGAUGGUUUGAGACAUAGCCUGGUUUGCGGUUCGUCCAAUGCUUCCAGUGUGACCAUCCCAUAUAACCUGUUUUGGUUGCUCAUCUUUCUUUUUCUCAAUUUCAGCCUUGACAGCAUUAGAUACUUCUUCCUCAGUGGUACCAAAGAUAUCAGGACGUGUGCGUGCAAGUCCCACAAUGUUUCUAGAUAUCUCAUCAUCCUGAGCAAGAGUUGUCUCCCUAAUCUUCGCAAACAUCCUUUCUUUCUGCUCCUUGUACUUGGGAUCAAUUAAGGAAAUUCUCAUGUGUUCAGACAUCUCAUUAAUGGGAAUUAGCUCACCAGUUAUUGGUGAGACAACAAACUUGGUAGGAUCUCUUUCAGCAGUGAUUCUCUCCUCAGGCCUCUUCCAGUUCUUCACAAUUCUCAUUGGUGGUUCAGGGUCCUCAUUUACCCUUAUAUCCUUCUUCUCACCAUCAUUCUCUCCAAUGCUAGCAGCUCUCAUGCCUUCCUCAACAAGCUGUACCUCUUCUUCAUCCAUUUCCAUUUCCACCUCCUUUCCAGGCUCAACAAUCUCAUCUUCUUCCAUAGCAGUGAUCUUGCUCCUCCUUAUUACCUCCUCAAUGGUCAUUGGGGGAGGUAAGUCCUCGUCCUCGUCAUCAGCAAAGUCUAUAGUCUCAACCACAACAAAAUCAUGCCAAUCAAUCAUUGCCAUUUGCAUUCUCUCCUGCUCAAUUUCAUCCUCAGCUUUCUGCCUUGCCUGCUCCUGCGAGCGUUCCCAUUCCAGCCGGUGCAAGCACCUCUCAAGCACAGUUGUCAUAUCAACAACACUCUUCCUCAACUUUUCUGUCAAGCCCUUUGGAGGCAUCAACACUUUGGAAUAUGCAUCAGCAAGUUCAGUGAAAAAGGUAAACAUACUGUGAGUAGGCCUUAAAAAAUUGAACUGGGGAUUAUUAAUCUCCCUACUGGUCAACCCAGUCAAGAAUGAUUUCCCAUUUCGUGCAACAAACUGUGCAGUCAGCUUAAUAAUAUCCAACUCUUCCCCUGUAAUCCCUUCAGGAAGUCUAACAGUAUAUUGGGCUGCUUCCGGUGGUUCAAGAUUCUUCCGCACAGGCAUUCUAAACAGCGAAGCGGGAUCAGGCUUAGCUACUGCCACUACUGCAUCAUUCCCAUCUGCAGCUGCAGCUGUAGCAGUCUCAGCUGGAGCUGAAUCAGCAGACUGCAAUUGCGGCUGCUGCUGCUGGGAGUUGGGCUGGUUCUGAUUCUGAGCACGAAACUCAGACAACCUAUGUUGAUAAUACGCAUGGUAUGGAUCUGAACUAGUCAAGAAAUUGAACUUGACAUUGUUAGCGUUAUUAGCAAUGAUUCUUUUCUCGAAUUCGGGUCCAUUUUUGGCAACAAACUGAGCAGUUUUAUCAACAAUAUUUCUAAUAUCAGGAGGAGGAUGAAUGAUUCCAAUAGUUCUAGUAUGAGUUGCAACUGAGUUAGCUUUGUUCUGUUCUUCAUUCGUUUGAAUCUCCUCAUUUUGAGCCUCUGGCACCUGAGAUGGAGGUAAUGGGCCUAAAUCCCCAUCAGAAGGGGGUGCCGGAAGGGGCAAUAUUGGCAUUACCCCUGGCAUUUUCACUAGACUAACAAAAAAACCCUAACUUAUAGACGAAAAUUAAAAUCAACCACCAUGAACCUGCAAUUAACAAAUUUUAAACAAAAUAAAUCAGUCUAUUCCAAAAACUGGUUGAAAAUCUAUGAAAAUGUUAGGGCACAAAAAUAAACGGUAUAAUGAAACUUAAACUUGUUACGUCCUUUAGGUCAAAUUUCUUACGAGGAUUUUCUUCUAAAAGAACUAAUAAAUUACAGAUUGCAAAUCCAGAAACCAAAAAUUCGUAACAAAAACAUCGCCACCGAUCAAAGGGACAUAAAAAGAGAGAAAUUAAUAGAAGAAAAGAAAGGCGUGAAGCUAACCUGAAAAUCCCCUUCCGUCUCUUUUUCUUUAAAUCUGCGCUGCGAAUCAGAGGAAAAAUUUUAUUAUGGAGGAUUUCAAAGAUAAGAGUGUUUAAGAAUGAGGGCAAACAGAAUUUUUUCCAAAAAAGGAAGGAUGGUGGCGCAUUAGGGUUUAUAACACGGUAGGCUGGUAGUUGGCUCGUUGUUGAAUAUUUAAAGCCCAAGCCCUUUUAUAAAUGGUUUAAAUUCCCAUUUGGCCCCUAAACUUCAUGCAUUCUCCCAACUUGAUACUUAAAGUUUUUUUUUUCUAAUUUAGAUGUUAUUUGAUAAACCGAAACAUUAAGUAUUGAAUUUUAUGAGUGGAGAAUUUACAUUAUAAAAUCAUGUUAAUAAAAUUUAAUUAUCGAAUAUAAUUAUGUUUUCUAAUAAUAAUAAAUUUUUAUGUUUGAAAUUACUUAUUUUAUAUUUUUAAUCUUAAGCUCCGUUUGUUUGCAAGUAAAAUAUUUUCCGAAAAAUGAUUUCUGGAAAAUGAUUUACUUUUCUAGAAAUAAUUUACUUUUCUGGUGUUUGGAUGAAUCUGUGUAAAAUAUUUUCUGUUGUUUGACAAAUUUCCUAAAAAUAAUUUUCGAAAAAACUAUUUUUACAUUAUAUUAAUAAAUUUAUAUAUAUUAAUAAAUUUAUAUUUUAAAUUAUUUUUACAUAUAUAUAAAUGAUUUAUUUAUAAAUAAAUAAAUCAAAUUAAAUAUAUAAUCAUACUCAAUUAUUGCAUUGUUCAUUCUUUAUCCGGAUUUGUUGCAUUGUUACUCUAGAUUUAGAUAGAGCUUUAUACUUCAUCCGGAUAAAGUGUUCAAAAACUCCAACAAAUGUAACUUUAUAAAGAGGAACAGAAAAUCAGAAAGAAAACCAUUUGUUUGACUAUAUAGAGCCAAUAACUUAUGCAUGAACUCGAAUGUUUGAUCACAUAAACAACAUUUUACAAGAGAACAGAAAAGAUACACGACAAAUGCACUUAAAUGGGGGCAUGCAUACCCAUGUUACGCUAGUGCCUGAAAACUUACCUAAACAAUGCCCAGAACAUCAAUAAGCCUACACCUUGCAGAGGAAACAACAAAUGCAAAGAAAGAUUAUAGCACUACAAUGGAAUUUUCUCCACCAAUGAAAAUGGCUAUUUCAAGCAAACAAAUGGCUCUGAGUUUUAAUUGAUUUGUGCAUUCAUGAAGCUAAGAAGAAGAGCACAAAUGAUGUUUUACAAACAAAACAUGUUUGCACACAUAUAUAUGAAACACCAUUUGUUCAUAUAAAAAGUAAAACCUGCAACUACAGAUCAAUUACAAUGUUCUUCUCUUUGACUUUCUAUCCAUCGUCAACAAAAUCAAAGUUAUGCUAAUGAUGGCGACGCAACAGCAAAUAUUAUAACCGAGCAAUGACAUGAUUGAAUGUAAAACCGGGACAUUAUCCUUAAAACAACAUGCUCACAACAUAUUAGGCAUUGAAUACAGCGUCAUCUUCUAUUGCUCGAACAGCUUGAAGAGGACCACUACCAAACAUGAAGCCUCGAUCGGAGAGAUUGUUCAAAGGACCAUCGCCAUAUAAACAUACCUGUGGUUCAAUCCGAUUCAAGCGCUUCCACUCAUCAUCUGACAGAGACCAGUUAAAUAUGUCAAUGUUUUGCUUUAUCCUGUCGGGUUUUAGGCUACAUGGUAGAACACUGGUUCCUCUUUGAAACCCCCACCAUAAAAUUACCUGCAAACAAGCAAAGCAGACGGACAUGUCAAGAACAUAUUCAGACAUGGAUACGGAGAUACAACCUUCCAAAAAUCUUUCAAAUACAUGGAAAAACUGAGAAAAAUUAACAUACCCACAUCGGACUUAGAGUCCAAGUAACAUAGUUCUAAUAAAAAUGGCUGUUAUGAUCAACAUUUGCUCUACCAUAAAUGAUCGUGAUCCUAAAUGCUCCGAAAAUGACAGACAUGCUAAAUAACCCACAAAUUUGGAUUCUUGUAGUUGUAAGUUUGAUAAGAAAACCAUGCACUAUAUAUAUGAAGUUUUAAAUACAUAAGAUAUCCCAUGCCAACCAUCAUGCUGAUGUUAAAAGAAAAAAAUCCUUGGGCCAAUCCUGUUGCAUAUCUCAUCGCAUUUCCAAACACAUCUAUUACAGCCCAAUCAUGAUAAUACAAACAUAUAUACUCAUAAAAGCAUAAGACUGUUCCUUGCACAGAUAACUUUAAUCAGUUGUAGGCUUCCCUUAUUAUAUGGUGUUAUUUUGUUGGGACGGAGUUGAAUGCAACUCUUUUUCUCCAAUGUUCAAGCUUUGUGUUAGUUCUGUGAGUCUUUUGUCCACUUUGCUGAAUGCAAGGUUAUAGCAUCUGAAAGAUCUAAAUUCGGCUACUAGAAAGUAGUUGGGCAUACAAGACUGACCUAGAGAUUCAACAAAUUUAACCAUAAGCAUACGGGGAAGAGUUGGGUAAGGAAGCCCCUCCCUCUUUACUUUUGUUGUGAAAUGGCAACUAGUCUUAAAUUGUUUCAUAAAGUCUGACACAUUGAUGCAUAUAAGUGAAUCCUAUAAUAUGGAUUUUUGUUUUCUCCCACAAAAGAUACUGAUAUUCCCAACUCUUCUCAGUUUUGUUUCUGCUAAAAGUAUAGAUUUAGUUUUGAUAGAUGAUAAACACAAGCUCUAACCGAGCUCUUGUGUCAGGUCAGCGAAUAGCUCUAUGUUCAAGUAGACCCUAAGCAGGACGCAUCUAAAUUUUGUAUCCAUAAGCAUUCAUUAUAUACUUGCGCACUUCAGACACCGGUAAUAAUAUAAAAUAGUUCAAUUGUGUUUAUUAUUGUACCUUCCACCUUAUAUCAUUUUGACAUUCAGAAAUGAUCCCAUAAAUCCGAAAACAAAGGGAUAAAAUAAUUUGUCAGUUACCAGGAUCAAUAGGUUGAUAUUUUACAUCAAUGAUGAGGUCAACAUACUGUCAACAAAUUUGAAGUUGUUCAUUAGCCUACUUUAGGUCCGAAGAAACACAGAAAACGGAAGGUAGAAUGAUAAAUAAAGUAAAACUAGAGAUGAUAUUGUUAAUAAAAGGUAUACCUGCUCAGUUGUCUUUUUGUGCCUAUCUGCUAUCUCUCCAACAAUUGAUAAUUUCAGCAUCGGUCCAUGUACUGAUCUAGACCUCCAAAAUGAAAUCCGAGGAGUUCCGAGUUCAUAUUCCCCACCCGAUCCACUAUCGGACACUCCAGGACUUGAAGUAGGUACUUCCAAAAGCGUAUGCGCCGAUACAUGGAUACACUUCAUUUGGCAGAACUUCACCAGCUCAUCUUGCCUCCAAAAAGGAUGCAACUCCACCUAUAAAAAAAAUAUGAAUUAGUUGUAAAACUCAAUGAAUUUCGCCAGAUAUGGGAUUCAAAAAACAGAAAGAGAUCAACGAGAACAAUAAAGGUCAAUAUCUGGAAAAGUCUUACGAAAUCGAAGUGACAAACAAAACGAUGUGCAUCAACUACAACAUAAACAAAUAUUCUAAGUCCAUCAACUAGUAAAGUUUGCCUCAAAUGUUGCGGACUCGCAUUCGAACAUUGUAGAAAGGACUGGAGCUCACCAACUCCGUGUUCUUAGCUAGGCAAAUAUAUUUGGAUCAAAAAGAGAACUUAGAAAUCAUCUCAAAUUAAAUGAAUGCAAGCAAAAGUUCAUAGAUUUAUGCUAGCAAAUUUCACAUUUGAGUCACCAACAAUUAUUCCAAUGACUACACAUCAAUCAACAUAUGGACAAAUAUGUAAGCAUUCCUUUAAUUUCACGGUAAAGUUCUCAACAAAUCUACAAAAAGAUCGAAGACUGUAACAAAUGUAAAGUUAAAAAAUGCGUGAAAAUCUAUCAUACCUGAUUAACAGCAAGUACGAUUUUUGCGAAUUUAAUCAAUUCUUUGAUCUGAUGAACACCGAAAUUGCUAACACCGAUAGCUUGAACUAAACCAGAAUCGACUAGGCCUUCCAUGGCCUUCCAUACCUUCUUGAGGCGAUUCAGAAACUGCCUAUGCUCACUCCCAGACUUCAAAGGCGGAUCAGUUGCAUCACCAAAACCAGAGCUCUCAGGCCAAUGCAUCAAAUGAAAUUGAUGCCCACAUUGAAGCUUAGCCCACGACUGAUCCCCAUUAUCAGUAACCGUUUCGAGGCAAAUCGAGCAUGAAACAGAGCCGAAAGACUUCCCUACAUUUUUGCAAUCAACACAUCGCCUGAAAUACAGAAAAUAAAAAGCAUAAAAAACUUACAGAACAGAUGAAGAAGGGAAUUGGAUGAAGAAGAAGAAGGAAGAUGAAAACGGAAUAAGGAGAAAGAAUAUGGUGGAGGGGAGGAAGAUAUUCUGAAAAAUGUCUUACCGAUUAAAAAUCUGUAAGAAAUUUUCCCUAAAAUACUCAUCUCAUUUAAUGAUACUCAUCUCAUUUAAUGUGUUUUGUAAAAGAUUUUAGAGUAGGAAAAUAUUUUCAGCCAAACAAACGAAAAGCCUGAAAAGUUUUUCCUGAAAAUAUUUUACUUCCAAAUAAAUGCACCCUUAUUAAUAUAAUAUUAGCUUAACUCACAAAUUGCUAUUUAAAUUAUACCUUUUUUUCCUAUCUUGAUUCCUAAUUCUUUUCCUCGUCAAAUGUGGCACCUAAACUAUUUUUUUUCCAAGUUGGUACGUUCAUUGGGCAAAUUGUUAAGUUUAUUUUUAAAAAAAAAAAACUUAACCCAUGAAUCAGUACCUAAAUUAUGUAUUUUUUCUCAUUUUGAUACCUAAAUAUUUUUUUUAUUACAAGUGGUAUCUAAACUACUUUUGUUCAAAGCUAGUAUCUCUUAUAGUUUAAGUCUAUUUAAAAAAAAUAACUAAUUAAAAAUUAACAUGUGACAACAAAAGACAAAAAAAUAUUAUUUCUCUUGUAUAUAUGUUAUUCUUUUUUUUUUCUUUAGAAUAGGACAGAUGGUAGAACCGACCAAGCCACCAAUACUUGGUUUGACCAAUUCUUCCAAUUCGAUCAAAUAAAUUAUUAAAAAUUCAUAAAAACUAAAAAUAUGUAAAAUAGAGGAAACCAAUUCAAUUUUUUUAGCUUGGUUCAAUUAGUCUAUAUCCGUUUGCAGUUCAACCCCUAUCUUUGGACUGGUACCUAACCAAUUCUCAAUUCAAUCGGUCGUUUUGAUCCAAUUUUGAAAACACUUAUAGUUGAUGAAAUUACUUUUUUUAUAUUGUCAGGUCAAGUAAGAAGGCAAUGAAAUUCGAAAACAUAAUUAAUCAUUAACAUCUCAACUUUAGGAGAACAAAUUUCGAGCAUCACUGGUAUUGUGAUGCAUUAUAAAAGAAAAAUAAAGAAAAAUAAAGGAAAAUAAAGAAAAAAGAGAGAAAUAAUGUAAAAGAAAAAAGAAAAUAAAAGAAUUAUUUUUUUAAAAUUUUAUAUGAUAUAGAAAAUUAUUAUUGGAUGUAAAUUUUAUAUUGGAUAGAACAUUUUUGUAUAAAAUCGGUAAUAGAAUUAUGGUUGAAGUACCACUUUUGAUAAAAAAUUGUUUAGGUACCAAAGUGGGAAAAAUGCAUAGGUUAGAUACCAAUUUAUGGGUUAAGUCUUUUUUAAAAUUAGAUUUAACAAUUUGACUAAUGAAAGUACCAACUUGGGGAAAAAUAGUUUAAGUACCACUUGUGACAAAAAAAUUUAAAUACCAAAAAUAGAAAAGAGUAUAGUUUUUGAACCAAUUUGUGAGUUAAACCUAUAAUAUUUUAUAUUAUUUUAGAUAGCUUUAGAUAAAAUUAAAUAUAAUAAUUUGAAUUUUUUAACAACAAGUAAAGAGACAAUUUAUUUUGGAUAUUGUUUUUUUUAAAUAAAUUCAACUUAAUCUUUCAAUACUAAGUUCUAAAUAGCUACUUUCUUACUUAUUCUAUUUAUUCAAAAAAAAAUUAAACUUUUUUUGAAAAAAAUGAAAAUAUGUUAUGGUUUUCAAACAUAUAAAAAAUUAAAUGUUGAUUUUCUUUCAAUGAAAUGAAACUUUUCAAUAGUUUAUCAAAUGCAAAUGUUUGAAAUCAUUUUAAUAUAUUGUUCAAGUACUUAACAUUUUAAUGGUGUGGCAACUUCAUCUAAUAGUGAAGUCAAAAGUGUCACGUGAAUUGGUUAGGGAUGAUAAAAAAAUCAAACUCAACAAAUUACGACCUAAUUCAUUCUAAUAUGACCAAAGUUUUUUUUUUUUAUAAUCGGGUUCGAGAUGAGGCGAGUCUAAUUAUAAAGGAGUCAUGUGGUAAUCAAGUUUUGGGAAAGCCUAUCUUACUCCAAAAUAAUUACCAAAAUAUCAUUUAUAUAAUAUAUAUUAGCUAGGUUAGCUGUAAGACCCCAAAAUAUAUAAGGUUAGAUAUAUUAAUUAACUAAAAAAUGAUUUAGGGUGGGUUUGGACGGGCAAUCGGGUGGGUUGUGGUGCGGUGCAUUUAACUUAUUUUUUAUCUCACACUACAGUAUCACUACAGUAUCUAAUCUCACCACUACCGUUGUUUUUAUACUUAUUGCAGCUAAACGCAUUGCCCAUCCAAACUCACCCUUAGUCUUGAUGGUUAAGAGCUUAGUUUAUUCCCUAGAGAUCCUAAGUUAUAUCCGCUCCUCUCCCAUUUUUUUCUUUUUAUUUUUAGCAAACUAGGAUGAAAGUCAAUCUAAAAUAAAUAUUAAAUGGAGUAGAAAAUAAACAAGUGUGGGUAGCAUCUUAAUAGUUAACAUUCUUUCUUCUUUCCUUGAAUCCUAUGUUCAAGUCACACCAAACUCUUCCCCAUUUCAGAUCGAGAUCCCCAAUUUACAUAUCGGUUUUGGAAAAAGCUACAAGAGUCAUUAGGUACUCAUUUGGAUUUUAGCACUGCCUUCCAUUCGUAGUCUGACGGGCAAUCUGAGCAGGUAACACAAAUAUUGGAAGAUAUAGUAAGGGUUGCAUCAUCGAAUUUCGAGGCAGUUGGGAAGAACAUUUGCCCUUAGCCAAAUUUUCCUACAACAUCAACUUCCAAUCAAGUAUCCAAAUGGCACUAUAUGAGGCCUUAUAUGGUUAUAAAUGUUAAACACCUUUGUGUUGGAUCGAACUAGGUGAAAGGAAAGUUUUGGGCCCCGAGUUAGUGCAAGAGUCCGAUGGGAAAAUUAAACUGAUACAUGAUAGGCUAAAAGCUACUUUUGAUAGACAAAAUUCGUAUGUGGAUUUAAAGAGGAAGGACAUUGAAUAUAGUAUCGACGAUCAAGGCUUCCUGAAAGUGUCCCCAUAGUGAAAGGCGUUAGGAUUCGGUUAAAAAGGUAAGUUAAGUCCGAGAUUCAUAGGACCAUACCAAAUCCUUAAGAGAGUUGGUUCAGUUGUUUAUAAACUAAAAUGGUUCAGUUGUUUAUCAACUAUAUUACCUCCCGAACUGGAUCAAAUCCAUGACGUUUUCCUUGUCUCCAUAUUGAUACGAUAUCUGUAACGCCCUGUACCCGAGACCGUCGCCGGAGUCGAACACGAGGUGUUAACAGACUUAAUUCAUUACUUAAAUAGCUCAAACAAGUUAUUUUUAAAAUUUUCAGUCAAGCUAGCAAUCUGCGUCACAGUUGCUUAAAAAUUCAUAUCUCGAGUUCCAAAACUCGAAAUCCAAUUUUGUAAAUUUUCCCUAAAACUAGACUCAUAUAUCUAUUUACUAAUUUUUUUUAGAAUUUUUGGUCUAGCAAAUUAGUACAUUUUAUUAAUUAAAGUCUCCCCUGUUUCAGGGUUCAACUGCUCUGACCUCUAUGUAUUACGAAUCAGAUAUCUCCUUGUACAGAGUUUCAAUGACUAUUCUGUUUGUUUCUAAUAAAACUAGACUCAAUAAGGAAUCUGUACAUAUAAAUCCUGACUUAUAAUUAUCUUUGAACAAUUUAUGGUAAAUUUCCAAAGUCAGAACAGGGGAUCCAGAAAUCGCUCUAGACCUGUUUCACAAAAAUUUAAACAUCUCAUAAAAUAUAACUCAUAUACCUGUUUUGUUCCAUUCAUAUGAAAAUAGACUCAUAAUUCUUCAAUUCCAUAUUUUAUUCAUCAUCUAAUUAUAUCUUUACUAUUUUUAAUGAUUUUUCAAACUCACAUCACUGUUGCUGUCUAAAUCUAUUUUAUGGUAAAUUUUACCUAUUUCAUGGUUUCCAUGGAUUAGCUAGCAAUUUAGCAUACAUAACACCAAAUAUGAUCAUGAUUAGCCAUUCCAAUGGCUAAUCAUUACCAAGCAUUUCCAUACCACUCAAUAACCAUAUCAUAAGACCAUAUAUACAAAAUGAUUAUAAUGCUAUACAUGCCAUACUCAAAAUAUACAAGCCAUUAUGCCAAUAUGGUAUACGGAUAGUGUGAGUGUGCCUCCGACCGUUCCCGAUUUCCGAGCUGGCUUGUCAACACUACAAGGAAUGAAAAGGAGGGAGUAAGCAUAAAUGCUUAGUAAGCUCACAUGCAAAUAGCAAGUAACACAACUAUAUACGCAAGCAUAAAACAUCAUUUGCAUAAUCAUCACCGAGACAUUCAUAUCACAUUUUCAUUUAUCAUCUUACCAUAUUGUUGUUAUAUCGAGUUUUCAACCCGAGGGUUAAGUACAUACUUGUUCAAAGUAUUCAUUUCACAACACUUACCAAUACGUCCCUUUCAUCUCGAGUAUUCCUCCAUUUGAGUAGAAUUUUACCCGUUGAACACAUCGGAAUAUAAUUCGGAUACAUGGAAAGUUUGCACAUAAGUGCCACAUAUGUAGCCAAGCUACCAUGUAACCCGCCCAUAAGUGAACUCGGACUUAACUCAACGAGCUCGGAUGCCUAGUUACAUCUCUCGAACUCGGACUCAACUCAACGAGUUCGGACAUUCGCAUCCAUAAGUGAACUCGGACUCAACUCAACGAGUUCGGAUGCCCAAAUAUCCUAGUGACAUGUCACUUGUAUCCUAAUCCAUUCCUAAGGUUCAACGGGACCUUUUUCCCAAUCAUGUGUCUCAACCAUCUUCUAUGGAAUGCCGUUACCGAUACUCGGUAAUAUUUCACAUUUUCCAAGUAUAUCACAUAAUUUGACAUAUUAACAAACAAUUAUCACAGUAUAAUAUUUCAUAAUAAUUAUCAUAUCAUUUAAAUAACAUUAAAAUAUUUAAAAUAAUAACUAUGUUACCAACAUUUACAUAUGAACUUACCUCGUAUGCGAAAAUGACUACUUUUACCAUUUCGUCCACAACUUGGUAUUUUCCCCAUUUUAGCCCGAAUUUUAGUUUUCCUUGCUCUAUCAUUUAAAAUAUAGUCUAAUUAGGACUCAAAUUAUUCAAAUUGACCCAAAAUCAUAUUUUGGCAAAAUUACAAUUUUGCCCCUAAACUUUCGCAUAUUUACACUUUUGCCCCAAAGCUCGUAAAUUAAACUUCAGCCUAUUUUCUUAUGUUUUAUGACAUGCUGAUCAUUUUUUCCCUUCUAUGGUAACAUCAAAUUCUCACUCUAACAUGUACUUAUGACUAUUAGGUAUUUUUAUCGGUUAAGCCCUUUUGCUCGUUUUCACUUAAAACCGAGUAGUACAAGUUGUCUAACAUAAUUUAAAACCUCAUAUUCUAUCAUAAAACACCAAAAUACACAAAUUUCACCUAUGGGUAUUUUUCCAAAUAUGAACCCUAGGUUGAAUUAUUGCUAGCAUAAGAUUAAUCGAGCUACCGGGACUCCAAAAACGUAAAAAUCAUUAAAAACGAGGCUAGAACGGACUUACAAUCGAGCUUGGAAGCUUGAAAAACCCUAUCCAUGGUUUCUCCUUGCUAUAUUCGGUCAUGGGGUUGAAGAUGAGCAAAAUUGGCUUUUAAUUUUGUAUUUUAAUUCAUUUUACCCCUAAAUGACCAAAAUGCCCUUACUAUUAAACUUUCCAAAAAUUCCAUCCAUGUCCAAUUUUUGUCCAUAGACUUAGAAAUUGGUAAAAUUGCUAUUUAAGACCUCCUAAUUAAUAUUUCAAAACAAUUUCAUACUAGAAACUUCUAGAAUACAAGUUUUACAAAUUAUUCGAUUUAGUCCCUAAUUUCAAUUUAAGCACUUUAUGCAUAAAAUUUCUUCACGAAAUUUUCACACAAUCAUGCAAUCAUAUCAUAGACCUCAAAAUAAUCAUAAAAUAAUUAUUUCUAUCUUGGAUUUUGUGGUCACGAAACUGCUAUUCCGGCUAGGCCCAAAAUCAGGAUAUUACAAUAUCGCUCCGACCCUUCCCACAUUGUUCCAAUAGAAAAGAUUGAGGUAUGACUAGAUUUAUCCUUUAAAGAGGAACUUGUAAAAAUUCUAGACCGUGAUGUAAAGGUUCUAAGAAGGAAAUGAAUCCCUCUUGUUAAGGUUCUAUGGCGGAACCAUGAAAUUGAGGAGGCCACAUGGGAACCAGAAAAUGCAUUUCGCCAACAGUAUCCUGAUCUAUUCGAACCAAAUAAAUUUUAAGGCUGAAAUUUCUUUAAGGAGGGGAGAAAUUUAACACCCCCAAAUACAUAGGGUUAGAUGUAAUAAUUAACCAAGAAAUGACUUAGUCUUGAUGGUUAAGAGCUUAGUAUAUGUUGGAAAAUCGGGUAUGGAAAACACAACGAAAAAUAAAUUUAAGGAAAAACUAGAGUUUUAAAAACUUUUCCAAAACAAUAUCUUGGUUGUGAUAUCUAAAGUAAAAAAUACUUAAUCAAAAUUAUACCUUUUCGACUUGUCUAGGAUGAGAGCUUCGACCGAGUAGUCUUCUUCGUUAUCCUCAAGCCCACACUCGACAACCUCAAGCUCAUGUCUGUCGAGUGAGGACUCGCUUCAGAUCAGAAAAUUUUUCACAAAAAUUUAUUAGUGGGUAAUUUUACAAUUUCUCUAAAUUUUUGGGUCACGUUGUAAAAUAGAAAAAUAUCUUUAGAAGUUUUCUGGAAUAAUCUCUUUAGAGAAUUUUCUCUCUACAACUUUCUCUUGAAUUUAAAUGUCUGUAAAUAAUGACCUAAGGCUCUCUUUAUAUAUGAAGAGUUUAGAGAGUUCAACUAUGAUUAAACUUAAUCACUUUAAUAUUAAAUUAAUCAAGAUAAAUAUUAGAUUAAAUUUAAUAUUAAAUCUUAUUAAAAUAAUAGAAUGUUUGCCUACAAGAUAAACAUUAAAUUUAAUUUAAUAUUAAGAUGAUCGCUUUAGUAUUAAAUUAAUAAAAUAGUAUUAAUAUAAGUAUUAAAUUAAAUUUAAUAUUAAACUAUUAAAAUAAUAUUAUUUUUUGGAAUAAUUAAUUUAAAGUCAAAUUCUCUGGUAAAGUCUUACUAGGAUUGUAACUCUUCUACUGCUCAACCACUAAUGACCAAUUGUCGUCGGCCACAAAGACGCUGUCGUCGCAGCCACCAACACUACCAUGUCUGGUGAUGCAGGUGCGACACCCUUACAGCAUCCCGAGCCGGUUCGAUUGUUGCUAGUGUAACACUCUGAACCCCUAUCCGUUGCCAGAAUAGGGUUACGGGGAAUUACCGAACAAUACACAUCGUUCACAUAAAUAACAUAUACAUUUAUGCAUUCAUAUAUAAAAUCCAUUCAAAUCAUUCACAUUGUCCCUUUUAAGGCUCUAUGAGACCUUAAAACAUGCUUAGAAGUUGUUCAGGACUACAUGACAACAUUUACAAAGUUUGAGAAACUUAGAAAAUUUUUCAACAUUUAAGGGUCACACGCUCGUGUCACAGGCCGUGUGAAAACAAGGUAUACAUACUAACUUGCACCACAGGGCCGAGGACACGCCCGUAUGCCAUGGCCGUGGGAAAACUGGAGGAGUUACUGACUUGGGUCACACGGCCGACCACACGCCCAUGUGCCAGCCCGUGUGCUACAACGACCAGUAAACACACCCGUGUGUCCUGGCCAUGCCAAACCUGUAGGGUAUACUGACUUUAAUUCAAAGUGUUACCCCAGGGGGCAUACGGCCGUCUAGAAUGACUGUGUGUCGCACACGGCUGAGACACACGCCCGUGUCUUUGCCUGUAUGGACAAAAAUAGACCAUUUGUAAAGCCAAUUUGCCACCCUUCUUUCAUGCACACAAAGCAACCUAUAUGGUACCAUUACAAUACAUAUUUUAGCAACCAAAACAUGCUAUUCCAUUCACAUAUCAUGCUAUUAUCCACAACUAUUUCAACUACUCAAUUCCAUAUUCAAAAACAUACCUAAUUAAUAUGCCAAAAUCAUCAAGACUUAUUUAAGUUCUAAAUGCAUUUCCUCAUCAAAUUAUCAUCUAUAUCAUGACACAAAUUGCACCAUAUCAUUAUCUCAAAAUCAAACCACAAUAUGCCAAUUUUCCAAGCAUUAAUACAUCAUCUAAUAAUUAACCAAAUGAACAACCAUUUAGCUAUAUCAACAACUAUGGAAAACAUACCAAAACAAGCCAACAUUAAGGCAUUAUAUACAUCACAUAUAUCACUUAUCAAACAUGUAAUUCAAGCCAACUUAAAUGGCCAUACACACCAACAUUUACAAGCCAAAUCUCAUGGCUAAUAUCAUAACUCAAAACAUACCAAGAUGACACUAGCCUAUACAUGUCAUAUACCAUAUAUACAUAGCUCCCAAAAGUACCAAUGAAAUGAUUGAUAGUGUGAUGAUGUUUCCCGAUGAUUCUCCAGUCCGAGCUAGCUUCAAUAAUCUAUAAAAAUAGGGAAAGAACACACAAAGUAAGCUUCAAAAGCUUGGUAAGCCAUAUACAAAUAAAGUAAUCAAAUGAGUAUUUGCAUAUCAAUUCUAAUAUACUAAACAUAACUAAUCACUUUCAAAUUCACAAACCUUUCUCAUUGAACAUAUAUUCAAUGUCUUAAUCGAAUUCAGCAAAUACUUCCCCUUUUCAAUACUCGUGUGAAUUUCAUACGUACCUGAGCCACUUAGCUCAUUCACAUAUUCUUUCUCGGCUUGACUUUGCCCGUUGAACCAUUCGGAAUCGUUAAGGAUACUCGAAAAUCACAUAAGCUCAUACAAUGCCAUAUCCCAGAUAUGGUCUUACAUGUUAUCACAUAUCGAUGCCACAGUCCCAGACAGGGUCUUACACGUAAUCGAUUAAUGAUGCCAAUGUCCCAGACAUGGUCUUACAUGUAAUCACAAUACAAUGCCAAUGUACCAAACAUGGUCUUACAUAUAAUCUCAUCUCUGUAACCUAAUGUCAUGACAUUCGUAUCCUAUACUAUUCCUAAGGUUCGUACGAAAUUUUCGGAUGUCGUAACUCUGUCAAUUCUUACUCAUAAUUGCUCGUUCAACAUUUAUAACAAUUCAAUUACAAAUAAACACAUAAUAUUCAAUUUAAAGACAUUUAUUUGCAUAUGAAUUUACCUCGUAAUCAGAAUAGAGGGACCGGAUCAAUUAUUCGAUAACUUUCGAUUUCCCUGGAUCUAAAUCCGAUUUCUUUCGUUCUUGAUCUAAACACAUUCAAAAUUAACUCAUUUAUUCACCAAACCAUUCAAUUUAGUCUACAAACACAUAUUUGGGCUUUUUUCACUUUAGCCCUUAAAUUUUUACAUUUUUUACAAUUUAGUCUCUAUUUCAUAAAAACACAAUUUACAAUAAUUUCAAUUAAAUCCAAGUUAGCCAAAUUUCUAUAGGAUCCUUAACAGCCCAAAUUUAUCAAUAUUUUACACUUUUAACCACACAUUUUCAUCUUUUCACAAAUUAACCCCUUUUAUGAAAUUUCACUAAAAAUCACUUUACGAAACAUGAUAAUCUAUCAUCAAAAAUUCAUAUUUCAUCAUCAAAUACCAAAGAACACAAUAACUCAUCAAUGGAAACUCUCAAAAUCUUUAACAGUUUCGAAAAUUAAGACAAGGGCUAGCUAGUACUCAAAGCAACGAUCACAAAAACAUAGAAAUCAUAAAAAAUCGAGCUAAAACCGUACCUCAAACAUUUUCUUUUAUUUUAAUUAAAACAUAAGUUAAUAAUUAAUUUACUAAUUUGACCUUAGUUUAAAACAUUAAUAAAUCACAUAAUAUAAUGCCAUUAAUGUCCAUUAACCAUAUCAAUGGUUUAAUAACAUCAUAAGGACAUUUGGUUUAAUAAACCAUAGCAUUUAGGCACUUUAACCUAUAGCAUGCUACUUUUGCAUUUUAUGCGAUUAAGUCCUUUUUCUCAAAUUAAUCACUUAAACGAUAAAAUUAGCUCACAAAAUUUUCACACAUACAUAUUCACAUGCUAUAAACACCAAAAAUAAUAUUAAAAUAAUUUUAUGACCUCAUAUUUGUGGUUUCAAAACCACUCUUUCGAUUUAACUAAAAUCGGGCUAUUACAACUCUCUUCCUUUAGGGAUUUUUGUCCCCAAAAAUCUUACCAGUGAAUAGAUUUAGAUAUUGCUUUCUUAUAGCAUAUUCGGGUUCCCACGUAGCUUUUCCAACCCCGUUUCGAUGCCAUAAUACUUUCACUAACGCUAUUCUUUUAUUUCUCAACUCUUUGAUCUCAUGAGUUAGAAUUUGGAUCGGUUCUUCACUGUAUGAUAAAUCUGACUGAAUCUCAACUUCGGUCGGGGAAAUAACAUGCGAAGGAUCAGAUUGGUAUCAUUGAAGCAUUGAUACAUGAAAUACAUUAUGUAUCUUUUCUAACUCAGACGGCAAUGCUAGCCGAUAAGCCACUGGUCUAACUUGCUCGAUAAUCUUAUAUGGUCUGAUGAAUCGCAGACUCAAUUUUCCAUUUUGACCAAAUCAAAGUAUUUUCAGUAAUGGACCAUUUUCAGUAAAAUCGGAAUAGUGGUUUCGUGACCACAAAUCCGAUCUAGAAGAAAUUUUAUUUUAAUAUCAUGGCAUAGUCUAUAUUACGAUAGGAAAACUGCAUGAAAAUUUUGAUAGGAAAAUUUUAUUGAUUAUAUAGUUAAAUUGAUAAAAAGAGAAAAGAAAUAAAAAAAUGCAUUCUCGGGACUCCGUUCCGAUAAAUCAGAUUCGUAAAUAUUUAUUACAAAUAUUUACGAAGUUAGUUGUGUGUCUAAUUAGGUUUUGAUUAGGUGAAUUCGACUUAAUUAGAAGUAAUUAGGAAAAAGGAUUAGAUUGAAAUAAGUGUGAAAGUUUAAUUAUAGAUUAAAGAAAAUAAAAAGGACUAAAUGGGUAAAUAUGCCAUUAUUAUAAAAUGAGGCGGUUUAAUGUUAAAAGAAAAAAAAAUCUAAGAUAUUUUUGAUAUAAAAUAUAUAUUAUAUAUUAUAUUAAUUUAAUAUUUAAGUAUUAAUAUAUAAUAUAAUAUAUUAUUAUAUUAUAUAUAAUAUAAUAUAUAAAACAUAAAGUAAAGUAAAUUAAAGUAAAGAAACAAAAUAAAAAGAAGAAACAAAACAGAAUAGCAGGGACGAAACAGAGAAAAAGGGAGAAAGAAAAAGAAAAAGAAAAUUUGGGAUUUCAAGGGUUCAAAUUCAAUUUGGUAAGUCAAUUUAAUUCAUUUUCUUGUAAUUAUUGAGUUUUUAUGAUCCUAGAACAAAAUACUAUUAGGUAUAUGUUGAAACUUUGAGAGUUAAUAGAUUUUUUUAUAUAGUUUAUGUUGAAUUUAUGGAUAAAUUAGAGAUUGAACUUAUGAAAAAUUCAAAUUAGAAUUGAGAAAAAAGAUUGAAUUGUGAAAUAGAUUGCAAUAAGGAAUAAAUUAUAAGAAGUUUGAAAUUGGGGUUUAUUAGUGAAAAUUUGGGAGUUAAACUAAGUUAUAAGUGGAAUUUAAAUAAAAAUAAAGUAUAGAUUGUAAUAGAAAUGGAAAUAAUUUUAGUUAUGGAAUAAAUUGAAAUGUAUGUUAAUGUAGGAAAUGAUGAAUUUAUUAUAUCAUACAUAUUUAUUUUUUUAAUAGCAUAGGAAAGUCAUUUAAUUAUUUUUCUCUAACAUAUAAAUGUUAUAUGUUUUAUAUGAAAUUGAAGAGAAAGAAAAGAAAGGAGAGGACCUAAUUGAAGAAAAAGGAAAAGAGAAGGCUAAGGAGUGAAGGAAGACAUCAUCUCAAUCUUUUUGUUGUAAGUACUACAAGAUUUUUUUUAAAAUUUAUUUUAUUUAGAUGCUUAUAUUGUAGUAUAGAAUUAUUUAGAAAUAAAAAUGUAAUAUAUAUGUAUAUAUUUAAAUUUAUAAGUAAAUAAAUAAUAAUAAUAGAUUAUGGAAUUAUGAAAUUUGAAAAGAAAAUUAUAAUUGGAGAAUAUAAGAAGUUAUAUUGUUUGAACAUUAAGUAAUAAUGUUGUGACAAAAGUAUAUGUGUGAAAAAGAUGUGAUAUUUGUGAAUUGUGUAAUAUGCACUAAAUUGUAAUGAUGAAGAAAUGAGAAAUCUUUUUCGAGAUAUUUAUGUAAAGUAUUUAAAUGUAUGAAAUUCAGUUUUAAUGCCCAAGUAGAUGAGUUUAGAACUACUAGGAUAUUAGUGGCAUGCCAUUAAGGAACUCUAGCGCGUUCUCUGAUUAUUAGCACAUUAGUGCUCUCCGCUCUAUUAUUAGCACGUUAAGUGCUCUCUGUUUAGCACAUCUGUGUUCUCUGUAUAGCACUUUAGUGCUCUCUGUUCGUUUGUGCAUAAUAAUGCACUUCUGUAUUUGUUCCGUAUAUCCAGUGUGUUCUAUAAAGUCUACUUUGGGCUAAAGUUAUAAGUUGUGAACCAAAGCGAAUUAUCAAUGUACUAAGGUAAGUUUUAUAACUUAUAUAAUAAUAAAUUAAAUUUUGUUAAUAUAAGAUACAAUUAAAGAAACUUAUAUGCAUAUAAAUAUAUAUUGAUCAAAUGAGAUUAUAAUAUUUUAAUAGGAUUUAUUUGCCUAUUUAUUCUUUUAGUGCUUCCUAAGUCUUCACCGGCUUAACGCGUUUAAUUUUAACGCGUAGGUACAGUUAGACUCGAAGAGGUAGAGUCGGCUAAAAGAUCUCUCAUCUCAUCACAUCCUCAAGACCUUCAUAAGUAGGUACCAUAUUUUGAAUUAAAAGUGGCAUGUACAUAGGUGUUAUUUUGAUCACAUUAGAAUGUUACAAGACUGUUGUUGUAAAAAAAAUGGUAUUUAGUAUUUUAAUGUUUAUACUAAUUAAAUGGUAUAAAAGUUUAUAUAGUAUAUAUAUAUGGUAUUGGUUGUUUUUGGUUUGAACUUGCAGGGGGUUUUAUACAAAAUAAGCAAAAAUGCUGCUGAAAUUUAAAAAAAAAUUCGUUCCAUUCCUAAUACGUAUUUUGGGCCUCAAGGGUCUUUUAUAAAGACUUAAAAGUUAAAGUAUGCUAUGAAUAUUAUUUAUUUAUGAAUUAUUUCUAAGUUGUUCAGUAUGUCCGAUAAUGAUCUGUAACCCUGAUCCGGUGACGGUUUAGGGUUAAAGGGUGUUACAAGUUUCGAGAGGGAUAAUAAUAUAAUUUAGGGAUUUCUACGGAUCAAGUCAAAUGAAUAAAUCAUCUAAUUCAAGUCAAAUAAUAAGUAAAGUCUAGGUGGAUUUUUCCUUAGGUAUUGUAUCAAUCAAUCGAAUUUCCCCAAAAGUAUUUUCCCAAUUUUUCUUUCUGUGCAUUCUUAGUUUAGUAAUUAGUUUAAUAACCAAACCUCUUAAUUUUUAGGCUAGAUAAUAAAAAGGAAGUAAAUACUAGUACUCGUAGUUCCUUUGGAUUUGACAAUCCGGUCUUGCUGAACUAUACUACUGUUUGAUAGGUACACUUGCCUUAAUCGUGAUAAUAAGUUAGCCUCAAGAACGAUUCAUUCAUAAAUCUUUAAAACCUAUCACGAAUAUCACGUAGCAAGUUUUUGGCGCCGUUGCUGGGGAACUAGGAUAUUAGAAACACUCGAUUUUUAUUACUUUAGCCAUUUUACUUUUACUGCAAUUUAAAAUUUUGUUUUCUUUUCUAAUUCUUCAUUUAUUUUCUUCUGACAGGUUUUUAUAGUUUAUGACCAGAAAAAACUUGUCAGGACCAUUACUGUUCGAUAGUGAGAUCGAUCGCACAGUUUGCAGAAACCAAAGAGAAAUAAGGCGAAGCUUAUGAUACAUAGAGGAAGAGCAAGAGGAUGAUACUUCAACCACAACCGAAGAGAUGGCUGAAAACCAAGAAAAUCCGCUACCUCUUGCGAUUGCUGUUAAUCAGAAUCCUGCUCUGCGCACUAUGUAUGAAUAUGCUAAACCUUCUUUAAAAGGAACCGAAUCGAGCAUAGUUAGACCUGCUGUAGCUGCAAAUACUUUUGGAUUGAAACCUAACACAAUUCAAAUGAUACAACAAUUUGUUCAGUUUGAUGGAUUGCAGGACGAAGAUCCCAACGCUCACUUGGCAAACCUUUUGGAACUAUGUGAUACAUUUAAAAUUAAUGGCGUUUCUGAUGGCGCCAUUCGCCUUCAGUUAUUCCCUUUUUCAUUGAGAAACAAAGCUUAACAGUGGUUGAACUUGUUGCCACAGGGGUCAAUCACUACUUGGGAACAAAUGACCAAAAAGUUUUUAUUAAAAUAUUUUCCACCGGCUAAAACGGCUAAAUUACGUAAUGAUAUGUCUUCUUUUGUGCAGAUUGUUUUUGAAACACUCUACGAUGCAUAGGAGAGAUACAAGGACCUCUUGAGAAGAUGCCCUCACUAUGGGUUACCACUCUGGCUACAGGUUCAAACAUUUCAUAAUGGCCUGAAUCCUUUGAAUCAACAAAUGGUUGAUGCAGCUGCUGGCAGAACCAUCAAUAAUAAGACAUCUGAAGAUGCCUAUGAAUUUAUAGAGGAGAUGUCACUGAAUAACUAUCAGUGGCAAGCCAUGAGGACAAAGCCAACGAAAACAGUCGGCAUUUAUAACGUCGAUUCGGUUACUAUGCUCUCUAAUCAGGUAGAACUCUUAAAUAAGAAAAUUGAUGGUUUUCUUAGUUCUUCAUAGGUUCACCUAGUAAUGCAGUGUGAAGCAACUGGAGGUGGAUCAAGCAGUUCAGAAUACCCACCUUAUGGCCUCAACAGGGAGAACAAGCAGUUAAAUUACAUGGGUAACAAUCCUCGAUCUCAAAACAAUCCUUAUAGCAAUACUUACAAUGCAGGUUGGAGGAACCACCCAAAUUUUUCAUAGAGAGGCCAAGGAAAUCAGAGACCACCACCUCUAGGCUUUCAGCAACCACCAUACCAACAGGAAAAAAAGCCGAACCUUGAGGAGAUGCUAACCAAAUUCAUCUUAGUGUCAGAAACUCAUUUUUAGAACACCGAGACGACACUCAAAAAUCAACAAGCAUCAAUCCAGGGGCUCGAAACUUAGAUUGGCCAGCUCGCCAAGUUGAUUUCUAAAUGACCAUAAGGUAGCCUGCCAAGCAACAUUGAAUCUAACCCAAGGGAGCAACUCAAUGCGAUUGCCAUUCAAAAUGAGGAAGGGUCAGUUGCAAAACCAAGGCCAAAAAUGAUGGUAAGAAAAGGUAAGAAUGAGGUAGGCCAAAAUGACCCAAAGCUGGUGAGUACAGAAUAUAAACCUCGUGUGCCAUACCCUAAUGCAACAAGGAAAGACCGAUCAGGCAAACAAUUUGGUAAAUUCCUUAAACUUUUAAAGAAACUACAUAUUAACUUACCGUUUAUUGAAGUCCUUUCGCAGAUGCCAAACGCAGUCAAGUUUUUAAAGGAGCUUUUAACAAAUAAAUGAAAGUUGGAUGAGGCAUCGCAUGUGGAGUUGAAUAUAGUUUGCUCAGCCAUAUUAUAGAAUAAGCUACCCAACAAAUUGAAGGAUCCAGGGAGUUUUACGAUUCCUUGUUUAAUUGGUAGUUUAGAUGUUCAUAAUGCAUUGGCUGACUUAGGGUCAAGCAUUAAUGUUAUGCCUUAUAAAAUGUUUAAACAGCUAGGUCUUGGGAAACCCAAACAAACUAGAAUGAGCAUUCAAUUGGCUGAUAAAACCAUUACAGCGUGUUUGGUUCGCUGUUUUCCCCCCUCUGCAUGCGUAUUCCCCCCCUAUGCAACAGGCCCACCAGGAAACGGUUGUUUGGUUCGCUGUUUUCCCAUUCCCCGCCGAAUCGGUUACUCCCCCAUUACAUUGAUUGCGCAUAAUAGGCAUUACGGCCCCUCAGCGCCGAUUACCCAUUCCGCGUCUUUCCCUUUUUUCUCUUCCGUUUUCUGCCCUCGUCCUCAACGCUGUCAAAAGCUUCCCCAAAGUAAUCGACGAAGUCCUUGACGUUGUCAAAAGCUUCCCCAAAGUCGAUCCUUCCAAGGUCACCCCUUUUUCUCACAUCCAUUUCACGAUUUAUUGUUUGAUUUUAUAUUUCGGUGCUUGGGUGCUUAGGAAGAAAUGAUUUUGAAGUUAUUCUUUUCUGGAACUACUUGAUAUUUCACCCGAUUUAUAGUGUUUUAUGUGCAUUUUUGGGUUUCAUUCCCAAAAUUGAAAGCCAAAUCUUUCACCGGUAAUCAAUCAUUUUUAUACAAUUUCUUUUCAUGCUCAUGUUUCCUUGUUUGGGUUUCUUUCAAAAUUUCUGAAUCAAAUUGCUGUAGUUAUUGGUAGAUAUUAGAAGAAGAUAGUGCUGGUUUUGGCUUUGGGGGAUUUGCAUAUACCCCAUCGGGCGGCUGAUCUCCCUCCCAAAUUCAAGUCCAUGCUAGUUCCUGGAAUGAUCCAACACGUCUUUUGCACUGGUAAUCUUUGCAUCAAGGUAUCCCAUCUUUCUUUUCCUUUCUGGAUUUUUUUUGGUAGCUGAAAUCAUAGUUGAAUUUGGUUCCACUUCUUUAGCACUUUGGGUUUUAUGUUUCUCAGCAAGCAAUUGAAUAUAUUAAUUUUCUCUUCCUUUUUUGGAACUAUGGAUUGUUCAUUCCUUUGUAGUAGUUAUGCUAAAUUUAUGCCUAAUUUAAUCUGGAUUUCAUGUUUUUGCCCAAUUAUUUUCUCUUUGAGUUGUAAUAUGCGAAGAGAUAUUAUUUGCUAGUUUGAAUUUGGGAAAAGCAGCAGAACCUACCAUGCCUGAAUUAUCAGUAUUUUAAAUGAUCGCCAGCAAUUGUUUUAUUUGAUAAUUGUAAUUUUGAUCCGAAUAGCCAUUGCUGCUACCUUGCAUUUAUACAUGCAAAGAAUGAUUCCUGUCAUGUUUGAUCUGAAAUGCGUAUAAUCACGUGUCAGAUACUAGUUUGUGCCCAACUCUGACAUGUUUGAUCUCAAUCCUUUGAAUAUGUGUAGGGCAUAUGUGCCACUUUUGAGAAAACGAGAAGAGUCCGUGUAGCAUAGCAUUAAGUAGGAUUGAAGUACAUAUUUGGUUGAACUUAGAAACAUGUAGGAAGUUAGUCACUAAGGGCUAGUUUCUCAUUGCUUUUGAAAGGUGCUGCAAAAAAAUGCUUAUGAAAAAUGCUUUUGAAAAGCUUGGUCUAAAAUUUAAGAGUUUACUAUCUGUUUAGUAUUGCUUAUGGCUCUAAAAGCACUUUUGAAAAGCUAUUUUUCUCUUAUUUGCAUAGCCAACAACAAAUCAAAUGAACCUGAUUUGUUAGCUUUAGCUUUAUGGAAAUUAUGCCAUAGUAUUUCUACCAAUUGAACUUUUACGGUUUUUGUUUUUCUUAUUAAAAUUACCACUGGCCCAGCUAAUUCGGACUAAAAUUUCAGGAAGUUCAAGAUUACUUGAAGACACUUUGUCCUGACUUGCAUAUUACCAGAGGUGAAUAUGAUGAAGAUACAAGAUAUCCCGAGACCAAAACAUUAACUAUCAGACAAUUCAAGUUGGGAUUGUGCCAUGCCAUGGCCAUCAGGUAUUAUUUUCUUCUUUCCGCUGGUAUAUAGUAUUGGACUCUGCAUUUUAAAUCAGUAAGUAGUUUGCCAUUGAUGCAGAUUAUAAAUUUAUAUUGAAGCAUGCAUCUCCUGCUGUGAAAAAUAUGUGAUUUCAUGCUAAUGGUGUUAAAUAAAUAUAAAAAUAAUCGUUCAUGCCUUACAUUUCAAGUUAAAAUAUGUUCUGUUUGGAAAACUUGUAGACAGAGAUCUUGCUCUCUUUUUCUGAAGCUGCUAAAGGAUGUACGAAGGAUCUACAGUUUUAUGCAUUUGUAACUUGUGAUUCUUGCGGUAAGUAGCGCCUAAAAUUUGUUGGAAUCAUGUUGUGUUCAAGAACCAUACAAGCACAAAUGUAAUCCACUAAAUGCAUAAUUCCAAGUGGAGAGAAAGGUAACCUGGUAUGUUCAUCUAAGUUACUUACAUUUUUUGCAAGUUGAUUAAUCAUAGACUUACUGUUGCUUCUUUGUCCUUCUGCAGCAAGACCUGCAUUCUACAAAUAUGUUGCCUUCAUGUUCAUCUUGAAUGCACUAGAACUGUUUGCUUUACCUAGAGCUUCUUUCUAAAGAUCAAUAUACCGAUAUUGCUGUGGGAACAUAUCCAAAAAUGUAGAAUGUGCUUUACCUAGAGCUUCUUCCUAAAUAUCAGUUAGUCCUUGAUUUUUUUUUCAGUAUGUACUAUGUGUUAUCAAGUAGAUUUGGAGUUUGAAUAUCUACAUCUAAAUUAUUUUCAUUUCCAAGCAGAGAUCUUUUCUGAUCAAUUUUCUUGUAACAAAAUAAAUAGUAUCAUUGUGUUUGUUAUUGUAGAAUUACAAGAGUCUUGUACUAAUAGAAUUUGAUGGAGUUUGAAUGGCUCACAGGUUUGAUGGAGUUUAUUUUUUAAUUCUUUUUUUAUUUUUUAAUUAUGUUCAAUUAUAAUUAACACUACAAAAAUUAUCUCAACAAACGAAACAAAAAAAAAAGUAAAAUGCUACAAACAAAUCAUGUUUUCUUUUUAAAAAAAAAAGAAAGAUAUUUAACACACUAUAUUAUUCAAAUGGGUUUUUUUAAUAAUAAUUAUUAAGUCAUCAAUUAAUCAAAUCCACAAAAUCAAUUAUUUUAGAUUAUAUUUUAUAGUAUUAUAUAUUAUGAUUUUAGUAAAUUCGUAUAAGAAUAUUUAAUACUAAGAAUUUUAUUAAAUUAUAUAUUUAUAUUAAAUUAUAUUUAAUAAUAAUUAUUUUAGAUUAUAUUUUAUAGUAUUAUAUAUUAUGAUUUUAGUAAAUUCAUAUAAGAAUAUUUUAAUAUUAAGAAUUUUAUUAAAUUAUAUUUUUUUAUUAAAUUAUAUUUAAUAAUUAUUAUGUUAAAAUAUGAUUAAAUUAUUUAUUAUUGAUAUUAAUAAUCUUAUUAAAAUUUAAUAACAAUAACAAUAAUCAUUUACCUAAACAAAUUUCUGCUAAGGGUAUUCUAGUCAUUUUAGUUUUUUCCAUUAUGCUAUUACACCUCUAUUACAUUCAACCAAACACAGGAUUACUAUUACGCCUCUAUUCCAUUACAUUCAACCAAACAGUUGAUUUGCUAUUACACCUCUAAUCCAUUACACCUCUAAUCCAUUACACCUCUAUUCCAUUACGCCUCUAAUCCAAUACAGCGAACCAAACGUGCUCUUAGAUUUCCUAGGGCUAUCAUUGAAGAUGUUCUUGUUAAGAUCGAUAAAUUUAUAUACCCAGUAGACUUUGUUGUUCUAGACAUGGAAGAGGAUAGUAACGCAUCUUUAAUUUUAGGACGACCCUUUUUAGUGACUGCUAGAACCAUUAUUGAUGUUGGUACAGGUGAACUCACUCUUCGUGUGGGAGACGAAACAAUCACCCUUCAAGCUCGUAAUUCGAGUAACACAUCAAAAAUUGAAGGUGGUUGUAUAAAUCAUUCUAUUAGUACUAAUCAUGUGGUGAAACCUUCUGUGCAGGAAACAGUUACGAAGAACGCAUAUGAGCCUUGUUCAAACAACAACAAAGGACCUAUCUAUGAAGAACGAAGGCUACAAAUCGAGGAGCUAGAUGAAUGGCGGACACAGAAACUGAGAAUACCCGAUAAACCAAAACCGAGCCAGGACGAGCUCAAUACCUCACCUAAUCAACUUAAGGUUGGAGACAAAGUACUACUAGAUGCAGCAGAUCCUCGCAUUACCACUUCUGAACCUAAUGAAGAAAUUCCUCUUACGAUACUAAGUAUUUUCCCAUAUGGUACAGUCGAGGUAAAUCAUCCCAAAUUCGGCACAUUUAAGGUAAACAAUACUUGUCUUAAACCUUAUAUUGAUAAAGUUUAUAGCAGGGAUGAGGAGUAUAAACUCCUUGCACCACCUUGACCAUGCAAAAGAGAGGUAAGUCGAGCUUAGACUAUAAAUAAGCGCUUCUCGGGAGGUAACCUGAGCACUAACAGUGUUAAUUUCUUUAAAUUUUAGGUUUUAAUAUCUACCAUACUAACCAAAUCAUGAAACACAGGCUUACUAAAGCCCAUACGGCCAGGCACAGGGGUGUGCAUUAGGCCAUAUGAAAACAGGGCAAGAUUUUUCCCCAACACGGGGUGCGAUACGUUGCCACGGCUGUGCAAUAUGGCCGUGGGCGAAACUGCCAGAACAACACGGGCGUAAGACACGCCCGUGCCUUGAAACCGUGGUUGAAACUGAGAAUGUAACAUUGACGUGCGAUACGCCUGUGCCAUCCACCUGUGGACGACACUGUCAAAACGAACACGGGCAUGGACCUAUGUACACGGGCGUGGGAGAAGCGAACGAAGCAAGACACGGUCGUGCGACACGACCAUGUGCACCAAUACGCCCAAAGAACACAGGCGUGGUCCAAAUGUCAGACGCGCCCAAAUUCAAAAUUUGCGAAACACACGGGCACACGUCCGUGUGCCCCAAAAUCUAUAGAAACCCCUCACUAUUCAUCAUUUUCCUCCCAAAAAUCCCUAACCCUAGCCGCUACAACUCCACACGCCCUACCCCCCACGCCCGUGCGCCGCCUACAACACCGAUUUCGACGCCCCAAGCUCCUUCGUUUUGCAUUUGUUUACUCUUUUCUCUCUAUUUUCUUU